This 127664-nucleotide long non-coding RNA is filed under the name Hordeum vulgare. RNAcentral describes it as "long non-coding RNA (HVUL_LNC002417)". The record is from RNAcentral. Lineage: Eukaryota; Viridiplantae; Streptophyta; Magnoliopsida; Poales; Poaceae.
UUUCAGUCUCAGUCAUUCAAGCUUCAAACGUCUCCCGUCCCCGGAUCACUUCUUCAGUCCCGGAGUUUGAGAAGAUGAUGACGACCGACGCAGCGCACAGGUUGUCGCAGAACCCCGUCGCGCCGACCCGGCGACGCCCUACACGACGGUGCCGUCCUUGAUGGUCGCGUUCUUCUGGAUCACCACGAUCCCGGACCUGAUGUAGUACCCUUCCUCCGGCCUGUCGGCUUCUUGCACCCCCUGACAGAAAUGGCACAAAGUGGCAUGGUUUCAGAGACAGGUGUUGUUUCUUCAAAAUUUUGGUAGUACCAAACUUCAACCCUGAAUGAGAGUAAGUAUCUUACCUCCUUGUUUGAGAUGACCACGUCCCUUCCUAUCCUCGCGUUCAUGUCGAUGAUGCAGUUGCUGCAAUGUGUCCACCCAAAAAGUGUUAAGAGAUAAUGUGUCACUUGCACCGUGUUGUUUCUGAGGUACAGAUCAGUCUCUCUUUACCUGAUCUUUGUGUUCUCCCCGACGCCGAUGGGAACCUUGCCCUCAGACAUCAGCCUCGAGAUCUCGUCCUCGGUCUCGUACGAGUCCGCGCCCAUCAUCAUCGCGUUCUGAGAACGAACAAACACCAUUCGGAAGAGCGACAGCGUUCAGACGCAUGAUGGUUUUUAUAGCUGACAUGCACCACAUGCAUUAAUUCGGUGGUGAAAACCAUACCUUGAGCUCGCUUCCGGAGUUUAGGCGUGAACGAACGCCGAUGAUGGAGUGCUCGAUUUUGCAUUCACGCAAGAAGCAGCCGUGCGAAAUGAUCGCUUCUUUGAUCUGCGCACAAAAGAAUCCGUAUCAGAAUCCGUAUCAGAUGCUUACCGCCGAUGCUUGUAUGGAGUAGUCUGAAUAGCAGGUCCAUUCUAACACGUACCCUGCACUUGUCUGACUUUGUUGGCGGUAAGUACCGAGGCGAAGUGAAGAAGGGGGUUUUUGGAUCAUAAAAUUCAAACUUUGGAGGCUGCAAAAUAAAAAAAUGUGUGAGAGAAGAUUGAGAUUAUGUUACUUGAAGUCUCUCAAUGCAACUUUAUCAUUUACCAGAUGAUUUAAGCCUAACUACUUCUGUGAUAACAUCAAGUCAACUUGGAAGAAACAAAAAUAGAAUGUCACCUGUUCGCAGAGGGCCAUGUUCGCAUCGAAGAAGGAUCUGAUUGUUCCAAUGUCCUCCCAGUAGUCAGUGAAGACAUAUGCCUGACAAAGAUAGUGUCAGAUGAAUGGUCGUGCAAUGCAGAGGAAAUCGUUUCUAUAGACUGCAUUUCAUGCAGUGCUACCUCCCUAGCAGAAACAAUGAAUGAAGCUCACAUAGUAGCUUUACCUGUACAUUGUGAUCAUGCAGAGCUCUCGGGAGGAUUUCAGACCCAAAGUCAUGUAGUUCUGCGUAUCUUGACCUGAGAAUGCCAACGUUAGAAUUCAGGCUGACAGGAGAACCGCAUCGUCACAAGUGCAGGUUCUUACUUUAGAAGGUUCAGCAGAACAUCUCUCUUGAAGACAUAAACUCCCAUCGAAGCAAUGUAUGGAUAUUUAGCAGGGUCGUCUAUGGCGAAAUUGAGAAAACUGGUAUCCACUUUCUGCAAUGAUCAAUGACUUAAAUCUCAGAUACUGCAACUUAUUUAAGAUACUUAUAUCUUUAGGCAUAUAUCUGACACAGUGAGCAAAGACGAGCGCUAACCAUCGCUUCCAGAUCGUCGCCCUUUGGCUUCUCAGAAAACUGGAUCACACGGCCUGAACUGUCGAACUUCACUAGCCCGUACUCAGAUGCCCGGCUUCCAAAACAAAGAAAAGCAGAUCAGGAUGCAGCGUAACUUCACCAAAAGGAAUAUACAUUCAUAAACAGGGAUCUGGGAUGUAGAACAUUAGUUAAUACCUCUCUCCAACAGGGGCACAUGAUAAAGUAAUGUCAGCAUUGUCAUCCACAUGUUUCUGUAAAGGAUGUAUGACACAGCUUGGUCAGCCAGUUCAAAACAGAACAUACACUAGAGCUGGUUAAAGAGAACAUCACAAACCUGCACAAGCUCCAUGUAAUCCAUGCGAUAAAGCUGAUCGCCCGACAAGAUCAAAAUGUGCUCUAUGGAUUUAUGCUUAUAGUAGUCCUGCAGAGGUACACAGAACACAACAAGCAUUACUUUAACACAUGCAGAUCGUACAAGUAUGAGGUGCAAGGAGGGCCAUGUGCUCCUAGAUACUCUUCUCACCUCAAGCACCCAGAUAAAUUUUCUGACGGCAUCCGCUGUUCCGCGGAACCAUCCAGCAGCCUCCCCAGGCAUUUGUGUCGCGGCCAAUACCUAUUUGUUGCAAAAAAGGUGUCUCAGUCAACGUGUGCUGUAGUUGGCUAAAAGCCCAAGACGUCAACAUGAAAAUCAGAAGAAAAGUUAAAGUAUAAAUCAACAUUAAGUUGAGGUCAAUUACCUCAACAGAUCCAUCAGUGAAAUUGAUUCCCCCGCCGAGGUAGGUGCGGUGAAUGUGGCGAUUGAGAGAUGCCGAGUUGAACUGGGUCAUGACGAAUAUCUUGUUGAUGCCACUGUUGAAGCAGUUGCUCAUGGGAAUAUCGAUGAGCCUGUAACAUCCUCCAAUAGGAACCUGAGCAAUGCAACAAAGGGAAAGGAACAAGAUUCAGGCUGGCGAUCCGAAGAUGACUGGACAAGCUACAUGGAUGGUCACUGAUAGCCUUGAGGUUGACAUCAUGUCGGUUAAAGUGGGGGGCAUCAUCGGGACCGGCUACAGAAACCACUGCUGCUAAUAAUGAUUUAACUUGAUCACGAUGCAGAAACCUUGCUACUGAAUGAGCUGUACUUCAACUGGUCCUAUCCAAAUCAAUUAACAUGUGCAGAUAAGAACUGAAAUUUAAAUAAAGCUUCCUCAUUCUUAUCUAUCUAAAACUGGGAAAUUAUCUAGUAGUAGGGAGUACAAACAUAUCUGCAAAUGACAGUUUUAUUUAUUCAUUUCUGCAAUUGAAAUGUACCAACUUGAAACUGGAUAAACGUAGAAAGUUAUAACUAUAGAAGUGGAUGAUGAAUGUGCCAUCUUACAGCAGGUGUGGCCCUUGUGCUUGUGAGCGGGAAGAGCUGAGUCCCGGUGCCGCCGCCGAGUAUGACGGCCGCGACCUCGUUCGGAUCGGCGUAAUUCCUCCGGAAGGACGUCCGGAGAACCUACAGGUGUUUUUAUUUUGCAUCAAAACAUCAGAGACACUAACAUACACAUAUGCUCCACUGCAACCCGAACAUGAUCUGUCUGGGAUGGGAUGGAAAGUUUGAAACUCACAAGGGUGUCGGCCGGGCUGGCGUCGGAGGUGAGCACGCACUGCGCACCGGUGGCGGCGGGGCCCCUGGCGCCGCCGUUGCACAUCCUCCUGGACGCUCUCUCGUGCCUGAUGCUGCUGCUGUCCCCGAUCUUGAGGCGCUCGCAGGCCGAUCCCUCUCUCCUGACUGGGGAAACGCACGCCUUGCCCUCCAGGGGCAGCACGCUGCUGAACUGCAUCGAUGACAUUAGCAGUCCACCUGCAACUGCAACAAGAUGAGAAGUUGAGAACCAUUAGCAAGCAUGGAAUCUUGAGAAAUCCGUUUACUGGCUAGACCAGAUUGGAGAACGGAAGGCAGGUGAGUUUGUCCCCAAAUCACUGAAGAAGUCGCACGAUCGAGCAGAAAGAGCACGGACUUUUUCCCCCUCCUCUUUCAUGGGUCACGGGCGUCUGUAAAAAGGUUGAGUGGCGUAGAACAAUGAUUAUUGGAAAAAAGGACUAGUGGAAGAGUGGGAAAGGUGCCAAGGACUUUGUGACUUUUCAGCCUUGAGGAGAGAGUCGGCACGUGAAUCAGGAGAUGAGAUGAUCCUCUCAUCUUGUGGCUGGUGUUCUUCCUUUGCUGUUCCCUCCUCUUCUGAACUCAAAGGGACGCAAGGCAGAAUAUACCUGAUGAACUUUGCAAGUGGAAACGGAGGCUUGCACACGGAUUUCAAGUGUGAUGCAGUGCAUAGUUUCAUUGACGGGAGCUACUUGACACGGGAAAUGAUUUGAAUAAGGAGAGGUGAUGAUGAAAACGAGCUGGUUGACGCCGAAAUAUUUGAAGGAGUUGAGCAGGCAGGGCGCGCAGGAUCCAAGGAGGACUCACAUUUUUGUCGUUGGGAAGGCAAAAGAAACACUCGGAUCGAAAAAGGGAGGACCUGAAUCACCGGUGUGAGAGCAAGUACAAUAAGGUACAGUCAGCAGGCUGUAAGGAUUAAGAUAAUAUAUUUUUGCUGAGUUGGAUGAGAGAGAAGAGGAGAGAGAAGGGAAGCGGGCUCUUCGUGAAGAGCCAGCUCUAGCACGUGCUCCUAGGUGCUUUGUGAGAAUGAAAGAUGGACCAUAUAUGAUAAAAGUAGUACUAUUUUAUAGCUAACUAUUGUACAAGUUAGCUAUAAGAUGGGCUAUAAGAGUGCUUAUAGCCAGCAGUUGGCUAUACUAUUAACCAUGCUCUGACUGAAUCACUCCUCCUCCUACUAUUCGUGGUCGGCGUCAGUUAAUUCAGACUAGUAGUAGUUGGUUGGAGAAAAGAAAUCAACAUAAUACGAGAGACCGAGGGGCCGUGAUCCUAAAAUUAAGUCGGCAACGAGAUCCGUGCUCCCCCGCCGGCGGCUGGCCCGCGAACCACGCCGCCGGCGCCGCGCGGUGUCAGUCACUCACCUCACGGGCGCGCCCUCACGUCUGACCCAUUACCGCUCACCCCGUGCCCCGCCGGCGUCGGAACGGGGGGCGGCAUUAAAAUGCGCGGCGGAAUCCGGGCGGCGCAUCCGGCAGGGAGGGGCGCCACCUUUCGAUGCCAUUACGCAUCGACGGAACGCAAAUGAAUCAAUCGGCGGCGAGGAAGGGAGUGGGAUGGGAUGGGUUACCUGCCGGGGACGGCGGGGUGAGGGAUCGACGGGGUGGCGACCGGGCAAGCGACGGAUGAAUAUGAACGAAUCAAAUGCAGGGAGGGAGAAGGGGUGGUGGUGGUGGUGGUGGUGAGGGGAGGGGAGAGGAGAGAGAUGGUCCGUGGAGGCGUUGAGUUCGGAGGUGGUGUGUGGUGAUGUGGAGGGCGGGGCAUAUAAAGCGGGCCGAGGCGAUGGCGUCCCUCCCACUGCACUGCAAGAAACGGACGGACGGUGUGGGAGCAGCAGAGCAGAGGAGUGUAGCGUGAAGCGUGAACAAGGAAGGGGUGGUGGCAUGGCAUGGCCCCAACUCUCGUUUUGGCGCUACCCCCCAUGCCUGGCCAUGUGCGAGAGCGAGAGCACCGCCGUCCCCUCCCUUGCCGCUCACGGCUCCGAGGCCCUCCUUUCCGUCCGCCACGCCCACGCUAGCUCCGCCACCGCCGUUGGCCGCCCUCCCUCGCUGCUUUUGUUGCCUUCAGGUCUCGAUUCGAAGCCUGCCUGACCACCCACAACUCGCCGUGGGAAUACCAGGUGCACGAGGGCCAACGGAAUGCUCGGCUCGACAACUGGCCUCAGCUCGCCGCCGCCGUCGUCUUCCUUCUUCCUUUUUGCAGUUCGUUAACGCCGGCGUUCCUUGUGCCUCUCCUCGCACGCACGCACUCGCAACGUGCUGCUGGCCGGAAACCCGCGGCACGUUGGUUGGUUGGUUCGUCGCACCUGGACUGGACUGGACUGGACGGACGGACGGCUACAUUAACGGCACGGCCAUCGUUUGUUUGUUUUGUCAGUUUACCCGUGCACCGGCACCGCUGCCGCCCCGACACAUCACCGGGGGAACCAACGGCGGGAAUCGCUCCCCUCCUCCACCUCCAUACUUCUACUGCCAGCUAUACUAGAGUACACCUACCUAGCUACAGUGCGUGGCGAGGUACUGGACUGGACUGUGGGCCUCGGUCGUAGUACAUGCGAUGCGGUGAAGAAGAGAAGAGAAGAUGGAUCUCUCGCGACGCCGCCACGCAGCGGGGCGUCGUGGCGCGCGGCCAGUUGAGGGAGGGGAGGGGAGAUCCAGGCGCUUGUCAGAACGCGAGCGCCCUCUCCCGUGAUGGCAGCCACAGAUUCAUUCCAGCUGCGUGCGUGCGUGCUGCUCCGUCACGCAGUGCCGCGCGUGUGUCUUCAGUUUUUUCUCCUUAAGGGCAGGGCAUCGUAUGAUCAUCGUUGGUAAAAUUAUUACAUAGAUGAUUUUGAUGACAUGUCACAUAAUAAAAAAAGAAAGAGAAUGAAACCGUAUCAACUUGAAGCAACGGUUCAUGCACAAGCUACUAGGUUAUUUCUUCAACAUUUAGUGGACCCACUUUGUUAUUUUACAUACGGUUAACAUACACUUUGUUGAAGGACUUUGCUGUUGGUUGCUGAUGUGGACACUUAUACUAAGGAUUGAACAUACGAACUGUUGGAGAUGCUCUAAACAAUGUAUACACGUUCCUAUACUCAUCUCACCUCUAUCAAAUAUACUCAUCUCAUCUCUACGAAUACAUUUGUAUGAAUAUAAGGACACGUCCUAUCCUUCUGAGUAUCUUUGAGAGGUUUAUAAUCAGCUCAUUAUAUUAAGAUUGAGAAAGUCAACACAUUAUUAUAUUAUAAAAUUUAAUAAGUUGGUACAUCAUCUUGACAUUGAUAAAUUAACACAUAUGUCUUGGUUGUCGACGAAAAUAUUUCCUCCCACUUAAUCGACACACGAUCUUGAGAUUUGACAAAGCCGACAAAUCAUCUUUAGAUUGAUAAUAUCGUUUGUUGACACUUUCUUAGUCGACGGAAACAUCUCCGUUUAUUGAAUGAACAUUGUCAAGAAGCCUCAGAUAAAUUCAAAAGAUAUGAGCAUGGGUGUUAAGUAUAAGACUUAAAUUCGAUGGAUGGUUCCAACACAAUUAACCUAACCAUCUGAGCUACAAUACUCAUUUCACGUGUGUCUUCACGUCUGGAACCCUGUUUCGUUAUAUGUAAUCGUGGAUACGAUGGAUAUUCCCCUAGCACUCGAGGCCUAGGGUUCCCCUGUCCUCCUGGAAUCGUCGCCGGGGAUUUUCCCGUAGAUCCAAUCGCUCUGCCUGACGAUCAGUCUUGCUCCUGUGCUUCUCACGAUGUCCUAGGGGGGUGGCUCUCCUCUCUCUCCCGGACUCGCUACUGUUUGGUAGAGGGGCUAGGGUUAGCGGAGGGGUUUUCGGUUGUGACCGCGGCAAUGGCGGCUGAAGCGAGUGGAUCACGUGCAAAGGGUGUGGAAGAUCCGGGUGUGUUGCUAGAACGCCUGCAUCUGGAGGAGGAUGAGCGGGAUGACCUUGUCUGGGAGGAUGAGGAGGAAGAUCCAGAUGAGAAACCGAAGUGGCUUGCGCUGGCUAGGGUUCUGACCAACAAGUCUUUCGAGCAAGGGGCCUUGAUUGAUGAUAUGAAAGCGGCAUGGAAUCUAGCAAGGGAUGUGGUAUGGAGAAGGAUAAACUCCAACCUGUUCUCGGUGCAAUCAAUUGUCUGGCAGAUUGGAAUAAGGCGUUGCACCAGGGCCCUGGGACUUCAAGGGGAUGGCUUUGAUCAUAGCGGAAUAUGAUGGUUUCAAGAACCCGGAAUCUGUCAAAUUGGACAAGAUUGAAACUUGGUGUCAGAUCCAUAGGUUGACUAAUAUGAUCCUCAAGAGGGAACAAUUUGUGAGAAAUAUGGCACAACUCAUAGGAGAGGUCAUGAAGGUAUAGAUCGUCCUUCCUAAUGGCUUCAUUGGUGAAUUCAUCAGAGUCACGGUAAAACUUGAUAUGUCCAAGAAACUGACGAGGUUUGUGGGAUUCACAAAAGCGGGUGUGACUGAGUACUAUCAAGUUAAGUUUGGAAAGCUUCCUGUUUUCUGUUUUAUGUGUGGCCUUCUUGGACAUUGGCAUGAGGAAUGUGGCUCGGGAGAGCAUGAUAAGAAGGAUAUGGAGUGGGGCUCCUUUAUUUUGGCAUCCUUGAGAGGUGCGGGUGGAAUAAGGAACUCAGUUAGAGGCAAUUGUUGUGGUUCGGGUCGUGGCUCGGGCGCUGGUGAUGAGGAUGAUGAGGCUGCUGCUGGUGGAAGGAGGGGAGGUCCUGCAAGAACUCGUGGUCGUGGCCUUGGGCAUGUGAGGGACUCUCAAGCUCGGGACUCCCGAGAUCAAUAAGACUGAUGCGGAGCACAUGCAUACUAGCUGGUGUUUCAAAGCAUCUAAUGCACUGUGUGAUCCAGGGGUGGGGAUGAACUCUCGCCUUGAUGGUUCCCCAUAGGAGAUGUGGGAUGACGCACUGAUUGUUCGUAAGAGAGAGCGAGAUGAUUCCCAUACGGUCCCAAAACUAGUUGUAGAGGAGGAUGUGCAAGUAGCUGAAGGUGCCAUUGCUCCCGUAGGGAUUACAACGAAUAGGGUGGACCAGUUUGAGGGCUCGGAUCCACCCAGCAGCUCAGAGAUUGGUACCCCUCAGAAGAAUGUGAAUCGGAAGAAGUUUAAGACGGAUGAUGGUGUGGCCAUUGACAGUACAUCAACUAGUAGAUCGGCGGCCUCCUCGGUGGAGGACCGCCGGAAGCAAUGAAUCUACUAAGUUGGAACCGGGGAGAGGGGGGGGGGGGUUCCCGAACAGUUCUGAUCUUGCGACUUUGGUCAAGUCGCAUUCCCCUCUCUCGUCUUCCUGUGUGAGACUAUACAGUUAGCUAGCAAGAUGAAGGGAUAUUGUUCUAGAUUGGGUUUGAAGGCCUUUGAUGGUGUUGGUGCUAAUGGAAAUAGUGGAGGCUUGGCACUGUAUUGGCAUGAGAAUUUGAAUGUGUAGGUAAAUUUCUCAAAUGCCCGUUGUAUUGAUGCACAUGUACAAGCCAGGCCGGAUGAACAAUCGUGGAGAUUGACUUGUGUGUAUGGUGAACCGAGGGUGAAGGACCGUCAUCUUAUGUGGUCUCUCAUGUCGAACCUUUGUGCAAAUUCAGAUUUACCAUGGUUGGUGGUGGGCGAUUUGAAUGAAUGCAUGUGGGAUUUCGAGCACUUCUCCUUAACAGUGAGAGCACCAUUACAGAUGCAAUCAUUACAAGAUGUCCUGGAGGUGUGCGACUUGGCUGAUCUUGGGUUCAGUGGAGUUCCCUAUACAUUCGAUAAUAAAAGAAGCGGGAAUGCAAACGUAAAAGUUUGUCUAGACAGGGCAGUGGCAAAUCCGGCUUGGAGGAACAUCUUUUUCAAUGCAAUGGUACGCCACCUUACUUCCCCCUGCUCGGAUCAUCUACCUGUUCAUGUGUGUUGUGAUUAUGUUGAUGAUAGACCAGGAAAGCCAAAGCGUAGGCAGUAUGAGAUCAUGUGGGAAAGAGAUCGAGCUCUCCAGGAGCUGAUUGCUAAGGCAUGGCUGGAGGCAGGAGAAAAGACAUCCCUGGGUGACGUGCAUGCGGCUCUAAGGGGUACUAUGCAAAAGCUGUGCAAAUGGAGUAAGGAAAACUUUGACAGUGUAACUCUAGAAAUUGAAAAAUCACGGACACAAUUGGAGGAACUCAUGUUGAUGAAUGCUGAUAGAUGUGAGAGCCAGAAGGUAAGAGAUAAAAUGAACAAGCUACUAUAUAGAGAAGAGUUAAUGUGGAUGCAACGUUCCCGUAUCACUUGGCUCAAGGAAGGGGACUGAAAUACAUUUUUUUUCCCGUCAAAGGCUGUGUGGAGGGCUAGGAAGAAUCAUAUCAAAAAACUCAAAGACUCAAGUUGUCGGGUUUUUACAAGUGAUGAAGCGAUGGGGCGAGCAGCCAUGGACUAUUUUAAAAACAUCUUCUGUGCUGUCCUUUCGGUGGAUCCAAGCCCCAUUGUUAAUCUAGUAGAAGCUGUUAUAGAUGAUAAUAUAAAUGCCUUAUUGUGCACUGAUUUUACUGAUAAGGACAUUUCAGACGCUUUCUUUCAUAUCGGGCCUCUUAAGGCACCGGGCCCGAACGGUUUUCCUGCGCGGUUCUUUUAGAGGAAUUGGGGCACUAUUAAGGAGAGUAUUGUGGCGACAGUCCAGGAGUUUCUUCGGACAGGGGUAAUGCCGGUAGAGGUCAAAAGUACUAAUAUAGUGCUGAUCAUGAAAAUUCAGAACCCUGUUAAUAUUACAUAUUUCCGUCCAAUUAGCCUCUGUAAUGUUAUUUAUAAGGUGGUUUCUAAGUGACUUGUUAACCGCUUGAGGCCGAUGUUGGAUGGGAUUAUUUCUCCAACGCAAAGUGCUUUUAUUCUUGGGUGAAUGAUCACUGAUAACUCUUUGAUUGCUUUUGAGUCUAUUCACCAAAUUAAGCAGGAAAAGGACUCCACAAGGACUUUAUGUGCCUACAAGCUAGAUCUAUCCAAAGCUUAUGAUAGAGUUGAUUGUAAUUACCUUAAGCAAAUGAUGCAAAAGCUUGGCUUCGCUCAUCAGUGGGUUGACUGGAUUAUGUCGUGUGUAACCUCGAUGAGAUAUUCAGUAAAAUUCAAUGGAGCCAUCUCAGAUUCAUUUGCACCGUCAUGUGGACUACAACAAGGUGAUCCAUUAUCAGCAUACUUAUUUCUGUUUGUGGUGAUGGUCUCUCUAUUGUGUUCAACAAGGGUACAGAUUCAACUGAUUUGUCCCCGUUGAAGAUAACUCGACGAGCUCCUGAAAUAUCACUUCUCCUAUUCGUAGAUUACACUCUUUUAUUUUUUUAAGGCCACUGGGCAGCAGGCGAAUACUGUCAAGAAAAUUCUCAAGACUUAUGAGCAAGCUAGUGGUCAAUUGUUGAAUCCGGCAAAGUCCUCUAUUCUUUUUGGAGAAUCUUUUCCGGAGGCUACUAUAGCUGAAGUCAAGGCGUCUUGGGGUGAUCAGUUCUGGAGUUGAGGAGAAGUACUUGGGCGUACCCACUCCGGAUGGCCGGCUUACUAAGGGCAAGCUUCAAAAUCUACAAGAAAAGGUCAGUAAGAGAUUGUCUCCUUUUGAUGGGCACCCAACACAGUCUCGGAAGGAAACUCUCAUAAAGUCUCUAGCCCAAGCAAUCCCUAUCUUCAUUAGGAGUGUGUUCAAGAUACCGCUCAGAGUGUGUGAUGAUUUGAACCGCAUGAUCCGGAAUUAUUUUUGGGGCUCGGAUAAAGGGAAGUGGAAAACUCAUUGGUUUGCUUGGGAGAAACUUUUGCGAGCAAAAGCACAAGGAGGGCUUGGGUCUAGGGAUUUUAGAAUUUUCAACCAAGCAUUGCUUUAAAGGCAAGCUUGGCGUCUCCUAAUUCAUCCUAACAGUCUUUGUGCAAGGUUACUUAAGGCUAAAUAUUAUCCAAAUGGGCGGUUGAAGGACACAGUAUUUUCAAGUAACCCCUCUCAGUCUUGGCAAGGGGUCUGUCAUGGUCUUGAACUUUUGAAGAAAGGGCUUGUGUGGCGCAUAGCAAACAGGCAAAAUGUGAGAAUUGUUGGGGAACGCCGCAUGGGAAACAAAAAAUUUUCUACGCACAUGAAGUCCUAUCAUGGUGAUGAUCAUCUACGAGUGGGAGAACGGAUCUACAUACCCUUUGUAGAUGCAUAGCGGGAAGAGUUUAGAUAACGCGUUUGAUGUAGUGGUACGUCUUCACGAUCCCAAGAACCGUCCCACGAUCCAUCCCGCGAACAGUCCCACGAUCCGUCCCGAUCAAGUACCGAACGGACGACACCUCUGCGUUCAGCACACGUACAGCUCGAUGACGAUCUCCGCUUUCUUGAUCCAGCAAGAGAGACGGGGAGGUAGAUGAGUUCACCGGCAGCCUAACGGUGCUCCGGUGGUGGUGGUGUUGCUGAUCCUGCAGGGCUUCGCCUAAGCUCCGCAGAAAACCGAUCUAGAGGAGAAACAGAGAAGUAGAGGUGUCUAGAUCUGAAUUUUCCCUUGGCAAAAGUUGUCUCAAAUCAGCCCUAGACCACCCGUAUAUAAAGAAGGAGGGGAGGGGAGGAGGCAGCCUCAAACCCUCAAGGUUUGGCCGAAACUGGAGGUGGAGGAGUCCUACUCCAAUCCUACUUGGAGUAGGAUUCCUCCUUUCCACUUGGAACCCCUUUCCACCUUUUCCACCUUUGGGUUUUGCCUCUCAAACCUUAUGGGCCUUAGUGGGAACUUAUUCCAGCCCACCAGGGGCUGGUUUUAUCUCUUCCCACGCCCAUGAGGCCCCUUGGGGCGUGACACUGACGUCAGCUGUGCUUCCCUGGCAAUGGCUCCAGAAAAGGGCUGAUCCUGCAAUCUCUGGCGUUAGCUAGAUGAAUGCUUAUGACAACGAACCUUCUCCUGCAACGGCAUCAGAAUAAUGCUGCUAGCACUCCCCGGCAAUGAAACUGGAAGAUUAUUGUUGAUGGCCCACCAGCGCGUGGGUCCGCAGCAGUUUUUGAGGGUAGAGUAUUCGACCCAAUUUGUAGAUCGCCAGUCAGGAGGUGAGAGUAUACUCUCAAGUAUUAGCAGCUGAAUUUUUCAGAUUCAACCACACCUGAAAGAUUAGUAUCUGCAAGCACAAUAGUAACAGCAAAGUAAUAUGAUAACAACGGUGUCAGAAACGAUCUGUUGACAGCAUACUAUUCCUAACGAUUGUAUCAAUGGCGCCUCUGUUGUCGCGUUGACGGAAGUUGUCAAUUCCUGUCAAUGGCCAGCGAACAAACAGUGUAACGGGUAGUAGCAGUGUAACGAGCAAUAGUAGCGGCAAGGAACAACAGUAGUAACAGCAGCAGAGCAAGACAAGUAACAGCAGUAGCAACAGUAGUAGUAGCAGCAGAGCAAGACAAGUAACAACAGUAGCAAUAGUAGUAGCAGAAGUAGAGCAAGACAAGUAACAGCAGUAGGACAAACUCGUAGGCAAUGGGUCAGUGAUUUGUUUGGAUGAUAUUCAUCAUGCAACAGCUAUAACACGGAGAGAUAUGUGGCUAGCUCCCGUUCGUCAAUGUGAUGUAGGCAUGCAUUCCGUGUGUCGUCAUACGUGCUUAGGGAAAAGAACUUGCAUGACAUCUAUUAUCCAUCCCUCCCGUGGCAGCGGGGUCCAAAAGAAAACUACAGGAUAUUAAGGUUCUCCUUUUAAUAAAGAACUGGACCAACGCAUUAGCACUUGGUGAACACAUGAACUCCUCAAACUAUGAUCAUCACCGGGAGUGGUUCUGGUUAUUGUCACUCCGGGGUUGCCGUAUCAUAACACAUAGUAGGUAACUACAACUUGCAAGAUCGGAUCUAAAACACACAUAUAUUGGUGACAACAUAAUAAUUUCAGAUCUGAAAUCAUGGCACUCGGGCCCUAGUGACAAGUAUUAAGCAUGGCAAAGUAGUAGCAACAUCAAAUCUCAUAACAUAGUGGAUACUAGGGAUCAAUCCCCAUCAAUACUAACUCGAUUACAUAUAGAUCUCAUCCUACUCAUCACCGCCCAGCGAUCCUACGAAUAGAUUACUCACGAACGACGAAGAGCUUCAUGGAAUUGGAGAGGGAAGAAGGUUGAUGAUGACGAUGGUGACGAUUUCCCCUCUCCGGAGCUCAAGACGGACUCCAGAUCUGCCCUCCAGAUGAAGAACAGGUGGUGGCGGCGCCUCCGUAUCAAAAACACGGCGAAAACUUCUAUUUUUAUUUUUUCUGGGACGAAAGACAACUUAUAGAGCUGGAGUUGGGGGCGGCAGGUGCCUGUGGGCCCCACAAGCCUGCCCACCGCCACCAGGGGGGGUGGUGGCGGCGCAGGGGCUUGUGGCCCACUGGUCCACCCCCUGAGGUGGAACUUGGCGCAGAUAUUUUUGAUAUUUUCCAAAACUGCUCCCCGUAAAUUUUCAGGACGUUUGGAGAACUUUGAUUUCUGCACAAAAAUAACACCAAGGCAAUUCUGCUGAAAACAGCGUCACUCCAUGUUAGUUCCAUUCAAAUCAUGCAAAUUAUAGUCCAAAACAAGGGCAAAAGAGUUUGGAAAAGUAGAUACGUUGGAGACGUAUUAGACACCCCUCCCGAUGGUCCCCGACACCCCUCCCGGCACUCCUGGUACACUACCGAUGAGCCCGAAACUUUUCCGGUGACCAAAACAGGACUUCCUAUAUAUCAAUCUUCAUUUCCGGACCAUUCCGGAACUCCUCGUGAUGUCCCGGAUCUCAUCCGGGACUCUGAACAAACUUCGGUCACCAGCACCUAUAACUCAACUAUACCGAAAUGUCACCGAACCUUAAGUGUGCAGACCUUGCGGGUUCGGGAACUAUGUAGACAUGACCUGAGACACCUCUCAGUCAAUAUCCAAUAGCGGGACCUGGAUGCCCAUAUUGGAUCCCACAUAUUCCACGAUAAUCUUAUCGGUUGAACCUCUGUGUCAAGUAUUCAUAUAAUCCCGUACAUCAUUCCCUUUUUCCUUCGGUAUGUUACUUGCCCGAGAUUCGAUCGUCGGUAUCCAAUACCUAUUUCAAUCUCGUUAUCGGCAAUUCUCUUUACUCGUUCCAUAAUACAAGAUCCCGUGGCUAACAACUUAGUCACAUUGCUUGCAAGGCUUGUUUGUGAUGUUGUAUUACCGAGUGGGCCCCGAGAUACCUCCCCGUCACACGGAGUGAAAAAUCCCAGUAUUGAUCCAUGAUAACUCAACUGACAUCUUCGGAGAUACUUGUAGUGCACCUUUAUAAUCACCCAGUUACGUUGUGAUGUUUGAUACACACAAAGUAUUCCUCCGAUGUCAGUGGAUUACAUGAUCUCAUGGUCAUAGGAAUAUAUACUUGACNNNNNNNNNNNNNNNNNNNNNNNNNNNNNNNNNNNNNNNNNNNNNNNNNNNNNNNNNNNNNNNNNNNNNNNNNNNNNNNNNNNNNNNNNNNNNNNNNNNNNNNNNNNNNNNNNNNNNNNNNNNNNNNNNNNNNNNNNNNNNNNNNNNNNNNNNNNNNNNNNNNNNNNNNNNNNNNNNNNNNNNNNNNNNNNNNNNNNNNNNNNNNNNNNNNNNNNNNNNNNNNNNNNNNNNNNNNNNNNNNNNNNNNNNNNNNNNNNNNNNNNNNNNNNNNNNNNNNNNNNNNNNNNNNNNNNNNNNNNNNNNNNNNNNNNNNNNNNNNNNNNNNNNNNNNNNNNNNNNNNNNNNNNNNNNNNNNNNNNNNNNNNNNAUACAAUUAUAGCAUGGACAAUAAACGAUUAUCUUGAACAAGGAAAUAUAAUAAUAACUAAUUUAUUAUUGCCUCUAGGGCAUAUUUCCAACAGUCUCCCACUUCCACUAGAGUCAAUAAUCUAGUUCACAUCACUAUGUGAUUUCUAACGAAUCCAACACCCUUACAGUUCUGGGGUUUGAUCACGUCUUGCUCGUGAGAGAGGUUUUAGUCAACGGUUCUGAACCUUUCAGAUCCGAGUGAGCUUUCAAAUCUUUAUGUCAUCUUAUAGAUGUUGCUACUACGUGCUAUUCGGAAAUAUUCCAAAUAUCCACUCUACUAUACGAAUCCGUUUUACUACUCGUAGUUAUUCGGAUUAGUGUCAAAGCUUGCAUCGACGUAACCUUUUAUGACGAACUCUUUUAACACCUCCAUAAUCGAGAAAAAUUCCUUAGUCCACUAGUUACUAAGGAUAAAUUUUUGACCAUUGUCGAGUAAUCCACUCGUGAAUUACUUUCGUACCCCAUGACAGAUUCAUGGUAGGGCACACAUUAGGUGUGGUACACAGCAUAGCAUACUAUAGAGCCUACGUCUAAAGCAUAGGGGAUGACCUUCGUCCUUUCUCUUUCUUCUGCCGUGGUCGGGCUUUGAGUCUUACUCAAAUUCACACCUUACAACACAGCUAAGAACUCCUUCUUUGCUGAUCUAUUUUGAACUUCUCCAAAAACUUGUCAAGGCGUGCAUUUCAUUGAAAUUUUUAUCAAGCGUCUUGAUCUACCUCUAUAGAUCUUGAUGCUUAAUGUUCAAGUAGCUUAAUCCAGGUUUUCUUUCUAAAAACUCCUUUCAAAACAACCCUAUAUGCUUUCCAGAAAUUCUACAUCAUUUCCGAUCAACAAUAUGUCAACCACAUAUACUCAUCACAAACUUUGUAGUGCUCCCACUCACUUCUUUGGAAAUACAAGUUUCACAUAAACUUCGUAUAAACCCAAAAGCUUUGAUCAUCUCAUCAAAGCGCUUGUUCCAACUCCGAGAUGCUUACUCCAGUCCUUAGAAGGAUCGCUGAAGCUUGCAUACUUGUUAGCAUCCUUAGGAUCGACAAAACCUUCUGGUUGUAUCACAUACAACCUUUCCUCAAGGAAACCGUCAAGGAAACAAUGUUUUGACAUCCAUCUGCAAGAUGCAGCAACUGCUAACAUAGUUCUAACAGACUUUCAGCAUCACUACGAGUGAGAAAGUCUCAUCGUAGUCAACUCCUUGAACUUGUCGGAAACUUCUUUGCGACAAGUGAAGCUUCCUCAUUGGUGACUUUUCACCAUCAUCGUAUGUCUUCCUUUCAAAGAUCCAUCUGUACUCAAUAGUCUCACGACCAUCAAGUAGUUCUUCCAAAGUCCACACCUUGGUUUCAUACAUGGAUCCUCUCUCGGAUUUCAUGGCCUAUAGCCAUUUGUCGGAAUUCGGGCCCACCAUCGCUUCUCCAUAGCUCGUAGGUUCAUUGUUGUUCAACAACAUGACCUCCAAGACAGGUUUAUAGUACCACUCUGUAGCAGUACUCGACCUUGUCGACCUACGAGGUUUGUAGUAACUUGAUCCGAUGCUUAAUGAUCACUCUCAUCAGCUUCCACUUCAAUUGGUGUAGGCACCACAGGAACAACUUCCUGCGCCCUGCUACACACUGGUUGAAGUGAUGGUUCAGUAACCUCAUCAAGUUCCUCCACCCUCCCACUCAAUUCUUUUGAGAGAAACUUUUCCUCGAGAAAGGAACCGUUUCUAGAAACAAACACUUUGCUUCUGGAUCUGAGAUAGGAGAUGUAUCCAACGAUUUUGGAUAUCCGAUGAAGAUGCAUUUAUCUGCUUUGGGUUCGAGCUUAUCAGACUGAAACUUUUCACAUAAAUUUCGCAGCCCCAAACUUUUAAGAAACGACAGCUUAGGUUUCUCCAAACCAUAGUUCAUACGGUGUCAUAUCAAGGGAAAUAGGUGGUGACCUAUUUAAAGUGAAUGCGGUUGUCUCUAAUGCAUAACCCAUAAACGAUAGUGGUAAUUCCAUAAGAGACAUCAUAGUAUGCACCAUAUCUAAUAGGGUGCAGCUACGACGUUCGGACACACCAUCACACCAUAGUGUUCCAGGCGGCAUUAUGUGUGAAACAAUUUUCACAUUGUCUUAAAUGUAUACCAAACUCGUAACUCAGAUAUUCAUCUCUAUGAUCAUAUCGUAGACAUGUUAUCCUCAUGUUACGAUGAUCUUCAACUUCACUCUGAAACUUCUUGAACCUUUCAAUAAUUCAGACAUGUGUUUCAUCAAGCAAAUACGGUAGUAUCCACUCAAAUCUUCUGUGAAGUAAGAACAUAACGAUAUCCACUGCGUGCCUUAGCACUCAUUGGACUGGAUACAUCAAAUGUAUUACUUCCAAUAAGUUACUCUCUUGUUCCAUCUUAAUGGAAAACGAGGCCUUAAGUCAUCUUACCCAUGUGGCAUGAUUUGCAUGUCUCAAGUGAUUCAAAAUCAAGUGAGUCCAAACGAUCCAUCUGCAUGGAGUUUCUUCAUGCGUUUAUACCAAUAGGUAUGGUUUGCAUGUCUCAAACGUUUCAAAAAUGAGUGAGUACAAAGAUCCAUCAGCAUGGAGCUUAUUCAUGCAUUUUAUACCAACAUGACUCAAGUGGCAGUGCCACAAGUAAGUGGUACUAUCAUUACUACUUUGCAUCUUUUGGCAUCAAUAUUAUGAACAUGUGUAUCAUUACGAUCAAGAUUCAAUGAACCGUUUACAUCGGUGUAUGACCAUUGAAGGUAUUAUUCAUGUAAACAGAAUAAAUUUUAUUCUUGGACUUAAAUGAAUAACCGUAUUGCAGUAAACAUGAUCUAACCAUGUUCAUGCUCAACGCAAACACCAAAUAACAAUUAUUUAGGUUCAACACUAAUCCCGAUGGUAGAAGGAGCGUGCGAUGUUGAACAUAUCAACCUUGGAAACACUUUCAACACAUCGUCACCUCGCCUUUAGCUAGUCUCCGUUUAUUCCGUAGCUUUUCAUUUCGAGUUACUAACACUUAGCAACCGAACCGGUAUCUAAUACCCUCGUGCUACUAGGAGUACUAGUAAAGUACACAUCAAUAUCAUGUAUAUCCAAUAUACGUCUGUCGACUUUGCCAGCCUUCUCAUCUACCAAGUAUCUAGGGUAGUUCCGCUUCAGUGACUGUUCCCCUUAUAAUAGAAGCACUCAGUCUCGGGUUUGGGUUCAACCUUGGGUUUCUUCACUAGAGCAGCAACUGGUUUGCCAUUUCAUGAAGUAAUUCCUUCUUGCUCUUGCCCUUCUUGAAACUAGUGGUUUUACUAACCAUCAACAAUUGAUGCUCCAAUAUGAUUUCUACUUUCGCGGUGUCGAACAUCGCAAAUAGCUCAAGGAUCAUCAUAUCUAUCCUUGAUCUGUUAUAGUUCAUCACUAAGCUCUAGUAGCUUGGUGGCAGUGACUUUGGAGAACUAUGUCAGUCACUAUCUUAUCUGGAAGAUCAACUCCCACUCGAUUCAAGUAAUUGUAGCACUCAGGCGAUCUGAGCACAUGCUCAACAAUUGAGCUUUUCUCCCUUACUUUGUAGACAAAGAAUCUUGUCGAAGGUCUUAUACCUAUCAACAAGGGCACGAGCAUGAAAUCCCAAUUUCAUCUCUUGGAACAUCUCAUAUGUUCUAUGACGUUCAGAACGUCUUUGGCUCCAUAAUUCUAAGCCGUUUAAGCAUUAAGCACUGAACUAUCACGUUGUCAUCAAGAACGUGUAUGUCAGAUGUUCGCAACAUCCACAGACGACGCUCGAGGUUCAGCAUACCGAGUGGUGCAUUAAGGACAUAAGCUUUCUGCGCAGCAAUGAGGACAAUCCUCAGUUUACGAACCCAGUCCGCAUAAUUGGUACUAUCAUCUUUCAACCAAAUUUUCUCUAGGAACAUAUCAACAACAGUAGACCUACAGCGCAAGCUACAACAUAAUUUGCAAAUGCCUUUUGACUACGUUCAUGAUAAUUUUAGUUAAUCAUAUUACUAAUAAACUCCCACUCAAAUAGACAUCUCUCUAGUUAUUCGAGUGGCGCAUGAUCCAAAUUCACUAACUCAAGUCCGAUCAUCAUGUGAGUUGAGUUUAGCUUCAAUGGUGAACAUCUCCAUGUUGAUCAUAUCAACCGUAUGAUUCAUGCUCGACCUUUCGGUCUCCAGUGUUUCGAGGCCAUGUCUGUACAUGCUAGGCUCGUCAAGUUAAACCCGAGUGUUCCGCGUGUGCAACUGUUUUGCACCCGUUGUAUGUGAACGUUGAGUCUAUCACACCCGAUCAUCAUGUGGUGUCUCGAAACGACGAACUGUCGCAAGAGUGCACAGUCGGGGAGAAAACAAUUUAUCUUGAUAAUUGGUGAGAUAUCACCUUAUAAUGCUACCGUCGUUACUAAGCAAAAUAAGGUGCAUAAAAGGAUUAACAUCACAUGCAAAUCAUAAGUGACAUGAUAUGGCCAUGAACUUGUGCUUCUUGAUCUCCAUCAUCAAAGCACCGACAUGAUCUCCAUCGUCACCGGUGCAGCACCAUGAUCUCCAUCAUUGUGCCGCCAUCGUGGUUGUCGUGCUAUCUAUGCUAUUACUACUAAAGCUACUCCUAGCAAAAUAGUAACGCAUCUACAAGCACAAACAUCAGUUUAAAAACAACCCUAUGGCUCCUACCAGUUGCCGUAGCACCGACGUGCAAGUCGAUAUUUAACUAUUACAACAUGAUCAUGUCAUACAUCCAAUAUAUCACAUCAUGUUGUUGGCCAUAUCACAUGAUGAGCAUACCCUGCAAAAACAAGUUAGAUGUCCUCUAAUUUGUUGUUGCAUGUUUUACGUGGCUGCUAUGGAUAUCUAGUAAGAUCGCAUCUUACCUACGCAAAAACCACAACGGUGAUGCAUAAAUUGCUAUUUAACCUUCUCCAAGGACCACCUUGGUCAAAUCCGAUCCAACUAAAGCUGAAGAAACAGGCACCCACCAGUCACCUUGAUGCAAUCUCAUUGCAUGUUAACGGUGAAACCAGUCUCUCAUAAGUGUACGAGUAAUGUCGGUCUGGGCCGCUUCGAUUCAACAAUACCGCGGAACCAAGAGAAGACUAAGGAAGGAAGCAAAAUAAACAUCAACGCCCACAAACUCCUUUGUGUUCUACUUGAGAUAUCAUCUACGCAUGAACCUAGCUCAUGAUGCCACUGUUGGGGAACGCCGCAUGGGAAACAAAAAAUUUCCUACGUGCACGAAGUCCUAUCAUGGUGAUGAUCAUCCACGAGUGGGAGAACGGAUCUACAUACCCUUUGUAGAUGCACAUCAGGAAGCGUUUAGACAACGCGGUUGAUGUAGUGGUACGUCUUCACGAUCCCACGAACCGUCCCACGAUCCAUCCCGCGAACAAUCCCACUAUCCGUCCCGAUCAAGUACCGAACGGACGGCACCUCCACGUUCAACACACGUACAACUCGAUGACGAUAUCCGCCUUCUUGAUCCAGCAAGAGAGACGGGGAGGUAGAUGAGUUCACCGGAAGCCUAACGGCGCUCCGAUGGUGGUGGUGUUGCUGAUCCUGCAGGGCUUCGCCUAAGCUCCGCAGAAAACCGAUCUAGAGGAGAAACGAAGAAGUAGAGGUGUCUAGAUCUGAAUUUGCCCUUGGCAAAAGUUAUCUCAAAUCAGCCCUAGACCACCCGUAUAUAAAGGUGGAGGGGAGGGGAGGAGGCAGCCUCAAACCCUCAAGGUUUGGCCGAAAUUGGAGGUGGAGGAGUCCUACUCCAAUCCUACUUGGAGUAGGAUUCCUCCUUUUCACUUGGAAACCCUUUCCACCUUUUCCACCUUUGGGUUUUUGCCUCUCAAACCUUAUGGGCCUUAGUGGGAACUUAUUCCAGCCCACCAGGGGCUGGUUUUAUCUCUUCCCACGCCCAUGAGGCCCCUUGGGGCGUGACACCCGUCCCGAUGGUCCACCGCACCCCUCCCGACACUCCCGGUACACUACCGAUGAGCCCGAAACUUUUCUGGUGACCAAAACAGGACUUCCUAUAUAUCAAUCUUCGUUUCCGGACCAUUCCAGAACUCCUCGUGAUAUCCGAGAUCUCAUCCGAGACUCUGAACAUACUUCGAUCACCAGCACCUAUAACUCAACUAUACCGAAAUGUCACCGAACCUUGAGUGUGCAGACCUUGCGGGUUCGGCAACUAUGUAGACAUGACCUGAGACACCUCUCAGUCAAUAUCCAAUAGAGGGACCUAGAUGCCCAUAUUGGAUCCCACAUAUUCCACGAUAAUCUUAUCGGUUGAACCUCUAUGUCAAGGAUUCAUAUAAUCCGGUACAUCAUUCCCUUUGUCCUUCGGUAUGUUACUUGUCCGAGAUUCGAUCGUCGGUAUCCAAUACCUAUUUCAAUCUCGUUACCGGCAAGUCUCUUUACUCGUUCCGUAAUACAAGAUCCCGUGUCUAACAACUUAGUCACAUUGCUUGCAAGGCUUGUUUGUGAUGUUGUAUUACCGAGUGGGCCCCGAGAUACCUCUCCGUCACACAGAGUGACAAAUCCCAGUAUUGAUCCAUGCUAACUCAACUAACAUCUUCGGAGAUACCUGUAGUGCACCUUUAUAAUCACCCAGUUACGUUGUGACGUUUGAUACACACAAAGUAUUCCUCCGAUGUCAGUGAAUUACAUGAUCUCAUGGUCGUAGGAAUAUAUACUUGACAUGCAGAACACAGUAGCAACAAAAUAACACGAUCACAUGCUACGUUCAUAUAUUAGGUCUUCGUCCAUCACAUGAUUCUCACAAUGAUGUGAUCCCGUUAUCAAAUGGCAACACUUGUCUAUGGCUAGGAAACCUUAGCCAUCCUUGAUCAACGAGCUAGUCAACUAGAGGCUCACUAGGGACAGUGUUUUGUCUAUGUAUCCACACAUGUAUUUGAGUUUCCAAUCAAUACAAUUAUAGCAUGGAUAAUAAACGAUUAUCUUGAACAAGGAAAUAUAAUAAUAACUAUUUUAUUAUUGCCUCUAGGGCAUAUUUCCAACAAGAAUAUGGCGAGAUCAGUGGCUGAUGCGAGGAAACACUAAUUCAUUGCUUUCGAGUAGAGGUCGGUGUCAUUUGGAAUGGGUGUGUGAACUACUUGAUCACAAUGGUAAUUGGGAUAUGCAGAGGCUACAACAGUUCUUUUUGCCCGUUGACGUUGCACAAAUUUGCAAGAUAAGACCUUUGCCCCGGUUAGGGGAAGACUUUCUUUCAUGGGCGCCAGAACGGAGUGGAAACUUCUCGGUUAAAAGUGCUUACUGGCUUGCUGCAAAUGAAAUGCUUGGAACAUCUAUUACUUCAUUGAGUUCUGCCUAAGAUAGUAGCAGGGACGUGUGGAAGCUUAUUUGGUCUUGUCCGGCUCCGCCAAAGGUUAUGUCGUUUGCCUGACGAGAAGCGACGAAUUCCCUAGCGACAUGGAAGAACAAGAAGCGGAGAACUUUAGAGGAACGAGACACUUGCCCUAUCUGUGGUAGAUAAGUGGAAGACUCGUUUCAUGUCUUGUGUGCAUGUGAUAAGGCACAUCAGUUGUGGAAAGCGAUGGCGCGGGUCUGGGAGCUGCCUAGACUUACUGAUAUAAAACGGCAUGACGACUGGUUUAUCCAUGUGGUGUGUGAAGCCGAUGAACAGCAGCGUGUCCGGUUACUUAUGAUCCUAUGGAGGAUUUGGCAUGUGAGAAAUGAAGUUGUGCAUUCAAAGCCGGCUCCUCCAGUUGAUGCAUCAGUUCGGUUCCUUGCGAGCUAUUAUGAUGCCUUCGCAAUCUUGAGAGCUGAUCGAGACGCUGAUUACGUCAAAGGCAAGAUGGUUCCUGCCCAUUGCUUUCCAUUACUGAGAGAUGUCGGUGUUGUACCGAUAGACAGCUGUAGCCUUUGGAUUCCCCCAAGCGAUGGAAGAUUGAAGUUAAACCAGUGAUGGAUCUGUAUUAAAAGAGAGUGCUGGAAGUGGCAUGGUCUUGCGGGAUCAUGACGACAACAUUAUCUUCAACGCUUGCAGAUUUCUUUAUGAUUGCAACGGCGUGCUUGAGUCUGAGAUCGUGGCUAUCCGGGAGGGUCUCAGGUUGGCGCUGCAAUGGAGCUCUCUGCCUAUAGAUGUUGAGUCUGAUUGUCUUGAGGCUAUUGCAAUGGUAAAGGACGCGGGGCGCAACUUAUCAAGAUAUGCUUUUCUGAUUGGAGAGAUUAAGCAAAGUAUGGGGAACGUGUCUCUUCUAUUACUCAUAUGUGUCGUUCAUGCAUUGUGUUAGUCAUGCUAUGGCUAGUUUUGGUAGAAGGCAGGGCCGAACCAUGGUUUGGCUCGGCUCGGCUCGAGUUGAAGUCUUAUGUAUUGCCUCACGUUGUAGUCACUAAUGAUUGAGUAAUGUAAGACUUAUUUCGCAAAUACAUGUAAUCGCGAAUUAGUGUUAACACCCCAACUGAAACUGUUUACAAUAUAUUUGACAUAUAAAAAUAUUUCUCGCCUCAUUAAAUGUCCACAGGAAUGUUGUGAUAUGUUUGGCUAGUCAGACAAACUUUUAACUGAAACUGUUUACAAUAUAUUUGACAUAUAAAAUAUAUUUCUUGCCUCAUUAAAUGUCCACGGGAAUGUUGUGAUCUGUUUGGUUAAUCGGACAAACUUUUAGCUAUUUGCAUCCGUGACCCUAUUGAGCUUGUUUGAGGGUAUGCAGGCUUUAGGCCAUCUUUUGUACUUCCUUCGUUUUUAAAUAUAAGUCUUUUAAAAGAUUCCACCACAGAUUAUAUAUGAAUGUAUUAGACGUAUUUUAAAGUGUGAAUUUAUUUAUUUUAAUUUGUAUGUAGUCCAUAGUAAAAUAUCUUAAAAGCCUUAUAUUUAGAGACGGAGGAAGUAUAUUGCUUGGCACCCUAAAUUGCAUCAGUGAGCACUUUCAUGCCAACCAUUGGUUGACUGCAAUGUGCUUUACGGGUUUGCACAUGCAAAUCACCAUUGUUUGGCUAUGCGCAAAUGUGUUAAUAUGCUUUACUGGUUGGAAUGGUGAUUCUAAAUGUGUUUUUGUGGUGCUGGUGCAACUAUUACUAUUUGUUUUUGUGCUUGCUUUGUAGCCAAAUUUCUAUGGAGUGUUUUGCAAUGUACAUUUGGUUAAAUUAUGCUCACGUGGAUGUUAAGAACAAUUUCAUUCCAUGGCUCUCUCCUUUUGACCAUAUUAAGAAAAGGAAUAUUUGUGUGGGUAUUUUUGCAUUGAUGUGAUCUAUUUGAACUUGCAGGAAUGACAUUUGCUUUGAUCGUAAGACAACUAUUGAUCCUUUUGGGAUUAUGUAUAAAACUUGCUACUUUAUCGAUGUCGGCCUAUUUUACAAGCAAACAAUGGAAGUCAACGUUGGGGCGAUUUCUAGAACGGGUAGCAAGUGAUUUCUACAAUGCAUCAAGAGAAUUGAAUCCUAGAUUACUGAGACUAACUGGUGGUUGAUGAUUACAUACUUAGUGAAGCUGAUGUUGCUCUUCUUGUUGCUUCCUUUUAUAGAUUAGUUUUGUUCUUACUCAGUUUCUGCUUAUAAGCACUUUGUAUUUUGGCUUCGGUUUCCUGCUUGAACCUGCUUGUGCUACCGUGGCACUAUAAUUCGGCAGGAAUGAUGCCGAUACAAAGGUGUUAGAUGGGCGAAACAUUUACACAUGGACACAAAAAUGCCCUCUGAGGUUUGUGAGUUUGUAAAAUAUCCACCUUGGUGCUUCUCGGCCUGACGUGUUUCAUCAUUAAAUCGUCAUGGAGGUCCUCGACCCAGCCCACCUAGUCGGGAGAUGACAUGGAGCAUCCCCUAGUCGAGGACAUCAUCACCUAGCAAGGGGACCUUUUCUGUUAAAAAUCUCUUCUUCAGUUAUGUGAAAAAAGUAGGGAAUUGGGAGAUUGUUAGAUUUUGGGAUGGUGGGUGGAUGAUAAACCACUCAAACAAAAUUUACCUAGAUUAUAUGAUAUAUGAUUUAUUAAGAAUAUUAGACUCGGUGCUGUGUUGAACAAAAGCGGGAACAAUUUAAGUUCAGCAGAACUUUAUGGGGUGAUACACUAACACAAUGGAACGAGAUACAAGGUUGUGCUCACAUUAAAUUGAAAGAUGAAAAAGACACUUUAAUGUGGUCCUGGCUACUAAUGCAAAAUAUUUUGUGAAAUCAUAUUAUAACCAACUCAUGAUUAAUGGGUUGAAUUUUCCUUUCAAAUUUCUUUGGAGAAUUAAAAUUCCUCCGAAGAUCAUUUUUUUUGUAUGGCUUGGUGUUAGAAACGGUGUGUUUACUAAAGAUAAUUUGCAUAAAAUGGGUUAGAAUGGUGAUUCUAAAUAUGUUUUUGUGGUGCUGAUGAAUCUAUUGAUCAUUUGUUUUUGCACUGUUGAGUAGCCGAAUUUUUAUGGAGUUUCUUCAAAAAUUCAGAAAAAAACUAUUCUUAGAAUUAUAAAAAUGCACCAACCUUACAAAUCAAACAAGUAAUGCAGAGGAAAAAAAUCACCGGAUUCUAAUUCUCAUAAAGUCAUUGUAACCAAACAUACAAACCCUUAAAGCAUCUCGAGCUGUUCGGCCCCCAGGGGCGUGAAAUAGCACCGCCUGGGGGCAUGCCGGGGAAAUAAAAUCGGCCGGGGGAGGGGGGGGGCUCAGGUUCUCAGUCGGGUCCCCAAAGGUCGCCCCAACUGUUUUAAAAAAAACUCGACCCAAAUUCGGCCAAAACCGACUCAAAUUCGAAGAAAGUUCAUAGUUUUUCAUUGAAAUUUAUACAUAAGUGAAAUAAAAACAUAAUUAAACUACGUAGCCGCCGCCCUUCGCUGCCGCUCGAUGUCACCGCCUUCUACAUAUCGAGAAGCUUCUAGAAAUUGGUGUAGUCACCAUCGUCGUUGUCCUACGCUCUGUCGCAGUCCUUGCUGCACCCCUGCCCUGUGUCGCUGUGGCGAACAUUGUUGGAAGGCACUGACGCCUCCUUGUCGCUGUCAUCGAGGAUGACGAGGGUGCCCUCCUUGCGGCCGCGGCGCCGGGCGGCGAUCUCCUCAAGGGCGCGACGCUGGCGCUCCGUCUCCUCCCGGAGGUAGUCAUCUCACGCCCAUUUAAGGGCGGUCUCGUCAUCGGCGGCCAUGUUCAGGUGCUCCUGCUUGACGGGGAGGAGUCCCGGCUCUGUAUUCGGCUUGACGAGGCGGGAGGAGGCGUCGGGCCCGUUGAUGAUGAUGCCGUUGCUGCGCGUGCGCCGCCCUAGCAGUGUCUCUCGCAGCUCCGGCUUGACAGGGAGGAGCGUCGGUGACCCAGAGGAGCGGGAGCCGAACGAGGAGGAUGACGCCGCCUCCAUCCGCCUCGGCGUUCAGGAGUUGCUGCAACAUCGGGAAAAGGCGGGUGGCGGUGGGUACUCGUACCACGACGAUUUUCCGCUCUCGAUGUGCUCGAGGGCAACCUUCAAUGAGCGGUCGGGGACGCCCCACCAUUCGGCGCCCCUCGGAGUUGUGGUGGCCGCGUGGUUCGACCCCGUUGGUGGCGGCGAGCUGGUCGGCGUGCCGGCGUUCGAAGUACGCCGUCCACAGCGUGUUGUUAUCGGGGGCGUACCUCGGCAGGUUGCGCAAGCUCUCCGGCAGCGACGACCGGAUGCGCGCGAUCUCCGCCCGCCGGUCAGGUCUAGAGGGCGGCGGUGGCACCGGGACUCCGUCGGCGCUCAACCUCCAUGAUCCCCGCACCCGCAUGUCUGGUGGCGCCGGGUAGUCCGCCUCGUAGAGAAGGCGGGCCUCGUCCUCAUGAAGGUGACGGUGGCCGAAGCCAUUGGCUGCGGCUCCGUUGUCGGGGAAGCGUUCGAUCAUUUUUGGGAAGAAAGAGGGAGAGGAGGCACCGUUGACGAAGAAGGAGAGGAGAGGGCGUCGAGGACGAGAUUUUGGCGAGAGGGUUGUGUGGCCACCGAUGGGGAGAGUGUUGGAAAUAUGCCCUAGAGGCAAUAAUAAAAUGGUUAUUAUCAUAUUUCCUUGUUCAUGAUAAUCGUCUAUUGUUCAUGCUAUAAUUGUAUUAACAGGAAACAGUAAUACAUGUGUGAAUAAAUAGAUCACAAUGUGUCCCUAGCAAGCCUCUAGUUGGCUAGCUCGUUAGUCAAUAGAUGAUCAUGGUUUCCUGAUCAUGGGCAUUAGAUGUCAUUGAUAACGGGAUCACAUCAUUGGGAGAAUGAUGUGAUGGACAAGACCCAAUCCUAAGCAUAGCACUAGAUCGUAUUGUUCGUAUGCUAAAGCUUUUCUAAUGUCAAGUAUCUUUUCCUUCGACCGUGAGAUUGUGCAACUCCCGGAUACCGUAGGAUUGCUUUGGGUGUAUCAAACGUCACAACGUAACUGGGUGAAUACAAAGGUGCACUACGGGUAUCUCUGAAAGUGUCUGUUGGGUUGGUACGAAUCAAGAUCGGAAUUUGUCACUCCGUGUGACGGAGAGGUAUCUCUGGGCCCACUCGGUAGAACAUCAUCAUGAGCUCAAUGUGACUAAGGAGUUAGUCACACGAUGACGUGCUACGGAACGAGUAAAGAGACUUACCGGUAACGAGAUUGAACAAGGUAUUGGUAUACCGACGAUCGAAUCUCGGGCAAGUUCUAUACCGACAGAAAAAGGGAAUCGUAUACAUGAUUGAUUGAAUCCUUGACAUCGUGGUUCAUCCGAUGAGAUCAUCGUGGAGCAAGUGGGAGCCACCAUGGGUAUCCAGACCCCGCUGAUGGUUAUUGGCCGGAGAGGCGUCUCGGUCAUGUCUGCCUGUCUCCCGAACCCGUAGGGUCUACACACUUAAGGUUCGGUGACGCUAGGGUUAUAGGGAAUUGUUAUACGAGGUUACCGAAAGUUGUUCGGAGUCCCGGAUGAGAUCCCGGAUGCCACGAGGAGCUCCGGAAUGGUCCGGAGGUAAAGAUUGAUAUACAGGACGGAUGAUUUCGGAUACCGGAAGUGUUUCGGGCAUCACCGGUAACGUACCGGGACCACCGGAGGUGGCCCCGGGGGACCACCGAAGGGGGGCAACGACCCCGGGAGGUAAGAUGGGCCAAGUGGGGGUGGGAACCAGCCCCUAGGUGGGCUGGUGCGCCUCCCCACUCAGCCCAAUGCGCAGGGGAGAGAAAAGGGGGGGGGACCCUAAGCCAGGUGGGCCUAAGGCCCACCAGGUGGUGCGCCACCCCCUCCUCCCCCCUCUGGCCGCCGCACCUCCCAUCUGGGGGGGCUGCCGCACCACCUAGGGUGGGAACCCUAGGGGUGGCACCCCUCUCCCCUUCCCCUAUAUAUAUCGGGCACUUUUGGCCAUUGAGAGAGAGGCUUUUCCCUCUCCCUCGACGCAGCCGUGCCCUUCUUCCUCCUCCUCUCUCCCGGUGCUUGGCGAAGCCCUGCCGGGAGACCUCGUCUCUCCAUCGACACCACGCCAUCGUGCUGCUGGAGUUCUUCCCCAACCUCUCCCUCCUCCUUGCUGGAUCAAGGUGCGGGAGACGUCACCGGGCUGCACGUGUGUUGAACGCGGAGGUGUCGUAGUUCGGCACUAGAUCGGAAUCGCUGCGAGUACGACUCCAUCAACCGCGUUCUAGCAACGCUUCCGCUUAGCGAUCUUCAAAGGUAUGAAGAUGCUCUUACCCCUCUCUCGUUGCUGGUCUCUCCAUAGGAAGAUCUGAAUGUGCGUAGGAAAAUUUUGAAUUUAUGCUACGUUACCCAACAGAGAGGACACCUUAUAUAGCUACGGGUGGGCGAGCACGCAGAGCGGCGCCAUGUGAACGUGUGACAGGAACGGACGGAACGUGCGUCGCCGGGACGCGCGUCGCUGCACCUUCAUUGCGCCGUCCGUGAAUCUAUGAAAGGCUGACCGACAGUGCAGCCUUCGCAUUUAUUUGUGUGGGAAACGAGGCAAUGGGACGACGACCGCGCGUGUUAGUUGCUGACUCGGGAGAUCCAGAGUUUUUUCGCGUCAAAAAUGUUUUCACCGGCGCCCCCGGACGAACCUAGCACGCUGAGUUCGGCUUAAUUUCGGUCCUAAUCGACGAAAAACGGACUUGUGAAAAUGCGACUGAACCCUUUUUUUUCUCCCGACGAUGAACUCUUUUUUGGCCGGAAGAGCCUAUUGGGGUGCGGCUAGACAUAUGCUUUUAUCUUAUGCUCGAACCUGCUUGUGCUGCCGCGGCGUUACGAUUCGGCAGGAAAGAUGAUGAUUCAGAGCUGUCAGAUUGGUGAAACAUUUACACAUGACCAGAAAAAUGCGCUCUGAGGGUUGUUAGUUUGGUACUUAAUUUGUACACGUUCAUCAUAAAAAGGGGAAUACCUAAUUAUUCAUUUUCAUUAUUAGCAUUGGAGAGUACUUAUAGCGUCGGAAAAAAGCUGAGAAAGCCAAGAAUGUGCCGUACAUGUACCAAAAUACUUGUAAGGACCAUCGCAAAACUUCAUCCGGCGUGCAAGCUACGAUAAGGGUUGUGUGGGAGCAUGAGGUGCAUGUGGUGGGAGAGACCGAUCACGGAAGGAUUUACCCAUGCGCGCGUACGUAUCCUCUCCUCUGUUCAUCGUCUACAUCUCUAAGGACAACUCCAACGGAUCGAUCCAAAUUAACAGUGAUUUCAUCCGUUUAGGUCGGCCACGCGGACAUAAACGUCCGCUUCCACAAAUGGGUCGGCUCGCGCGUCCAACGCUGAUCGGACCCAUUUUUUGCCGGCGAGAAAAAAAAGGCGGAGCACAAUAGAUACCUGCAACCUCGGUAGCCACCAAGUGCCCGCUCCCUAGGGUUCGUCCCACCCUCCCCCAGUCGUCGGCGCCGCUGUUGGCCUUCCUAGGGCCCCCGCCGCCGCCGGUCGUCCCCGCCCCCUCCCCAUAUCCCCCUCCCAGAUCCGCCCCAUGCCGUCUCCCCGGGAGGUGGCCGGGGCGGCGUGAGCCCCUCCCCUCUUCGGCCUCCCUCCAUCCCGUUCCCUCCCUGCCGCCGCCGAUGGUCGCCCCUGACUCUUGACCGGGUGGUGUUGGUGGCGGCGGGAGUGCCUGUCCCCUCGCGGGCGGCUCCCUGCCCGGGGCAUGGGGGCGGCGGUGGUGCUCCUCGGCUCGGAGACGGUCCGGCGACCCGGCAGCAGUGGCCGGCGGCGCAUGAGGUGGUGGUGUUGCCCUUUGGCGAUGAGAUGGCGUGGUGACGCAGGUUGGCCGGCGACGCGCCCCCGGCCCAGAUCGGGGCCCUGUGGGCCCUAUCUGUGUCCUAGAGGGCCGGCUCCCGGCGUGGCUUCAUCGUCGUCUAUGUGGUCAGGAGGAGGAGCAGCUCGGACGGGGGGCGACGACGCCGAUGGCGCGCCUGCUGCAGUGCGAUGGUGGGAGCUUUACGGGCGUGGAGGGCCUGGCCGGGCCUGUGGGCCCACGGGCCUGGUAUGCUCCUGCUAUUGUGCCCGUCGGCUACCGUCGUCGACGGUGGAGGUUGUACCCUCCCGCGUGCCGACGGUGCUGUGGUCCCUAGUCCCGGCUCCUAUUCCCCGUUGUGCAUGCCUCACUUCAUGAUGCCGUGGUGAGACGGUGUGGAGGCUUCAUCACCGCGGUGGCGCAAGAUGGUGGGCGGUUUGGUGGCAGGCUCUGGAGCAUCCGAGGUGAAGGUUGGGAUCGGGGGAAACCCCUGUCGGCCUGGCCGACACCGACGCGGCGAUGCCGGCAGGUGCCGCCGGACCUUCCUGGAGGGCGUCGGGAGCGACCCUUCCUCUUGCCUCGUCACGUACCGGGGAAAACCCUUGGCAGCAGCGUCGUCAUCGUCGCGGUCCUUCUUGGAGGUGUUGAUUGGUACCGAUGCUUCGGAGCCUUGGAGCUUGGUGGGAGAUCUUCGGUGGGCGCAGUGGUCGUGAAGCGUCUUCGUUUCCAUCGAUCCGCCGUUGUCGGCAUUUUUCUCUUGUCGUUUCUCUUUCGUUUCUUUUGGGUGUGAUCGUGCUGCUUCCGCCCCAGCACCUACUUGAUUGUAAUCUGGAUGAUGUAUGAUGUACUUUAUCUAUAAAGUGGGGCAAAAACUUGUUUCGAAAGAAAAAAGAGAGGCAUAAUACAUAAUUAAACAUUAAAGCCGGCCACGAGGGCCGACGAUAGUCCAUGCAUCGCUCGCAUUACACUAAAUAAAAAUAAAAACACUAGAACUGCAUGCAUGCAGCCCUAGGCGUCCUCGUCGUCGUCGUCGUCGGGACCGAUGAGGUCGACCAUGGUAGGCGGAGGGCCGGCCCAGGGAAACGCCAUGUUUCAUAGCGCUGCGGCCUGCUUCUCCGUCGAGUGUGGAGGUGGCGGUGGCAGCGCAGCAGCACGGAGGCGUUCCUCCUCCUCCGCCUUCGGGCGUUGGUCCUCCCUACCUUAGCCGCGGGCCUUCUUCGCGCUCCUCAAAAUACUUGUAAGGACCAUCGCAAAAGGAGAAACACUUGUAGAGAAACUUCAUCCGGCGUCCAAGCUACGGCAAGGGCUGUGUGGGAGCACGAGGUGCAUGUCGUGGGAGAAGGAUUUACACAUGCGCGCGUACGUAUCCUCUCCCCUGUUCAUCGUCUAUAGCUCUAAGCGAUGGUACACCUGUGACUGAGUAAUAGUAAUAACCAAAUACUCGUAACAGAGAAUUACCGCCGUAGUUUCGACCGUGAAGUUGUGUUGGGUGCCUGUGCCUGUGGCAGUCAGUGAUCUGACGACUCCAGCGCUAGCCGUGGAGCUACUGCCAGGUCGCGCCCGUACGAGCCGGAGCCGGAGCCGGCAGCCAUGCGUGUAUCUCGUCAUCCACACGUCGUGACUCACCGCACACGCGGCGUUCUCCUCGCCCUGGUCAGGGGCGACGGAAGCUCCGCCCCGCGCUUGUUGGCUGACGGUGAAACGUUCAACGUGCACGAAGCGCGCUGGUUACCUGUGCCUGUGCCUGUGCCGGUGCCGGUCAACAUCACCGUCCGAGUCGCCCCGCACUGCGUGGAGUUCGACGCUGGGAGGGGGAACAGCAACACACCCUAGUCUCCUAGGAUGUGUUUGGCCGGAGGAUCAUUUUGGAGCAUCUACAGUUUAAUAAACUUAUAAAUCUGGCCCAUAUCCAUUUUGAACCUUAUUACAAUGUUGCUUCAUUUAAAUAAAAUGGGGCAGGGAGGAGGAAAACCCUUUCAUCCAAAAAAUAAAAUAAAAAAUUAAAUCUUAUUUUUUCAUAUGUGCAACCAUACUUUUUAUAUUUUUUCCUCAUAUGUCCGACCACUUGCAUGUAAUUGGUGAAGAAGAAGAAGAGAAAGAAAGAAAAGAAUGAAUAAAGAAGGAGAAAAUAUGGCUGAGGGUGGGGGUCGCGUCUUACAUGGCGCGCCCGGAAGCCAUCAUAUCAUCCAUAUUUGAGAUGGUUAUGAGGGGUGUCGGUCAGUCCGGGUGUUUGAGAUGAGUAUGAGGGGUCUGGCUGGAUCGAUUUUUUGUGACCGGUCACGGAGCGGGCUGUGUGGCGUUUGAGGCGGAUUUAAGAGGUCCGGCCGCAGAUUCUCUUAUAGUUGUUUUCUUUGAUAUAUACUAUUGAGUAAAUGCAUUCACGGUGUGUUUGCUAAGGUGUAUAUAACUGAACCAGGCCCGUAAGGGAUGAAAAAUGCUCGUUUGGUUCCGUGUAAGGUGGUAUAUGUCGCACGUGCACCAUACUUAAAACAUCCUAUAGCCUGGAUUGAUGGAAACGCUUGAAUUGGAAAUUUCGGUGAGACAGACCGAAUCGGGCGCAUAAACUGAUCCCAACAUAGGGCGCGGUGCAUGGGGGAUUCAGACAGAGAUGGCAAGAGACGAAAAUCAAGGGAGACGGAAUGACGUGAAAUAUACCAUCCGCCCUUCCCCAAUUUACUCGCUCACCCGUGGCUCUAGGACAAGCCCUUCUUCUGUUCUUGGCACCGAUGGCGGUGGCGAGUCAAAUCUACGGUUGCAGUGUUGGUGGCAGCUGCUUUUCCCCUUCUUCUUCGUCACCGUCCAACCAUCCUCGUCUUAGUCAUGCCCCCGACCCUGAAGCUGGUAAGCACUCUCCCAUUUCAUUGUUGAACGUACCAUGGAUGUCGCUUAGGUUGUGGAUACACCCAUGAAGUUUGUAGUUCAGGUAGCAUCGCUGAUAGUUGUAGCUCAGACCUGGAUUCUGUUGAUCCAUAAGUGAGUUGUUCAUCGGAAUGAAAAGCCUCUCAUCCGUUAUGAUCCGAUUUUAAUUCCGGACCGGGAGAGGAUAUUGAAUUUGAGCUACAUCUACAACUACAAGGAGACAUAGGCUCUGUGGAUGCUUCGAAUGAGAAGAGUGCUUUUCGCAAGGCUUGUGUAGACGUUUAGACGCACGUGGUCGCUACAAGAUAGCAUCCACAUACACCACGGUGGAAAAGCAAAUAGACAUGUUCCUCCAUGUUGUUGGUCAUAACCAGAGGUUCAGGGUUAUGCAGAACGCAUUCAGGAGAUCAAUGGAGACCAUUUUCACAUACUCCAGGCAAGUGUUUUAUGCUUUGGGGGAACUCACCGGAUAGAUGAUUCGCACACCAACUGCCCGAACUACUAGAAAGAUUCGCACUAGCCCAAGAUGGUAUCCAUAAUUCAAGGUGAGCACUGACAGUAUGUAGUUCAUGCAUUGAUAAGUUGUUAUUGUUCUACGCUAGCCAUAACAUCAUCUUGUAUUGUCAUUUCAGGAUUGCAUUGGGGCAAUUGAUGAUACUCAUGUGACUACCAGAGUGUCGAUAUCACAAUCUACAUCAUACAAAGGGAGGAAGCACUACACAAGUCAGAAUGUGCUAGCUACUCUUGACUUCGAUCCAAAGUUCACAUAUGUGUUGACUCAAUAGGUGCACAUGAUGCUAACAUUCUAACACUAGUAGGAAAAACAUUAUAGGUAGGACCCCGUUAGUAGCACUGGAAUAUAGCAUGCGCUGCUGCUACUUAGGAGUAGCGCUCGAAUUGUAAAAAACACUACUGUUAAACAGGACCCAACGAGCCCACCGAUGGUAGUAGUAGUAGCAGCACACCCUUGUAAAAAGCGCUACUGCUAAGUAGAAUAGCAGUAGCGCUCGGCGAGAAUCAGCACUACUGCUAUUGGGCCCCACUUAGGAGUAGCGCUGCCCUAGAAAAGUGCUACUACUAAUACCAAUAGCAGUAGCACCCUUUGGAAAGCAGCGCUACUGCUACGUGUGGCUGGUGGUAGCUUUUCACCCACACCCCUCUCCCCCCCUUCCUCUCCCCUCCUUUCUCCUCUCCUCUCUCUAAGUUACUUCCCCACCAUUGUUGCCCUUCUUUUCUCUUCCUUAUACCUCUCUUCUCUCCCUAUUAAUGCCCCCUCCACCCUAAUUCUCCUCCAUAAAUGACCUCUUCUAACUUUAUCUUCCACAUUUAUUUGGCUUUUCCCUCCUUCCAUACAUAUAGAUCUAGCUAGAUCAUCUCUCUCCCUCUCCAUUAGUUAGCUAGAGUCAUAUCUCCUCAAAACAACUAGAUCUAGCUACUUAUUUAGCCCUGCACAAUCUCUCUUGGGUUAUAGGUGAGUAAAAAGUUGUGCAUUUCAGUAAUGGGAAUAUGUGUGUUUGCGAUAUGAAGGGAUUUGUGUGAGUGACAUGCCCCGUGAGUUGCUUAUGUUUUGCUUAAAUGUGGAUUUAUUUCCAUUUUGGCGAAUUUCGAGCAAACUCGAUAUGUCCUAUUUUUAGGCAAGGUUAUGCCAAAAUUUUACAUGACUUUGAUGCAUGCAUGUAUUUUGUUUAUAACCCUUUUGCUUGUUAUACUAUGCAACCAUGAAGGUGAGUGGAAGGAAGGUGUGGAGCGAUACUUGCAAUCCACGGUGAUGGACAUUUAUGCAAAUAAAUGAACUGGGAUUAGAUGUCCGUGUACAAGAUGCAAAGAAGGAGUAACUUUGGAUCCUUUUGAUCGUGGCAGUUUGAAGGCCCAUUUGUUGAUCAAUGGUUUCAUGGAUGGCUAUACUCGGUGGAUAAGUGAAGAUAUGAUGAGGACGUCCACAUGGCACAGAAUAAUGACAUGGGACUAGACGAAGAGAUGACUGAUCGACACGAAGACGAUGGCGCCAGACACGGCAGCGGCAAAGAGCCUGGACACGACGGCAGGAAAGAGUCCUAACACGGCGGCGGGGAAGAGUCUAAACGCGGCGGUGGAGAAUAUUCUAGACAUGGCGGGGAAGAGGCGACGGACAUGCCGCAGUCUUUGAUGCUACUAAGUUUAGUCAUGCAUGACCCUCAUGUUCGAGACCUCCUUCGCAAGAGUACGACUAGUGACAAAGUUGCUUCUAGAGAGGAGUCCAAGAUGGCACAACUUGAAGUAGACUCGAAGACUCCAUUAUAUGACGGUUGCGAUCCUGAGGUGACCCGCUUGAGUUUCACGCUCGAACUUCUAAAGACGAAGGCCAAAAACAAAUGGACAAACAAAAGGCUCGAUGAUCAUUUGAAGUAUCUACAUAAUAAAGUUCUUCCCGCGGGGAACGUGUGUCCUAUUAGUGUCGAGGAGGCCAAGAAAAUCGUUUUCCCUCUUGAUCUGCUGCACAUUAGAUACCAUGCUGUUGGAAAUAUGCCCUAGAGGCAAUAAUAAAUUAUUUAUUAUUAUAUUUCCUUGUUCAAGAUAAUCGUUUAUUAUCCAUGCUAUAAUUGUAUUGAUUGGAAACUCAAAUACAUGUGUGGAUACAUAGACAAAACACUGUCCCCAGUGAGCCUCUAGUUGACUAGCUCGUUGAUCAAAGAUAGCUAAGGUUUCCUAGCCAUAGACAAGUGUUGUCACUUGAUAACGGGAUCACAUCAUUAGGAGAAUCAUGUGAUGGACAAAGACCUAUAAUAUGAACGUAGCAUGUGAUCGUGUCAUUUUGUUGCUAUUGUGUUCUGCAUGUCAAGUAUAUAUUUCUAUGACCAUGAGAUCAUGUAAUUCACUAACAUCGGAGGAAUACUUUGUGUGUAUCAAACGUCACAACGUAACUGGGUGACUAUAAAGGUGCACUAUAGGUAUCUCCGAAGAUGUCAGUUGAGUUAGCAUGGAUCAAGACUAGGAUUUGUCACCCCGUGUGACGGAGAGGUAUCUCGGGGCCCACUCGGUAAUACAACAUCACAAACAAGCCUUGCAAGCAAUGUGACUAAAGAGUUAGCCACGGGAUCUUGUAUUACGGAAUGAGUAAAGAGACUUGCCGGUAACGAGAUUGAAAUAGGUAUUGGAUACCGACGAUCGAAUCUCGGGCAAGUAACAUGCCGAAGGACAAAGGGAAUAGUAUACGUGAUUAUAUGAAUCCUUGACAUAGAGGUUCAACCGAUAAUAUUAUCGUGGAAUAUGUAGGAUCCAAUAUGGGCAUCCAGGUCCUGCUAUUGGAUAUUGACUGAGAGGUGUCUCAGGUCAUGUCUACAUAGUUCCCGAACCUGCAAGGUCUGCACACUUAAGGUUCGGUGACUUUUCGGUAUAGUUGAGUUAUAGGUGCUGGUGACCGAAGUUUUGUUCGGAGUCCCGAAUGAGAUCCCGGAUGUCACGAGGAGUUCCGGAAUGGUUGGGAAACAAAGAUUGAUAUAUAGGAAGUGGGUAUUUGGAUUCCGGAAGAUUUUCGGGCACUACCGACAGUGUACCGGGAGUGACGAAUGGGUUCCGGGGGCCCACCAGGUGGGCCCACCACGCCCCAAGGGUUCCACAUGGUAUUAUUGGAUGCGCAAGAAAGGUUAUUGGGCUGACAAGUCGUCCAAGGAAAGCCCAUAAGGAAAAAGGUGGAAAAUCCAAAAGAGGUGGACAAAUUGGGAAGGAGUCAUAAUCCAAGUGGAAUUGGAGGAGGACUCCUCUCCUCCUUGCGCCAAAGAGAGAAAAAAGGGGCAGCCACGUGACAGCCACCUCCCUCCUCGCCUCCUAUAUAUACUAAGGGUUUUUGAGGAUUUUGGACAACAGAUUUUUGCCACGUGCAAACCCGAAACCUCUAGUUCUUCGUUUCACCUCUAGAUUAGAUUUCUGCGGAGCUCGGGCAGAGCCCUGCAGGAAUAGAUCGACACCACCACCACCCGGGGAGCUGUCACGCUGCUGGGGUCUCUACUUCCUCUUCGUUUCUCUUGCUGGAUCAAGAAGCCGGAGAUCGUCAUCGAGCUGUACAUGUGCUGAACGCGAAGGUGUCGUCCGUUCGGUACUUGAUCGGGACAUAUCGUGGGACGGUUCGUGGGCUGACCAUGAAGACAUACCACUACAUCAACCGCGUUGUCUAACGCUUUCCGUUGUGCAUCUACAAAGGGUAUGUAGAUCCGUUCUCCCUCUCAUAGAUGAUCAUCACCAUGAUAGGACUUCGUGUGCGUAGGAAUUUUUUUGUUUCCAAUGCAACGUUCCUGUCACGCCCAAGAUGCGACCCUAUCCUCAAUUUGGCACGAAGGCCUCGUCAGGGAUAGAAGCGCAUCUCGUCGUGUCGCAAGAAUGGAUAUCGUUACAAGUACAUGUACUAACAAGAAGAGAUAUAUAAAGAGUUGGCUUACACUCGCCACAAGCUACAUCAGAGUCACAUCAGUACAUUACAUAAUCAUCAAGAGUAAGAGCAGGGUCCGACUACGGACGAAAAUAAAUGACAAAAUAAGAACGACGUCCAUCCUUGCUAUCCCAGGCUGCCGGCCUGGAACCCAUCCUAGAUCGAUGAAGAAGAAGAAGAAGAAGCAAUUCCAAAUGAACAAUCAACGCGCUCGCGGCACGUAACCUUUACCUGUACUUGCAACUGGUGUUGUAGUAAUCUGUGAGCCACAGGGGACUCCGCAAUCUAAUUUCCAAAGGUAUCAAGACUAGCAAAGCUUAAUGGGUCAGGCAUGGUUAAGUGGUGGGGUUGCAGCAGCGGCUAAGCAUAUAUUUGGUGGCUAAACUUACGAGUACAAGAAAUAAGAGGGGGAAGAUCUACGCAUAACGGACGUGAACUACUGAUGAUCAAAUGAAUGAUCCUGAACACCUACCUACAUCAGACAUAACCCCACCGUGUCCUCGAUCGGAGAAAGAACUCACGAAAGAGACAGUCACGGUUACACACACAGUUGGCAAGUUUUAAUUAAGUUAACUUCAAGUUAUCUAGAACCAGUGUUAAACAAAGUUUCCACAUUGCCACAUAACCGCGGGCACGGUUUUCGAAAGAUUUAACCCUGCAGGGGUGCUCCAACUAGUCCAUCACAAAUUACCACAAGCCGCAUAGAAAUCCUCAAUCACGAAGCUCGCGAUCUCGUCAGAUUCCCAAGUGGAAAACCUCAACUCUGAGAUUACCCAAAGCAUGACCGGAAUCCCGUUGCACAAGAUAUCUCGUCAAAGGUAAAACUAAUCCAGCAAGGCCGCCCGACGUGUCGACGAUCCCGAUAGGAGUCGCGUACCUCGUUCUCAGGACACGACGGAUGGGUCACACUAGGAGAUACCAAACCUCAGGUUGCCCCGCGAUGGCCUCGUAGUCUGCCAAUUUGGACCAACACUCAUGAGGAGCACUGGCCCGGGGGUUGAUUAAAUUAUCCUCGGGGUCCGGAAAGUCCCUAUGCAAUUUUAUUAGGUGUUUAGGCAAAUGUAGUACCAAAGUUGGGCCUUGCCAGACCAGCUUUAAACUAAAACGAAUUAUCAAGGGGGUCCCCAUAACAACCCCGAUUGUGUUAGGAGCGCUCAAUUAUGGAACAUAACACCGGUAGCCGGAAACUAAGGGGGCAAAGGUGGAACAAAACACCAGGCUAGAAAGGCCGAGCCUUCCACCUUUUACCAAGUAUAUAGGUGCAUUAAGUUAAGUAGCAUUUCAAUAUGGUGAUAUAACAAGGAACCCGUGCUUUCACAUGGAAGCAAUGCACCUGCAACUAGCAACGCUAACACAGGGUUAAGCAAGCGGUAACAUGGCCAAUCAGUGGUUUGCUAGGUCGAACAGGUUGAAGGUCAACAUGGCAUGGUUGAGAGGCUGAUAUUUAACAUGUGGUAGGCAACGAGACAUAAACGGUAGCAACGGUAAAACUAGCAUGGCAAAGAUAGUAAUGGUAUCUGGGGAAAUGAUCAUCUUGCCUGAGAUCCCGCUUGGAAGAAGAACAACUCCGUGAAGCAGACGAACCGACGUAGUCGAACGGGUCCUCACAAUCCGGCACGCUGCGGAACUCUAUCGAGACGAAGCAAACCGAAAACACAAAUCAACACACGGAAUUCGCCCUANNNNNNNNNNNNNNNNNNNNNNNNNNNNNNNNNNNNNNNNNNNNNNNNNNNNNNNNNNNNNNNNNNNNNNNNNNNNNNNNNNNNNNNNNNNNNNNNNNNNAUAUAAAAAAUCUAGCUCCAGCAAUUUAGUGCAUGUCUCUGACUAUGGUUUUAAGAACUAAUUGCAACAAAAAUUGUAUUUGUAAAGAAUUGUAUUUCCUGAAGCCCAGUGGAUGUGUGGCACGCCUCCUUGAUUCUAGAUUGUCCCUCCAUUUUGGAAAUUAAUUCCGAAAUGUUGAGAGGCAACCUUUUGUGAUACAAAGCUCAAUAAAUAGAGGGUGGGGGUAGUAUCCAAGAACUAGGUAGAUUGUGUGUUGAGCACAAGUGAUGACUUUUAGGGGGGGGGGGGGGGGGGGGAGGAGGGGGGGGAUGAUAUCCAAGAACUAGGUGGUUUGUGUUUUAAGCACAGGCGAUAAGUUGUAAGUGAGAUUAUGUCAAUGCAAAUAAACGCUUCACAUCGAAUGUAUAGGAUUUAUGUUAAUUUGACACCAAACAGCAAACACAUGUGUACUUAAUAUAUAGAACUAGGAUCGAACAGACAUUUACGGUCUGAGGCUAUGCUAAUUUUACACCAGUGCAACAAUUAUGCUCCCUCCCUUAGCCUACGAUGAGAUUUGANNNNNNNNNNNNNNNNNNNNNNNNNNNNNNNNNNNNNNNNNNNNNNNNNNNNNNNNNNNNNNNNNNNNNNNNNNNNNNNNNNNNNNNNNNNNNNNNNNNNUAUACAUUAACAGUUCUUCGAUUCCAUGGGGUGUGGAAGCCUAAGAUCCACUGGAAGGGCAUAAAUGGAAUGCAACCGAGGGAAGCAGCGUAUACAUUAACAGUUCUUCGAUUCCAUGGGGUGUGGAAGCCUAAGAUCCACUGGAAGGGCAUAAAUGGAAUGAUAAGUGGGUUCAUAAACAGAAAACGCUACGCUUCCCUGUCGAAUCAAAUUGUCACCCAACCCAACUUGGGCCUAUCUUCUCUGGCCUUCAGGGCGUCGGAUUCUGACAGCCACGGCCAAGAAUAUAUGCUACAUCUACCUGCAAAAGCACAAAUAAUAGGAAGAUUCUUAAUCUUGGCGUGCAGCAGCGACAACAAAAUCAUUAUCAGGUCAGGGCUGUCCACGCCUCCACGGUGAUACAUGCUACCUGAUUUUUUGAUCAAAAACAGUUGUAGCAACUAGCAAGCAGGCUUGAGAUUGAGAAGAAGCAUAUAUAUAUUCUCCCAAAAGUUUGCGGCGCCGGCCACUAGCUGCAUCCUGCAUAUCUGUAAAUAUACAACUUGCACAUGUUAGAACCUUCAGCAGCUCCAACGGAGCUGGUCAAAGGCGNNNNNNNNNNNNNNNNNNNNNNNNNNNNNNNNNNNNNNNNNNNNNNNNNNNNNNNNNNNNNNNNNNNNNNNNNNNNNNNNNNNNNNNNNNNNNNNNNNNNUCCCCCCCUAGAAUCGUCCCUGCCGCGGACGCAUCCCUCCUCUCCAUUUUUGGCUAAGCCGAUGUCCAGAUGAAUCUUCGAUAUUCCCACUCCUGGAGACCUCCAAGUUUGGAAGGGGUGGUGGAAGUUACUUAUAUGCACCGGCAGAAUUGGGCCCUAGGCAACCAGGUGAAGCAUAGCUAUUUUUUCUUCCUAUUAACUACCAACAUUUCUAUAUUGGCCUGGGGUUAAGCACACCCAACAGUGCCGAACCUCAGCUCCCUUUCUAAUGCACAAACACUCCCGUCACCCAGAUAACGACGUAAAAGGGUGUUUCAACGCGGACCCUCAUUUCUCCCCUAUAUGUCUAGACCUGAUAUCCAGACACUUUUGGACUUCCAACGCUAUUCCUCAAUUGUUCGAGGACCGUACUGGACAUCCAAACUCCCCCACUCCAUGCCAAAUUGAGGGAAGGAACAUGGUAGUUCGGAUGAUCCUCGUGGACCACGUCUCCCCACAACGCACGUCUCUCUACUCAUCUCUUUUUGUUCUCAGUCAAUGUCCUGCCGAUUGUCUAUCACAUUCCGUAGUCCAAAAUAUGAGGGGUACCGUUGUAGAACGUCAGCCGGUUGGCUAUCUGUGGACACGUCCGUGGACAUUUGAGGGCGCUUUUUAAGGAUAGCGGUGAAGGUGUCUAACACUAUAAGACAUCAACACACAUGAUUGGAGUCAUGCAACCAAAUCUUCUACUCCUACAAGUCAGUCGUUGGUGUCGUCUCCCUCGCUCCCCGACUCUUCANNNNNNNNNNNNNNNNNNNNNNNNNNNNNNNNNNNNNNNNNNNNNNNNNNNNNNNNNNNNNNNNNNNNNNNNNNNNNNNNNNNNNNNNNNNNNNNNNNNNUGAUCCGGGGGACGGGAGACGUUUGAAGCUUGAAUGACUGAGACUGAAAGUGAAGGCGCAGCAGAGGCAGGCAGCAUUAGUAGUAAGUAGUAAGUAAGUAGCAGUGGAACAAAGUAAUAGUCGUUCGUUUUUCCCCUGUAAUAAAUAAGAGGCUGUGUGUUGAGGUAAAGAAAGUGGCAGCGAGCAAACAAACUCAAACUCCCGGGGGUUGUUGGUGUAAAUAAAACUCUUUGUCUAGACUUGUGAAAUUUUCAGAGGGUUUUUCCCGCUGCCUCUGUCGACCGACAUUGUCACUUUCGAGUGGUGGUUGCUUUAUCUAUGAAAUGGGGCGAAAGCCUAUUUACCAACUUCCGUUGCGGGGUGCCGCCAUCUUCGAAGGUGGAAAUGGCCAGAUACCGUGAGGAACUUUGAAUUUGAGAAUGACUCAUGCGCAUACUCCCUUGGGAGUUUGGAUGCCCUUCUGUGGCAACUCCUAAACCAACCAAGGGAGUUUGGAUGCCCUUCUGUGGCAACUCCUAAACCAACCAACCGUAAUUAAAAGCAUCUACAGCCGGACACCCUAAACGGCUCUAUCAAUGACCGGUCAAAAGAAAUGAUCCCGGAAAUUUCAGUUUAGCAUCAUGUUUCUUAAAGUUUGGUUGUAAUUGUUCACUGCCUAUCUUUGAGUUGUGAACCUCGAGCUUAUGAGAUAUUUUUCUUGUGCUUAUGUAUGCGAUUUUUUUUUACUUGAAUGCAACUACGAAAUGGAAACAUGCCAGUCCGUAAUACGAUGGCAUUUAAGCUGUACUGGUUGGAGCUUUUGAUAUAUAAAAAAGAAACUAUGUUGAUGGGCCAAGCUGAUUGUUUUGAUUUACAAACAUAACAUUUGAGCUACCAUUGAUAAUAAAAUGUUAUGAUGCUGAAUUACCUCUACUCGGGACUGAACAAGCGAGUGACCCAGGGACAGUAGACGUUCGUGUAAGCAAAACUCUACUAGACUUUUGUGAUUUUUUGGGGUGGUUCCUGUCAUGAUGGGUGAUUGUUUUAUCUAUAAAGCGAGACGAAAACUUACUUCUGAGACGUUGCCAUUUUUGCCAGCUAUCAGACAGUUCCAGAGUACCAGCAUCAGUGCGAAUUAACAUGGCCGAGUAUCACGGCAUGUUAGCCAUCGAAGGUAAAAAUGACCGCAUUCUGGAAAAAAAUGAAGCACAAAGAGAACAACGAACUCUUGGGGGUGUUCUCUCCUCCAAAUGGCCACCACCGCAAUAGCAGUGUUUGCCACCGGAGGUAGAAACAAUCGCGUUUCGGAAAAUCCGGAGCGGAAAAAGAGAGGCGGACUCCCCUCCCCUCCCGGUCGAUUGGUGUCCUCCUUUCCYUGGCACCCUUCUCCGGCAACUCCUUGUCAGCACUCCUGAUGCAUGUGCCGAAGUCACUGAAGAAACACAAAAGAAGCAAGAGAAUAACCAGCCUACUCAUGGGCCGAAGUCACUGAAGAAACACAAGAGAANNNNNNNNNNNNNNNNNNNNNNNNNNNNNNNNNNNNNNNNNNNNNNNNNNNNNNNNNNNNNNNNNNNNNNNNNNNNNNNNNNNNNNNNNNNNNNNNNNNNAACUGAAAAGAAAAAUAAAAGAACUAAACCAAAAAAACAGGCACCCAUGCAUGGGCCGGCCCAAAUAGGUGUGCUGCAUCUUUUUCCAACGGCCAGAGUGUAAUAUAGCAGGUGCCUACAUGGGCCGGCCCAGUCCGGAGAUUUUCYUGUUAWGWWAMGUUUUUWWUGACUUAUAGGUGGCAUUGAUGGGUAAUUUUAGUCAACUUUAGGGGCAAUUUAAAUGACGUACAACAGAAGCAAUAUUUGCUUUAUUAGUAGGUAAGAUUUAGGCCUAGUUUUAUAACGUUAGAAUGGCACAUUAACUUCAAGAUUAAUAUACUCGAUCAAUGCUUGUUUGCUAAGAAUAUAUAUACUACAUGGUUCGUAGAGAGAAUUACUAGCAACUGAUCCACUUCAUGUAAGUAGCAUGAAAAUGGAAAACAAAGAGCAAAGGUACUAGAUGAGAUACCUGCUUCCAUUAAAAGAACCACAUGGGAGGCACAAAAUCCGACCAGGAUAAAUGGAGCAAACGUGAUAGUGUGACACCAUCUUGUGUUUUGCUUUAUUGUACUNNNNNNNNNNNNNNNNNNNNNNNNNNNNNNNNNNNNNNNNNNNNNNNNNNNNNNNNNNNNNNNNNNNNNNNNNNNNNNNNNNNNNNNNNNNNNNNNNNNNCGUGUAGCUGGCUCUACUACUACUGUAUGUAUUGAUAUUUUAACCAUAAUUAGAAACCCAUAUACAUGUAUGUUUAUUCCAUUUUUGUCUGACUUAUUAUGUAGGAAAUAAUAUUGGCUAUUCGCGUACGUAUAUAUUUUUUGGAAAAAAGCACACAUGAAUGUACUUGUUUAAUUCCUCAAAUAAAAUAAUUUUAUGAUUUGCUUAUGCAUAGGUACAUAUCCUCGGACCAUAAAUCACAAGGUAAUGUCAAAUCUCAUCGUAGGCUAAGGGAGGGAGCAUAAUUGUUGCACUGGUGUAAAAUUAGCAUAGCCUCAGACCGUAAAUGUCUGUUCGAUCCUAGUUCUAUAUAUUAAGUACACAUGUGUUUGCUGUUUGGUGUCAAAUUAACAUAAAUCCUAUACAUUCGAUGUGAAGCGUUUAUUUGCAUUGACAUAAUCUCACUUACAACUUAUCGCCUGUGCUUAAAACACAAACCACCUAGUUCUUGGAUAUCAUGCCNNNNNNNNNNNNNNNNNNNNNNNNNNNNNNNNNNNNNNNNNNNNNNNNNNNNNNNNNNNNNNNNNNNNNNNNNNNNNNNNNNNNNNNNNNNNNNNNNNNNUGAUUGGAAACUCAAAUACAUGUGUGGAUACAUAGACAAAACACUGUCCCUAGUGAGCCUCUAGUUGACUAGCUCGUUGAUCAAGGAUGGCUAAGGUUUCCUAGCCAUAGACAAGUGUUGCCAUUUGAUAACGGGAUCACAUCAUUGUGAGAAUCAUGUGAUGGACGAAGACCUAAUAUAUGAACGUAGCAUGUGAUCGUGUUAUUUUGUUGCUACUGUGUUCUGCAUGUCAAGUAUAUAUUCCUANNNNNNNNNNCAGUGAGCCUCUAGUUGACUAGCUCGUUGAUCAAAGAUAGCUAAGGUUUCCUAGCCAUAGACAAGUGUUGUCACUUGAUAACGGGAUCACAUCAUUAGGAGAAUCAUGUGAUGGACAAAGACCUAUAAUAUGAACGUAGCAUGUGAUCGUGUCAUUUUGUUGCUAUUGUGUUCUGCAUGUCAAGUAUAUAUUUCUAUGACCAUGAGAUCAUGUAAUUCACUGACAUCGGAGGAAUACUUUGUGUGUAUCAAACGUCACAACGUAACUGGGUGACUAUAAAGGUGCACUAUAGGUAUCUCCGAAGAUGUCAGUUGAGUUAGCAUGGAUCAAGACUAGGAUUUGUCACCCCGUGUGACGGAGAGGUAUCUCGGGGCCCACUCGGUAAUACAACAUCACAAACAAGCCUUGCAAGCAAUGUGACUAAAGAGUUAGCCACGGGAUCUUGUAUUACGGAAUGAGUAAAGAGACUUGCCGGUAACGAGAUUGAAAUAGGUAUUGGAUACCNNNNNNNNNNGCCGAAGGACAAAGGGAAUAGUAUACGUGAUUAUAUGAAUCCUUGACAUAGAGGUUCAACCGAUAAUAUUAUCGUGGAAUAUGUAGGAUCCAAUAUGGGCAUCCAGGUCCUGCUAUUGGAUAUUGACUGAGAGGUGUCUCAGGUCAUGUCUACAUAGUUCCCGAACCCGCAAGGUCUGCACACUUAAGGUUCGGUGACUUUUCGGUAUAGUUGAGUUAUAGGUGCUGGUGACCGAAGUUUUGUUCGGAGUCCCGAAUGAGAUCCCGGAUGUCACGAGGAGUUCCGGAAUGGUUGGGAAACAAAGAUUGAUAUAUAGGAAGUGGGUAUUUGGAUUCCGGAAGAUUUUCGGGCACUACCGACAGUGUACCGGGAGUGACGAAUGGGUUCCGGGGGCCCACCAGGUGGGCCCACCACGCCCCAAGGGUUCCACAUGGUAUUAUUGGAUGCGCAAGAAAGGUUAUUGGGCUGACAAGUCGUCCAAGGAAAGCCCAUAAGGAAAAAGGUGGAAAAUCCAAAAGAGGUGGACAAAUUGGGAAGGAGUCAUAAUCCAAGUGGAAUUGGAGGAGGACUCCUCUCCUCCUUGCGCCAAAGAGAGAAAAAAGGGGCAGCCACGUGACAGCCACCUCCCUCCUCGCCUCCUAUAUAUACUAAGGGUUUUUGAGGAUUUUGGACAACAGAUUUUUGCCACGUGCAAACCCGAAACCUCUAGUUCUUCGUUUCACCUCUAGAUUAGAUUUCUGCGGAGCUCGGGCAGAGCCCUGCAGGAAUAGAUCGACACCACCACCACCCGGGGAGCUGUCACGCUGCUGGGGUCUCUACUUCCUCUUCGUUUCUCUUGCUGGAUCAAGAAGCCGGAGAUCGUCAUCGAGCUGUACAUGUGCUGAACGCGAAGGUGUCGUCCGUUCGGUACUUGAUCGGGACAUAUCGUGGGACGGUUCGUGGGCUGACCAUGAAGACAUACCACUACAUCAACCGCGUUGUCUAACGCUUUCCGUUGUGCAUCUACAAAGGGUAUGUAGAUCCGUUCUCCCUCUCAUAGAUGAUCAUCACCAUGAUAGGACUUCGUGUGCGUAGGAAUUUUUUUGUUUCCAAUGCAACGUUCCUGUCACGCCCAAGAUGCGACCCUAUCCUCAAUUUGGCACGAAGGCCUCGUCAGGGAUAGAAGCGCAUCUCGUCGUGUCGCAAGAAUGGAUAUCGUUACAAGUACAUGUACUAACAAGAAGAGAUAUAUAAAGAGUUGGCUUACACUCGCCACAAGCUACAUCAGAGUCACAUCAGUACAUUACAUAAUCAUCAAGAGUAAGAGCAGGGUCCGACUACGGACGAAAAUAAAUGACAAAAUAAGAACGACGUCCAUCCUUGCUAUCCCAGGCUGCCGGCCUGGAACCCAUCCUAGAUCGAUGAAGAAGAAGAAGAAGAAGCAAUUCCAAAUGAACAAUCAACGCGCUCGCGGCACGUAACCUUUACCUGUACUUGCAACUGGUGUUGUAGUAAUCUGUGAGCCACAGGGGACUCCGCAAUCUAAUUUCCAAAGGUAUCAAGACUAGCAAAGCUUAAUGGGUCAGGCAUGGUUAAGUGGUGGGGUUGCAGCAGCGGCUAAGCAUAUAUUUGGUGGCUAAACUUACGAGUACAAGAAAUAAGAGGGGGAAGAUCUACGCAUAACGGACGUGAACUACUGAUGAUCAAAUGAAUGAUCCUGAACACCUACCUACAUCAGACAUAACCCCACCGUGUCCUCGAUCGGAGAAAGAACUCACGAAAGAGACAGUCACGGUUACACACACAGUUGGCAAGUUUUAAUUAAGUUAACUUCAAGUUAUCUAGAACCAGUGUUAAACAAAGUUUCCACAUUGCCACAUAACCGCGGGCACGGUUUUCGAAAGAUUUAACCCUGCAGGGGUGCUCCAACUAGUCCAUCACAAAUUACCACAAGCCGCAUAGAAAUCCUCAAUCACGAAGCUCGCGAUCUCGUCAGAUUCCCAAGUGGAAAACCUCAACUCUGAGAUUACCCAAAGCAUGACCGGAAUCCCGUUGCACAAGAUAUCUCGUCAAAGGUAAAACUAAUCCAGCAAGGCCGCCCGACGUGUCGACGAUCCCGAUAGGAGUCGCGUACCUCGUUCUCAGGACACGACGGAUGGGUCACACUAGGAGAUACCAAACCUCAGGUUGCCCCGCGAUGGCCUCGUAGUCUGCCAAUUUGGACCAACACUCAUGAGGAGCACUGGCCCGGGGGUUGAUUAAAUUAUCCUCGGGGUCCGGAAAGUCCCUAUGCAAUUUUAUUAGGUGUUUAGGCAAAUGUAGUACCAAAGUUGGGCCUUGCCAGACCAGCUUUAAACUAAAACGAAUUAUCAAGGGGGUCCCCAUAACAACCCCGAUUGUGUUAGGAGCGCUCAAUUAUGGAACAUAACACCGGUAGCCGGAAACUAAGGGGGCAAAGGUGGAACAAAACACCAGGCUAGAAAGGCCGAGCCUUCCACCUUUUACCAAGUAUAUAGGUGCAUUAAGUUAAGUAGCAUUUCAAUAUGGUGAUAUAACAAGGAACCCGUGCUUUCACAUGGAAGCAAUGCACCUGCAACUAGCAACGCUAACACAGGGUUAAGCAAGCGGUAACAUGGCCAAUCAGUGGUUUGCUAGGUCGAACAGGUUGAAGGUCAACAUGGCAUGGUUGAGAGGCUGAUAUUUAACAUGUGGUAGGCAACGAGACAUAAACGGUAGCAACGGUAAAACUAGCAUGGCAAAGAUAGUAAUGGUAUCUGGGGAAAUGAUCAUCUUGCCUGAGAUCCCGCUUGGAAGAAGAACAACUCCGUGAAGCAGACGAACCGACGUAGUCGAACGGGUCCUCACAAUCCGGCACGCUGCGGAACUCUAUCGAGACGAAGCAAACCGAAAACACAAAUCAACACACGGAAUUCNNNNNNNNNNNNNNNNNNNNNNNNNNNNNNNNNNNNNNNNNNNNNNNNNNNNNNNNNNNNNNNNNNNNNNNNNNNNNNNNNNNNNNNNNNNNNNNNNNNNCUAGUCUAUUUCCAUAGUCCCUUGUGGACGNNNNNNNNNNCCUAGCCUCAAAAGAUGAUUGUGAGCGGAACCACGAAAAAGGAUCGAGGAAUAGGGGUUAGACCGUGUGCGUAUAUUUCUUACAUUCCUCUCAUCAGAUCAUAGCCAGUUCCUCACAUCUGGUACUUAGAGCCAUUUGAUCGUGGAGAUCCCACACACCACAUCUACGCCACGCGAUUCAGGCUCCAACAGCGGCGGGACGCCAUGAACAAGCUGUUCUCCGAGGGGCGGUAGAUCCAGGAGCUUCUUCAGCAGACUUCGCGGAGUCCCUCAACCACAAGUUCAAGGCACGCGGCGACAAGAUCAUACAGUCCAUCAGCAAGAUUCUCAAGGACACCACAGCGGCUUGUAGAUGUUAAUCAUGUUUCUCAUGUAGGAUUAGGAAAGAAAGCCAAACCGAGUCCUAGUGGUAUUAGGAUUCCUAGUCCUAGUCUAUUUCCAUAGUCCCUUGUGGACGUGUAUAAAAGACACCCUAGGGGUGUUGAUUGUAACACCAGAAAAACGAAAAGCAAUACAAAGCAAAGGCACGACACGAGCCUUUAGCCAUCAAAUCCAUCGAUCAGUUUUAUUCGUGUCGCUAGUUACGCAAGUUCCGUCAAGUANNNNNNNNNNNNNNNNNNNNNNNNNNNNNNNNNNNNNNNNNNNNNNNNNNNNNNNNNNNNNNNNNNNNNNNNNNNNNNNNNNNNNNNNNNNNNNNNNNNNACAUGGGUCUUCGUUUAUGGAAUUAGAAUGUUUUAGCCAAGUGAGAGAUGUAGGAAAUACUUAUGUGUGGCUUGCAACAUUUUAUAUAUAUACUACAUAGUUCCUGGAAUGGUUUACCUCAGUAUGGAAUUUACCGAUGCACUUGAAUAUUGCUUGGAAUACAUGAAUGGAAUAUAGUUCAUGGAAGCCGGUACAUAUAUGUUGGAAAACAAUAUUUAUUAAUGCUGGAAUAUUUAUUAUACUGAAUGUAUAUUUGCCCGGGCACAACAUAUUAUGGAAAGCCAGGUUGUUCAUGGGAUUGGCUCNNNNNNNNNNNNNNNNNNNNNNNNNNNNNNNNNNNNNNNNNNNNNNNNNNNNNNNNNNNNNNNNNNNNNNNNNNNNNNNNNNNNNNNNNNNNNNNNNNNNNNNNNNNNNNNNNNNNNNNNNNNNNNNNNNNNNNNNNNNNNNNNNNNNNNNNNNNNNNNNNNNNNNNNNAUGCUUAUGGGACAUAUUGCGGAUGAGACUCCUUGAUGGUUACUCAUGAUCGUGGUUGGUUAAGUUAACCUGGAGUCCUCACUUAAACAGAUUAUAUCUGGACACUUAUCUGCAAUUUAUACAGUUUAAAAUAAACUGGAAUAGCACUAUAUAAAGGUCCCUAACCACUAGCCUCAAAAGAUCAUUGUGAGCGGAACCACGGAAAAGGAUCGAGGAAUAGGGGUUAGACCGUGUGCGUAUAUCGCUUACACGUGUGGCAUGACAGCUGAUGGCCGACCCACAUGUGAGUGGGUGUAAGCGUGNNNNNNNNNNNNNNNNNNNNNNNNNNNNNNNNNNNNNNNNNNNNNNNNNNNNNNNNNNNNNNNNNNNNNNNNNNNNNNNNNNNNNNNNNNNNNNNNNNNNUUCUCCUUCUCCUUCUCUUAUUCUUANCUUUCUCUUCUUCUUCUUCCUUUCUUUUCAUUUCUCCUCUUCUCCUCUUCUUGGAGCUAAAUUAGGUAACUAUGUAUUUUUGGAGAUAAAUGGGCUAAUUAUGUCAUUACAGAGGAAAACAAACUAAGUAUAUAGUAUUAAUGAGCUAACCAAGGUUCUUAUGCCAUUUUGAGCUUAUUAUGGCAUUUUGUAGCUAAAUGGGCUAAUUAUCUCAUUGUUGGGGGAAAAUAAGGUAAGGAGAAUAAGAUAGAGGAGAAGAAAUAGGAGGAGGAGGAGAAGAAGAAGAAAUCAAGAAGAAGGAGAAGGAGGAGGAGGAGAAGAAGGAGGAGAAGUAGGAGAAGGAGGAGAAGGUAUUCUUCUUCUCUUCUUCUCUUCUUCAUCUCUUCUUGUUUCUUCUUCUUUUCUUCUUCUUCUUCUUAUUUUGUCUUCUCCUCCUCUUCUUCUUCUUCUCCUCCUCUUCUCCUCUUCUCCUCCUCCUCCUCCUCUUCUUCUUCCUAUUCUUUCUAUUAAGCUAACUAACUAACUAACCUAACUAACAAAGCUAACUAAACCUAUCGCUAAACCUAGAUAGCACUAAACAGCAAAAAAAUAACAAAAACAGAAUCUACCACUAAGUAACUAAAAAAGAAUCUAUCUACCACUAAAUAACAAAACAAAAUCUACCACUAAACUACCUACUAAAUCUACUAAUUAACUAACUAAAUCUACCAACUAACUAAACUACCACUAAAACUACUAAUUAACUAACCUACCAACUAAACUAUAUAUGCCACAACAACUACAAUAACAACAACAACUACAACAACUACAAUAACAAGAACAACUACUACAACAACAAUAAAAAAAUCAUGCCGGUAGUUAUAAUCUAAUUCCAAAAAACUAAAUACCAAACAAUAAAAAAUCAACUUCUUCUUCUUUUUUCUCUUCUUCUCCUUCUUAUUUUUUCUUAUUCUAUUCUUCUCUUCUUCUUUACUUCUUCUCCUUCUUAUUUUUUUCUUCUCUUCUUCUUCUUAUAUUAUUAUUAUUAUUUCUUCUCCUCUUCUUCUUCUUCCCCUUCUUUUUCUUCUCCUCCUCCUCCUCCUCCUACUCCUCUUCUUCUUCUCCUCUUCUCCUCCUCCUCCUCUUCUUCUUCUUCUUCCUCCAAAUAACUAAAUAACAAGGGGGUGGGGCUGGAUGGGCUUACCGGCAGUGGGGCUGCGNNNNNNNNNNNNNNNNNNNNNNNNNNNNNNNNNNNNNNNNNNNNNNNNNNNNNNNNNNNNNNNNNNNNNNNNNNNNNNNNNNNNNNNNNNNNNNNNNNNNACGGUACGGUACGUACUCCUCUCUCUCUCUCUCUCUCUCUUCUUCUUUCUUCUUCUUUCUUCUCUCCUCCUCCUUCCUCCUUCCUACUUACCCYCCUCCUCCUCCUCCUUCUUGUUUUUCUUCUCCUUGUUCUCUUCUUGCUUCUUUUCUUUCUUCCUCAAUUUAGCUUAAUUGUCAUAUAUAUGUUGUUGUUGUUCUUUUUCUGACUUUCUUAUUCCCAUUUUGCAGAUUGGAUAUACUACAUGCAUGGAAGCUGACAUUGAUGGAGUGCUUUAGUUCUAGUUUUCAUUUGAGUUGAUGAACAAUGUGGAAUUAUAUGUAUAUGUAUAUAUGGAUGAACAGUAUAUGUGAAACUAUAUGUGAAACUUUGUAUGUGUUGCUUAUUUUGAUAUAUGGGAUGUAUGUUGAUGAACAAAUGGCAUUGAUGAGCUUUAUAUGUAUAUCAUAUAUGUGUUGUGACCUAAUUAUCAUACAUGUGCUAUGAAUUAUAUAUGUAUGUGCUGUGAAAUAGAAAAAAUAAACAAAAAUGUGACAAUAUAGGCUCUUUGUCGUCUGCCAGCUGAUGGCAAAGGCCUUUGCCAUCAGGCAGCAGACGGCAAAGGUGCCACGUGGUGCCCAGUUGUGCAACCUGGGCAGCAGCAGCUGGCCAUAUAUUAUCUUUGCCGUCUGCUUCCUGGGGGSSGACGCCAAAGAAGAGGGCACAAAGGAGGGGGAGGAGGUGGAGGCAGACGGCAAAGAAGAGCGGAGCANNNNNNNNNNNNNNNNNNNNNNNNNNNNNNNNNNNNNNNNNNNNNNNNNNNNNNNNNNNNNNNNNNNNNNNNNNNNNNNNNNNNNNNNNNNNNNNNNNNNUAGAGGCAAUAAUAAAUUAGUUAUUAUUAUAUUUCCUUGUUCAAGAUAAUCGUUUAUUGUCCAUGCUAUAAUUGUAUUGAUUGGAAACUCAAAUACAUGUGUGGAUACAUAGACAAAACACUGUCCCUAGUGAGCCUCUAGUUGACUAGCUCGUUGAUCAGGAUGGCUAAGGUUUCCUAGCCAUAGACAAGUGUUGCCAUUUGAUAACGGGAUCACAUCAUUGUGAGAAUCAUGUGAUGGACGAAGACCUAAUAUAUGAACGUAGCAUGUGAUCGUGUUAUUUUGUUGCUACUGUGUUCUGCAUGUCAAGUAUAUAUUCCUAUGACCAUGAGAUCAUGUAAUCCACUGACAUCGGAGGAAUACUUUGUGUGUAUCAAACAUCACAACGUAACUGGGUGAUUAUAAAGGUGCACUACAAGUAUNUCCGAAGAUGUCAGUUGAGUUAUCAUGGAUCAAUACUGGGAUUUUUCACUCCGUGUGACGGGGAGUAUCUCGGGGCCCNNNNNNNNNNNNNNNNNNNNNNNNNNNNNNNNNNNNNNNNNNNNNNNNNNNNNNNNNNNNNNNNNNNNNNNNNNNNNNNNNNNNNNNNNNNNNNNNNNNNACCACAAGAUGUACAACACAUAUGAUGCAUGAGCAGCUGAUUACAUGCAAGUCACGGCAUGAUAAUUCACACAAUCAAACACUACACAUUAAGUGAAGUUCAAUAUGCAACGAGUUGCAUAUUGACGAAACUCCACGUUUAUUAUUUAGUUCUAUCCCGAUUAGUUACACGACAAUACUAAAUGUGGUUAAACAUGGCAAGAGGUGAAGCGUAAAUAAUCUACCUAUCUAGGCAUUUUAAAUGAGGUCGGAAAUGACAUAUAGCACCUCCGAAACGACCUCACAUGUUAAUUUACAAUUCUAUCCAGAUCUGAAUUAACACCUUUAAUUAGUUGUUAAACAGCAAAACAAAUAGGUUCACGUGAUUCUACGCGUCAAGGCAAGCAAUCUACACAUAAAGAACAUCUUCAACGGAGCUACGGUUCAAAAGAUACAAGCACCGCAAGAUAUGAUGGCAUGAAUGCAAUAUGUGUGCGACGACGGUCACGAGCACUUCAAAACAUACAAACAGCAAGAGAACAUGAAACUACACGAGAUUCUAAGAAAGUUUCAUGUAGGACACUAUCAAAUCGGAGCUACGGUUCAACAACUAGGAGCAAGACAAGAAAACACUACAAUCUGCCAAAAUCAGCCACAUAGCAUUUUCUACGCCCCACAACUACGAGCUACACAACUCCGAUAAACUCAUGCAAGGCAUGGAACGGAACAGGGCAAGAAGGACUACUACGAACAGCUAACAACUACUAGCAUGGAAGCAAGGAGCACUAGGAAAAGAAGACACAAAAUGACAUCCCACUCACUAUUUCAGACUUAGUGAAAAUUACACCUCAUGAAAGUGCAGUUUUCGAUCUGAAGCAAUAUUGACAGCAGCAAAAUCCUAAGCUACAGGACUCCAAAUGGCAUAAAAAUUUACAGCAUGCUAGAGAAACACAAGGGGUACAACUAACUCCAUUGGACCAACCUCAAAAGAGCUACAGAUCACAAGAUGCAAGCAAGACAAGAAAGCAACAAAAUAUAACAGAUUCCAGACUUAGAAAUAUUUCAGCUCCUCUAGAACAGCACUAUUUCUAGCAACUUGAGAACAAGAAAAUCACACCUAAACAUGCAUUUCUAUUGCAACCAAAAAUACCAGGGGCUAAACAAAACAUCCAAGAUCAACUCUCUAGUUGACAACUCCGUCAAACAACGCACGGAAUAAAUCCUACAAAUUAAACAAAAGGGCAUCACGGCAAAAUAUCUCGCGAACUAACUUGCUCUAAUGCUAAAACUAAUUGCACAGAAAAAUCCAUGGGAUUUUUCUACCCCGGAAACAUAUAAAACAUGUGGGGUUUGCAACACAAAAUAAUGCCACACAUUAAUGCAAGAUAAACACCUAUAUCCGGGAAAAUAAACUACCGGCAAUCUCUACACGUAAAAAUACAUAUGACUGCUCUAAAAUACAUGCAAAAAUGAUUCCUAAAACAUGGGCAUUCUAAUACGGCAUACGGACAAUUCAAACUCGUGCGGAAAAUAAAUACGGGCACUAUCCUAUCUAGACAGCACGUUAAACUAGGCGGUUGGCACGUAAAACUACGUCAAAUAAAUAUGCAAGUUGUAAAUUCGUACUCUACGCGCGAAACUACCACAAAAACAUAUAUAAUACGCGUCGUUCCGACUUACGGUUUAAAAACUACCGACGAUCUAAGAUAUGACUAUUUUUCUGGAAUUUAUUAAAUUCCGGAAAAAUCCUAAAUAGCUAACGGGCCUAAACUACUACUAACAGGCCGAAUUCCUAACUGGGCUAACAGGGGGCGCAAGAUAGGGAAAAUGCACAGGCGGGGAAUACUCACCUCGGGGCCUAGGGAGAGGAGGCCGAGGCUUGGGCCGAAUUGGAGGGGCUGGAGGCCACCCCAGCUGGGCCGGCUCGGGCAAAUCGGCCCACUGGCCAGGGCGAAGCGAGGCAGGCCUCGGCCUAGCUCGCGACUGGGCCGACGAGGGGAGGCUCGCGUGGCCCGCUCGGCGCUGGGACGAGGCGCUCGUCCCCUCCGUCGUUCUCCUCGAUCCAGGGGCGGCGGCGCUCGAGUUGGCUCCCCCGUGGACGAACAAGAGGCGGGGCGAGGCUUCGGCGCUGGGGCGGGGUCGGCCGGAGGAGGCACUAAGCAGCGGCGGCGGGGCGUGGAUCUGGCGCAUGCGGCGGCCGACGGGGUGGAGCGGGGAGGCUGCGAACGACGGCUUGGGGAGGCGGCCCUGGACGUCGAGCUCGGGCGCGGGCGCUAGGAGUACUCCGGCGAGCAUCCGGCAGGCGGGGCUCCCGCGAGGGGCUGGUGAGGGCGCGCGGGAGGUGUCCGGCGAGGGCGCGCGGGCAGGGAGAGCCAUGAGGAGGCGCGGCUCGGGUAGGGAGAACGGGGGCGGCGGCGCGCAGAUGGGCCCGGCGGGCCUCGGAUGGGCUCGGCGGGCCCGCGGUGGCUGGCGGCUGGCGGGAGAGAGAGAGGCGAUUAGGGUUAGGCAUGGUUUUCGAGGCAGAGGGGGGUGGCUGUCUAAAAAUUAGGAGGAGGGGGGUAUAUAUAGGGAAAAGAGGGGCUCGGUUAACCGGAAUCGCGUUCCGGAUCCAACCGCGGGGUCGGAUUCGGGCGAUUUCGAACGCAGGAAUGGGUACGCGGCCGUGUAGAGGGGAUAUCCGGAGACGAGAGGGAGAACGGGCGGCACGACAAUGAAUUUUUAAAACAGCAACAGACGUCCGACGAUAGCCCGAAUACGGUGCCGCUACGGGCGACCGUUCGGGUACCAGACGGUCUCCGAUCGCGACGAAAAUCGAUAGGCGGCCUGGCUAUAACUAAUCACGACCGCAUGCCAAGCUUCACCUCGAUCAGAGAAAGUUUUACGCACACUUUAAAAACAGGGUUUCGACGGUGCCGCGGGCGCGUGCGAGUACGGUCGGGCUCGGAACGGACAACGACGAGAACCGGCGACUACUAACGAAAGGAAGUUUUUGAAAACUGACGGCAGCGGAGAUGCCGAUGCAAUGCUGAUGAUGCGCAUGAUGCGAUGAUGAUGCGACAAAUAUAAAUAGACACACGACGAAAACGGAAAGAAAAGGGGAAGCUUCUGGAACGUCGGCAUCGGGCUGUCACAGUUCCCCAAUAGUACCAUCAUGAGCUAGGUGAUGGGGUUAUAGUCCCAGGGUAGGGUCAUAGGUCUGCCAUAUAGGUCCUACCCAAGGACUACCCUUCAUAGAAGACAAGGCCCUUAGACAGUUCUGACUGAACUAAGGACGCCCCCAUCAUCCAGUCGGCGAUGAUCCACUCAGAGCAUAUCUAACGUACCGACUAGAAUCCACUCUGUACAUCGUAACCUCCCAGGAGGGCAACGGUCAUACGUUUUCAUACACCAUUAUUAGCAUUUAAAACUUACGUUACCUGUAACGUAGGCAUUUAUUAGCCACUAUUCCACCCUUGUCCACCGGGCCAUUAUGAAGGGCAGCGCACUCUAUAUAAGCCGCCCUUCCCCACUGGUGCAAGGGUUGGCACUUGCUGUAAUCCUAUAAUCCACUCGACACAAAGCUCCCAAGAGCACUGAGACGUAGGGCUUUUACCUCCACCGUAGAGGGGCCUGAACUCAUACAUCCUCGCCGUAGCUAAGGCUCUGCCCAUCCUUUCGUACCCCAUACUUCUACUGUCAGACUUAUACCCACGACAGUUGGCGCCCACCUUUGGGCGGGCGUCUAAGCGACUUCCGGCGAGUUUGCGAUUUCAUCUUUUCGUCAUGUCGUCCGCCGGAGAUCUGUGCAUGGGUCAUGAGAUCCUCUUCGGUGCCCUCUCCUUCAUCGCCGACAAUUCGGCAUGGCUUCGGGAUGCGCCCCUCGACGUCGAGGCGCUUCCCAGUCGCGGGGCUACGCACUUCCGUGCCAGUUCCUGCGGUGUUCUUCUUCUCCAGCCAUCGACCCCGGUGUCGAUCUUCGCCCCCGUCACGCACCGCAACAAGCGAUCCCGUCGUCCGCGGCUCCAGCAUUGGGUGCGACACGCCCAGGCGCGACAGAGCGCGUCCUCUCAAGUGGCGGUGCUCGAAUCGGUUGUGGUCCCGCCGCCGUCCCAGUGCUUGGAGUCAGUUCCGACUGAGCUACCUUCCGAGUAUCCGGGUCGCGGGCCUGCAGCCGAAGUUCUCAUGGCCGAUUCCCAUGAAAGUCCCCUCGGGACUGGUCGGAACGAGCGUGAGUUCAUAGAAUCAUCCGGCGCUCGUCGUCAACACCAUCGUUCUUCCAGUCGACGCACUCGCGAGAGCAACGUCGAGGUGUUCCGCACACCCAUCCUCAACUUGGCUGCAGCCGCCAGGAUAGCCGAUUCUCUCCAGCCGACUGAUUUAGAGACUGGUAGAGGAAUCGAGCAGAUCCGUGCCCUGUUGCAUACGGCGCAGCAGCAAAAUUCGGCGGUCUCCCAGUCGCACAACAGGAUCCACAACAGUUCUGUUCAAGCGAACACGCAUCGGUCGGUUUUCAGUCCCGACUCUCAUCAGCGACGCAGAGGGGGCAGCCGUUCCAGGGACCCGAGUCGGAAUCCGCUUCCCAUUCGGUCUCAUCCAUAAGAUCGUUGCCGUUCGCAUACUCCUCCGCGGGGUGGGCCUUACGGGCCCCGGCAUCACGACGAUCAUCGUUCGGGCGGUGACGCACAUGAUCCAAGGCCUGAUGCAAGAGGGUACAUCGCCCAGAAGAAGGUCGACAGAAGUCGAGCCCACCGUGAUGGUCACGAUAGAGACCGUCCGAGUGGAAGCAGGACCGUCGUUUCUGGCCCCAAGUGCUUCAGUCGGGCCAUCCGCUCAGCUGACAUCCCUCCCAACUUCCGAUUGGCGACGGGAAUCAGCAGGUUCACAGGAGAGUCCAAACAGAAACUUGGUUGGACGACUAGAGAGUGGCGGUCCAGAUCGGUGGCGGAGAUGACCAUGUCGCCAUGAAACAUCUCCCACUGAUGCUCGACGGUUCGGCGCGAGCCUGGCUGAACCAGUUAGCUCCGUCAAGCAUCUACAGUUGGGCAGAUUUGGCCCGAGUCUUCAUCAGGACCUUUGAGGGUACGUGCAAAUGCCCUGAUGGUCUUGUAGAGCUCCAGCACUGUGUCUAGAAGCAGAACGAGCCCUUGCGCGAUUUCAUCUAGUGCUGGACGACCCUCUACCACACGGUGGAGAACGUCACAGAGCACCAAGCAGUCUGCGCCUUCAAGGCAGGCGUGCGGUACAGAGAUCUGUACCUGAAGUUCGGUCGGACAGGCGACAUCUCCAUGAGCAAGAUGAUGGAGAUAGCCGCGCGCUAUGCAAAUGGCGAAGAGGAGGACCGCAUACGUAGCGGCAAGCAUAAGUCAGUCACCGAUGGAGAUGGGAACAACAAUCGGAAGCAGAAGCAGAAAGCUCAAUCCACUCCGCAGGCAGAGGCAGCAGCCAUUACGAAUGCCAAGUUCAAAGGCAAGGGGAAAGCUCAGUACACCCCCAAGAAGAGGCAGUCAGGAAAUUCCAUCCUGGAUCAACCGUGUCCAAUCCACACGAAAACGGAUGAAGAAGGCAAUGUCAUAGUGUCGAAGCAUACCACUCGGCAGUGUCGCCUCCUGAUCCAAGGAUUCGCCGAAGGACAGCCGAGUGAGAAGGACACCGAGCAGGAUGAUGAGGACAAGGAGGAUCCGUUCCCCCAAGUCCAUGCAACGUUGAUGAUUUUUGCUGAUGUGGAAAGCAAAAGUCGACUGAAGCUGGUCAACAGGGAGGUAAACAUGGCAACCGCAUCCACUCCCACGUUCCUCAAGUGGUCACAGACUACGAUCACAUUUGAUCAGUCAGACCACCCAGCACACGUACCCACCCCAGGGAGGCAGGCUCUGGUCGUCGACCCGGUGGUGGAAGGAGUUAGGCUGCGCAAAGUCCUCAUGGACGGCGGCAGCGGCCUGAAUAUCAUGUACGCCGACACUCUCAAGGGAAUGGGCAUUCCGAUGUCCAAACUUAGCGAGAGCAGUAUGCAGUUCCACAGAGUCGUCCCAGGAAGAAAGGCCAAAUCACUCGGCCAGAUUGCGUUAGAUGUCGUCUUCGGCUCUGACAAGAACUUCCGCAAGGAGAAGCUGACAUUCGAGGUGGUGGACUUCCACACUGCAUACCAUGCGAUUCUGGGUCGUCCGGCAUAUGCGCGUUUCAUGGCCCGUCCAUGUUACGUCUAUUUGAAGCUGAAGAUGCCAGGUCCCAAAGGUGUGAUUACGGUCACAGGUAAUCGGCAGCGGGCCGAGGAGUGUCUGCAGCAGGGGUCGAGGAUUGCUGAUCAGCAGAUGGCUAUUCUCGAGCUGGAUGAGUACAAGAAGACCGCCGACCCCGCUGACCUGAUGCGUUCAAAGAAGCCAGCUUCUGAGUCCGCAUUUCAGUCGGCGGGAGACACGAAGAAAGUCAGCAUCCAUCCGACGGACGACACCGCCGCCCCGACAAACAUCUCCACCACCCUUGAUCCAAAAUAGGAAGCCGAGUUCAUCCAAUUCCUCCGUGAGAACUCGGACAUUUUCGCAUGGAAGCCUGCUGACAUGCCAGGUGUACCCAGGGAGUUGGCUGAGCACCGACUGCAUGUGGAUCCUGCUGCUCGGCCUGUCCGAGAACGCCUGCGUUGGUCCGCCGCGCACAAGAGGAAAGCAAUCGGAGAGGAGGUGGCUAAACUUUUGGCAGCCAACUUCAUUCGCGAGGUACACCACUCUGAGUGGCUCGCUAAUGUUGUCAUGGUGCCCAAGAAGGACAAGUCUCUCCGUAUGUGCAUCGAUUUCAAGCAUCUCAAUAAGGUAUGUCCGAAAGAUCACUUCCCGCUCCCCCGCAUUGAUCAAAUUAUUGAUUCGACUGCGGGUUGCGAGCGCUUAUCCUUCCUUGAUGCCUAUUCGGGCUAUCAUCAGAUCAAUCUGUAUGGUCCAGAUGAAUUAAAAACAGCCUUCAUCACCCCAUUCGGGUGUUUCUGUUACAUCACUAUGCCAUUCGGUUUGAAGAAUGCAGGAGCCACUUUUAUGCGCAUGAUCCAAAAAUGCCUCCUAGACCAGAUCGGUCGAAAUGUGGAGGCAUAUAUGGAUGAUAUCAUCGUCAAGUCACGCAAAUGUUCCGACCUGCUGACUGACUUGGCAGAAACAUUCGCCAACCUACGUAGGUACGAUAUCAAGCCCAACCCAGCCAAGUGUUCAUUCGGUGUUCCCAGCGAGAAGUUACUCGGUUUCUUCGUAUCCGAACGAGGGAUCGAUGUCAACCCCGAAAAGAUCGGGACCAUUGUCCGAAUGGAGCGGCCGUUAAGAGUACAUGAUGUUCAAAGGCUCACAGGUUGCCUAGUGGCUUUGAGCAGGUUUAUCGCUCGACUCGGCGAGAAGGCGUUACCUCUGUACCGACUCAUGAAGAAAUCAGAUACCUUAGAGUGGACAGACGAAUCCCAAAUUGCAUUCGACGAUCUCAAAGCCCUGCUUUCCACCUAGCCAGUUCUUACUGCCCCGCUCAGUAAAGAACCCCUUCUUCUGUACAUCGCGGCUACAAAUCAAGUCGUCAGCACCGUUCUGACAGUCGAACGCGAAGAAGAAGGCAAGGCGUAUAAGGUUCAGCGGCCAGUAUAUUAUGUUUCCGAAGUCCUGAGUCCUUCCAAGUAGAGGUAUCCCCAUUAUCAGAAGCUUAUUUAUGGGAUCUACAUGACUGCAAAGAAGGUGGCUCAUUAUUUCCAAGACCACUAGGUAUCUGUCAUAUCUGAUGCUCCGUUGUCGGAAAUUCUCCACAAUCGGGACGCGUCAGGCCGAGUGGCAAAGUGGGCAAUGGAGAUGCUAUACUGCGACAUCAAGUUCGAAGCCAAGAAAGCUAUAAAGUCUCAAGCUCUUGCUGACUUCAUAGCAGAACGGGUAGAACAACAACAACCGACUCACAUCUACUCGGCUCAUUGGACCAUGUUCUUCGAUGGGUCCAAGAUGUUGAAUGGCUCCGGCGCCGGCGUAGUGCUCAUAUCCCAGAAAGGUGAUAAACUCAAGUAUGUGUUGCAGAUCCAAUUUGAUUCCUCCAACAAUGAAGCAGAGUACGAAGCUCUCCUUUACGGGUUGCGCAUGGCCAUCUCACUCGACGUCCGUCGCGUGAUGGUCUAUGGCGACUCAGAUCUAGUGGUUAAUCAAGUAAUGAAGGAGUGGGAUGUAAGGAACCCCACCAUGACUGCAUACUGCAACGCAAUAAGGAAGCUCGAGAAGAAGUUCGAAGGCCUGGAACUUCAUCAUGUUCCCCGACUGAAAAACCAAGCAGCAGAUGAAUUGGCAAAGCUUGGAUCCACUCGGAGACCGGUCCCGAGUGAUGUCUGCCUCGAGCACCUACACCUCCCCUCGGUAAAAGAAGAUCGUUUUACAGAGGAACCAGUACAACCGAAGAGCUCAACAGAUCCGACUGAAAUUGAGGUCCCCGCUGUGGUUGAUUUGAUCAUGGAGAUUCUAGCUGUCAUUCCCGAAUGGACUGCGCCGUUCAUUGCAUACAUCACGAGGCAAGAGUUACCAGAAGACAAAGUCCAAGCUAGGCAUAUUGUUCACAGGUCGAAGUCCUUCACCGUCAUUGAUGACUAGCUAUACAGGGAAAGUGUUUCAGGCGUCCUUCAGCGGUGUAUCUCUCCUGAGGAGGGGCAGUUAAUCUUGGAAGAAAUUCACUCGAGAACCUGCGGUCAUCAUGCCUCCUCAAGAGCAAUCGUCGCCAAAGCAUUCAGAGCUGGUUUCUUCUGGUUGCAGGCGAAUGAAAUGGCAAAAGAUAUGGUCGACCGUUGCGAAGGUUGUGAGUUCUAUUCAAACAAGUCCCACAAGCCAACGUAUGUGCUGAAGACAAUUCCUCUUGCUUGGCCAUUCGCCGUGUGGGGAUUAGAUACAGUCGGACUAUUCAGAACAGGCCAAGGAGGAUUCACUCAUCUGCUGGUAGCAGUCGACAAGUUUACCAAGUGGAUUGAAGCCAAGCCAUCAAGAAGCUUGACGCCCUUACGGCCAUCAAAUUUAUCAGAGACAUCAUCGCCAGAUACGGGGUUCCGCACAACAUAAUCACCGACAAUGGCACAAACUUUGACUCGGACAGGUUCAAAGGUUUUUGCACAGGCCAAGGUAUCCGAGUGGAUUUUGCAUCCGUGGCGCACCCCCAAACAAACGGGCAAGCAGAGCGGGCGAAUGGUCUUAUUCUUCAAGGAUUGAAGACUCGACUCCUGCGAGAAGUUGGACAUGAUGCCGGCGCAUGGGUCACCGAGCUGCCUUCGGUGCUGUGGGGCCUCCGCACAACUCCUAAUAGAUCGACACGGCGAUCCCCGUUUUUCCUCGUUUAUGGAGCAGAGGCAGUCCUUCUGAGUGACUUGCUUCACAACUCUCCACGAGUCGAACUCUUCUCCGAAUCCGAAGCAGAGCAAGCCAGGCAAGACAGAGUGGAUCUUCUAGAAGAAGAGCGCGAGAUGGCACUGAUCCGUUCAACAAUUUAUCAACAAGAUCUACGGGGAUUUCACGCGCGGCACGUCAGGAGCCGCACAUUCCAAGCAGGCGACCUGGUGCUCCGAGUGGAUCAGCAGAGACCACACAAGUUGGCUCCUGCCUGGGAAAGACCGUUCAUCAUCUCUAAGGUGCUGAACAACGGAGCAUAUUGACUCUACAACCUCGACAGGGAAACGGACGAGCCGCGAGCAUGGAAUGGAGAUCUACUGAAGCGCUUCUACACAUAACCGCCGACGGAGACAAUGUAAAGAACAAGUAUCAUUGAAGUAAUACAAAGCAGAUUGAUUUCUUGCCGAUUCAAAAUUCUUCCGCGUUUGCAGACUCAGGUCUAAAAAAGUAACUCCGAGUGUGCACUAAAAGUCACACUCGGGGACUUAGCUGCGACCAAGAGUCGCCUAAGUACAAACUCGCUCCGAGUGUGCACUAAAAGUCACACUCGGAGACUUAGCUGCGACCCAGAGUCGCCUAAGUAAAAACUCGCUCCGAGUGUGCACCAAAAGUCACACUCGGGGACUUAGCCGCGACCCAGAGUCGCCUAAGUAAAAACUCGCUCCGAGUAUGCACCAAAAGUCACACUCGGAGACUUAGCUGCGAACCAAAGUCGCCUAAGUAAAGAGCUUCCUCCGAGUGGGCACUCGAGAUACACUCGGAGGCUUAGCAGACCCUCAUUGAGGCUCAUGUGGAUGUGAAGACAAUUGACACUAUAUGCUCCGCAUGUUUGCCAUUGGCUUCACCAAGAGAUGCCCAAACAAAAACCACGAGCCAAAAUCGUGUCAAAAAAAAACUCUACGAAAGAAGAGCAAAAGAUCCGAUUCGAAUUCAAGUUGGAUCUACGAUCAGUCGGCUCGGUGUGAAUCAAGUUUAUCCACACCGAACCACGAAUGUAACGGCCAACAGCAGUGGCCAAAGUUUAAUACAGAUUCCACUCGGCAUACCGAGGUAAAUGUGCGUUCACCAUAAAGUUUUUUCAAGCGUCGCCGGGACUGGCAGGCUCCACAAAGGUGUCGAGGUCGAUGCCAUCUGCAAUCCGAGUGGCUGUGUCGAGGAAGGUCUCCAUGAAAUCUUCAAAUCGAAGCUUCUUGGUGUUGGCGACCUGCAACGUCUUCAGCUUUUCUUCGCGGGCUUCCUUGCAGUGCACUCGGACCAGAGAUAGCGCCACGUCCGCACCACACCGAGCGGCAGACUUCCUCCAUGCAUGCACUCUGCUUGGGACGUCCUCCAGCCGAGUCAUCAACCCAUCUAUUUCGCUCCGGGAGUCGUCUUCAGGUCACAGCUCCUUGUCGAUUCGGCCGACAACUUUUCUGAGGCGACCAAUGAAAGGGCCCACCCUGUUAAGGCGAGAAUGCGCUCGGAGCAUGUCCCGGUUAGCUUCAUCGCCGAGUGGAACAUUCGAAACAAGCGACCGUUCAAUUUCGGCUGCUUCAGCCUGAACGUCCCGACAGAAAUUUGCAAAGAAAAGACAAGCAGAAAAUAAGCACGGAGUGAACUCCAAAGUCAAAAAGCACUCGGCAAGAACUUACCACCAAGCAGUGCGACCAUCUUCCUCACCCAAUCGUUGACGUAGUUCUCCUGCGCUCUGCACCGAGUGUUCAUCACCUUCAGCUGGGCCAUCCAGUCAGAUCUCUCCUUCUUCAUCUUUUCUACCUCGGCCACCAGUGCCUUGUUGGUCUCCAGAGAUUCCUCCAAAGAAUUCUCUCGGUCAGCGAGAGCCUUCUUCACGCCAGCCAGGUCAUUCACAGCCACCUCCAAGUUCGCAGCAAGCUGAGUCUUCUCAGCCUUCAGAGCAUUGUACGCAGAUCCCAUUUCACAACUCACAAGUCUUCUGCCAAAGAGACACAAAGGGAGGAUCAGCCACAUUCAACAAGGAAAAUGUCUCGACAGAUAUGACAAAACAAUCAAAGAUCAAAAUUCUUCAGACCCCUGCCGAUGCAAGCAAUCGACAGCGGUCUCGGGGACUACACCCAGUGGGUUCACUGAGAGUGAUCCCACUGGUAUGAAGCUCGAACAGGUCGGCCCUAUUGAGCUCCAUAGCAAACCAACAACACUAUGAGAUUACUAUCUCUCGACCCAAGUAACACUACUCUCGGGGACUACACCCAAUGGGUGCACUCGGCAUGCCCCCACUGGUACCAUUCGGGCAGAUCAGUUGUGAUCUGUUCAGAUUAAGGAAAAUACAUAUAAAGACAACUGUCGGUGCAAGCACUCGGCAGAAGUCUCGGGGACUACACCCACUGGGUUCACUCGGAGUGAACCCACUGCAAAAGAAGCCUAUUGCAUCUGAGUACCUCGCUGUAACACCAAGUGGGUUCCAAGAGGAAUGUAAACACUUACUAGCGCACUUACUCAGAUGUCGUCCCGAAGCUCCAAGCUCUUCUUGUACAGGGACGCGAUGGAGUCAUACGCUCCCUUGGCAUCGCCCACCAUCAGCUCCACCCGCACCAUGGCAUCCUUGGCGGCUCCUACCUGAUCCUCCGGGAGGCGUCGGGCAUCAUAUUGAACAGCCGACGGACCCGGCGCGGCAGAAGGCUCCCUGGGCAUCCCGAGCUCCGCUCCAGUCGGUUCCGCCGUGAGGGCCACCGUCUCAGUCGGCGGCACGUUCAUGGCGGGAUCAGCAGCAGGUUGGAUAACCCCAGGGACAUGCGCCAAAGCUGGCUCCGACCUCCUUUCGUCGUCAUCGUCCAUAUGGAUCACCUCCGAAGGAAGCCCGACUGAACAAAAUAAAAUUACAGAAAAAGGUCAAGAUCAAAGACAGCACUCGCGAAACAGUAAUACAGCUCUCGGAGUCGUGACAACAUACCUUGCUGGGACGUGGUGGCGUUAUCCGUGUCCAUGGGGUCAUCGUUCUGGCGCGGCAGAGAGGUGGCGGAGGUAGCAGCUCUGUUGAGUGAAAUCCACUCGACGGAUAAACAUGAGUUCCCAAAAAGAGGAGUUCAAUCGGAUAUUGAAGGAAGAUGAAAGAGUAAAGAUACCUACGCUGAGGCGACCGGAACAGCGAUCCUCAUCCGGGGCAAGGCUUUCCAAGGUUUAGGCCCACUAGGUUUGGCCACCUUGGACGGCUGGUUCACGGGCUCGGCAGAAGCACCCCUGGUUCUCUUCACGCUCCCAGCACUCGGAGCCACGGGAGGAGCUGGCGGAGCACUCGGGGCCGUGGGAGGAGCCGGCGGAGCAGCAGGGUCAUGAUGGCGCUUGGUUCGGUGCUCUAGUGGUGAGGGUGGCGAGCUCUUCUCUCCAUCCUCCUCCUCCUCCUCCUCUUUCGUCUCCUCCUCCAUCUCCCCACUGUCAAAGACGUACUCGGCGCUAUCCGCGCUGCCCUCCUCUUCCUCGGCUGGAUUCCCGUUCGAGACCGCAGAAUGCCAGUUAGUCCACUCCUACACAAAACACAGUCGGCAACGUCAGUCAGCGGGACAAUAAAAGCAAUAAAGCUGAGAAGAUUAAAAGCACUCGACAACAUGUACUCACCUCAUUCGGAGGAGGAUUUUCGGCGCGGAAGGGCUUCACCCGCCGGGCUCCCACGGGGUUAUCACACGCGCCUGUGAUGUUGCGGACCCACGCACUCACAGUCUCCCCGCUCACGUCCUCUCGAUGAGACCGAGUGGAAUCCGAAGGCCCCGCGUAGUGCCACAUGGCGUGGUCUCGGGCCUGCAGCGGCUGGAUACGCCGACCCAGAAAAGUCUCCAGCAGGUCCGUGCCGGUGACUCCCUUACGGACGACGGCUAUCAGCGCGUCGACCAAAGGCUGGAUCUGGAUCCUUUCUCCCUUAGAGAGCGCAAGCUUCCUGGGAGGGCCCGGACGGUCUAAACUGAAAGGUGGCAACCCACUCGAAGCAUUCGGACAAGCAAUGUCCUAGCAAUAGAACCAGGACAAUUGCCAGUUCCUAACUGACUCGGAUAGCUAGAGGGAGGGAUAGCUACUCUUUGUUUUCUUCUGGAAGCCUAAACCCCCGCAGAGCUGGAGGAUGUGGGUCUUAUCGUCCGACUGGCUAAGCUUUUUGACAGUUUGGGAUGUAGCGGAGAAGACAUACUUAAAGAGCCCCCAGUGGGGAGGACAUCCUAUGAAGCACUCGCAGAGGGUGACGAAUGCAGCAAGGUCAGCUAUUGCGUUCAGAGGAAAGUGAUGGAGUUGCGCCCCGAAGUAAGUCAUGAUACCUCGGAAGAAAGGAUGGGGAGGCAAGGAGUAGCCUCGAGCCACGUGGCUGAGCAGCAGAACGCGCUCCCCCUCCUUCGGCGCCGGCUCCGUCUCGCCCUCCGGCAGCCUCCAGGACUUGUUGGCGACCAUGCCGUGAUCCACCAGCUCCAGCAUGUCGUUCUCCGUCACCGAGGAGGGGAGGAAGUCCCCUUGGAUCCAGCCCGCCGGCAGGGCCCGCUGCCGCCGCUGAGUGGAGGCCGUCCCCUUCUUCUUCUUCUUCUUCUUCUGCGCCUCGAGCUUGCUGGUCUGCCCCUUCGUCAUGGCGAGGACGACGGAUCCGUGGAGGAGGAGAGGCAGGAUAUGGCUUGGGGUGUGCAGAGAGCUGCGGGAGAAGCAACAUUAAUGGGGGGAAGGAUGAGCAGUGCAACAGGAAAUCCCGCCGGGGGAGCUUUAAUAGGCUUCCGACUGGGUCACUUGCAGGUGGACCCAGGAUCUUAUCCCCCCAACCGGCCGCUGCAAGAUUAGUGGAGAAGAUAACGGCACGGUAAUCGAGGAGGCAAAAGCUACUCGAUGGCGAUGUCGUCAUCCCUCCUGAGCACGCGGCAACCGAAAUUUGAGGAUCCCGGAAAAUCCGGCGCUGUCAGUUUGACCAGUCAUGUCGAAAGAUUCUGCAGAAGCACUCAGUCCCUGACAGUUUGUUUCACUGGUAUAUUCACUCGGAUCACUGGCUGAAAGGAUAAAAUGGAUCGAGGCAAACAACGCUAAAGUCACCUCGAUACCACUCGGUUCCAAACUCCAGACGUCACUUCAUUGUUCCAACCCCGAUCCAUUCGGGGACUAAUGAUGGGGUUAUAGUCCCAGGGUAGGGUCAUAGGUCUGCCCUAUAGGUCCUAUCCAAGGACUACCCUUCACAGAAGACAAGGCCCUUAGACAGCCCCGACUGAACUAAGGACACCCCCAUCAUCCAGUCGGCGACGAUCCACUCGGAGCAUAUCUAACGUACCGACUGGAAUCCACUCUGUACAUCGUAACCUCCCAGGAGGGCAACGGUCAUACGUUUUCAUACACCAUUAUUAGCAUUUAAUACUUACGUUACCUGUAACGUAGGCAUUUAUUCGCCACUAUUCCACCCUUGUCCACCGGGCCAUUAUGAAGGGCAGCGCACUCUAUAUAAGCUGCCCUUCCCCACUGGUGCAAGGGUUGGCACUUGCUGUGAUCCUAUAAUCUACUCGACACAAAGCUCCCAAGAGCACUGAGACGUAGGGCUUUUACCUCCACCGUAGAGGGACCUGAACUCAUACAUCCUCGCCGUAGCUAAAGCUCUGCCCAUCCUUUCGUACCCCAUACUUCUACUGUCAGACUUAUACCCACGACACUAGGUUCAUGCGUAGAUGAUAUCUCGAGUAGAACACAAAGGAGUUUGUGGGCGUUGAUGUUGAAUUUGCUGCCCUCCUUAGUCUUUUCUUGGUUCAGCGGUAUUGUUGAAUCGAAGCGGCCCGGACCGACAUUACUCGUACGCUUACGAGAGACUGGUUUCAUUGCUGCCACGCACAUAGUUGCGUGAAAGAUGACUGGCGGGUGCCUGUUUCUUCAGCUUUAGUUGGAUCGGAUUUGACCAAGGUGGUCCUUGGAGAAGGUUAAAUAGCAAUUUAUGCAUCAUCGUUGUGGUUUUUGCGUAAGUAAGAUGCGAUCAUACUAGAUAACCAUAACAGCCACGUAAAACAUGCAACAACAAACUAGAGGACGUCUAACUUGUUUUUGCAGGGUAUGCUUGUGAUGUGAUAUGGCCAACAACAUGAUGCGAUAUAUUGGAUGUAGAGAUGAUCAUGUUGUAAUAGUUAAAUAUCGACUUGCACGUCGAUGCUACGGCAACCGGCAGGAGCCAUAGGGUUGUCUUUAAACUAACGUUUGUGCUUGCAGAUGCGUUACUAUUUUNNNNNNNNNNNNNNNNNNNNNNNNNNNNNNNNNNNNNNNNNNNNNNNNNNNNNNNNNNNNNNNNNNNNNNNNNNNNNNNNNNNNNNNNNNNNNNNNNNNNGUUCGGACACACCAUCACACCAUAGUGUUCCAGGCGGCAUUAUGUGUGAAACAAUUUUCACAUUGUCUUAAAUGUAUACCAAACUCGUAACUCAGAUAUUCAUCUCUAUGAUCAUAUCGUAGACAUGUUAUCCUCAUGUUACGAUGAUCUUCAACUUCACUCUGAAACUUCUUGAACCUUUCAAUAAUUCAGACGUGUGUUUCAUCAAGCAAAUACACUAGUAUCCACCCAAAUCUGCUGUGAAAUAAGAACAUAACGAUAUCCACUGCGUGCCUUAGCACUCAUUGGACUGGAUACAUCAAAUGUAUUACUUCCAAUAAGUUACUCUCUUGUUCCAUCUCAAUGGAAAACGAGGCCUUAAGCCAUCUUACCCAUGUGGCAUGAUUUGCAUGUCUCAAGUGAUUCAAAAUCAAGUGAGUCCUAACGAUCCAUCUGCAUGGAGUUUCUUCAUGCGUUUAUACCAAUAGGUAUGGUUUGCAUGUCUCAAACGUUUCAAAAAUGAGUGAGUACAAAGAUCCAUCAGCAUGGAGCUUAUUCAUGCAUUUUAUACCAACAUGACUCAAGUGGCAGUGCCACAAGUAAGUGGUACUAUCAUUACUACUUUGCAUCUUUUGGCAUCAAUAUUAUGAACAUGUGUAUCACUACGAUCAAGAUUCAAUGAACCAUUUACAUCGGUGUAUGACCAUUGAAGGUAUUAUUCAUGUAAACAGAAUAAAUUUUAUUCUUGGACUUAAAUGAAUAACCGUAUUGCAGUAAACAUGAUCUAACCAUGUUCAUGCUCAACGCAAACACCAAAUAACAAUUAUUUAGGUUCAACACUAAUCCCGAUGGUAGAAGGAGCGUGCGAUGUUGANNNNNNNNNNNNNNNNNNNNNNNNNNNNNNNNNNNNNNNNNNNNNNNNNNNNNNNNNNNNNNNNNNNNNNNNNNNNNNNNNNNNNNNNNNNNNNNNNNNNCAUGGCAUGGCAUGGCGUCCGCUGUGCCAGCACUGUGAUCCCCAUGUCGCUGCCAUGCCGCUCGUGCCGUGCACGCACUGAAGCUCGCCUGCGACGACGCUCCUUUGUUUUUGUCCCUGGCCCUGGCUCCCGUUGCGGGUCGGGUGGCUGCACGAGGAACCGUCGUGUGGCGCCACGGACGGGGCGCCGGUCGACAUGUCGGUCUCCGGGCUCUGCCCGCACGUGGCCUCGCGGCAACCCAUCCGCCAUGGACGGGAGACGUCCACGGGUUCCCAGGCGCCCAGCCCCGGCCAGAUUCCCCCAACAAGGCCUGUGCGUAUCGCCCGCUCGCUGCCCCCCUGCUCCUGUUCCUGCUCCUAUGGCGCCGCGCGCCCGUGCGCGCGUGUNAAUCGAGUGAGUAAUCCUUGGGCUAGUACGUGCACGGCUGGCACUAAACUAAUCUGGCGUACAAAAUUAACUAGCCCCAUCCACACGUCGCCCUCGACCGGUGACAUGAACGCACCCAACAAACACUCGAGGGACGCUCACCCGAUGGACCGCGCGCACAUGCACGCUCAUUAGCUAGAUGCCUAGAGCACAGACGUGUAGCACGCUCGUUAACAAGGAGCAAACGGAGCAAUCCUUUGGCCUAGCCNNNNNNNNNNNNNNNNNNNNNNNNNNNNNNNNNNNNNNNNNNNNNNNNNNNNNNNNNNNNNNNNNNNNNNNNNNNNNNNNNNNNNNNNNNNNNNNNNNNNCUCCUUCUUCUUCUCCUUCUUCUUCUCUUCUUAUUUUUUCUUCUUCUCGUCCUCCUUCUCCUUCUCCUUCCCCUCCUCCUCCUCCUCCUUCUUGUUUUUCUUCUCCUUGUUCUCUUCUUGCUUAUUAAUUUCCCCAACAAUGACAUAAUUAGCCCAUUUAGCUCCAAAAUGCCAUAAUAAGCUCAAAAUGGCAUAAGAACCUUGGUUAGCUCAUUAAUACUAUAUACGUAGCUUGUUUUCCUCUAUAAUGACAUAAUUAGCGCAUCUAACUCCAAAAAGACAUAGUUAGCUAAUUUAUCUCCAAGAAGAGGAGAAGAGGAGAAAUGAAAAGAAGGAAGAAGAAGAAGAGAAAGAGAAGAAUAAGAGAAGGAGGAGGAGGAGAAGAAGAGAAGAAGAAGGAGAAGGAGGAGGAGGAGGAGGAAGAGAAGAAGGAGGAUAAGGAGCCCUCCUUCUUCUCCUUCUUCACUCCUCCUCCUCCUCCUUCUUCUCCUUCCUCUUCCCUUCUUCUUUUUUCUUCUUCUCCUCCUCCUUCUCCUUCUCCUUCCCCACCUCCUCCUCCUCCUCCUCCUUGUUUUUCUUCUCCUUGUUCUCUUCUUGCUUAUUAAUUUCCCCAACAAUGACAUAAUUAGCCCAUUUAGCUCCAAAAUGCCAUAAUAAGCUCAAAAUGGCAUAAGAACCUUGGUUAGCUCAUUAAUACUAUAUACUUAGCUUGUUUUCCUCUGUAAUGAAAUGAUUAGCCCACUUAGCUCCAAAAAGACAUAGUUAGCUAAUUUAGCUCCAAGAAUAGGAGAAGAGGAGAAAUGAAAAGAAGGAAGAAGAAGAAGNNNNNNNNNNNNNNNNNNNNNNNNNNNNNNNNNNNNNNNNNNNNNNNNNNNNNNNNNNNNNNNNNNNNNNNNNNNNNNNNNNNNNNNNNNNNNNNNNNNNGACAUGGCCUCGGAACACAGGAGCCGAAAGGUCGAGCAUGAAUCAUAUGGUUGAUAUGAUCAACAUCGAGAUGUUCACCAUUGAAGCUAAACUCAACUCACGUGAUGAUCGGACUUGAGUUAGUGAAUUUGGAUCAUGCGACACUCGAAUAACUAGAGAGAUGUUUAUUUGAGUGGGAGUUUACUAGUAAUAUGAUUAACUAAACUCAAUUAUCAUGAACAUAGUCAAAAGGUCUUUGCAAAUUUUGUUGUAGCUUGCGUUGUAGCUCUAUUGUUGUUGAUAUGUUCCUAGAGAAAAUUUAGUUGAAAGAUGAUAGUAGCAAUUACGCAGACUGGGUCCGUAAACUGAGGAUUGUCCUCAUUGGUGCACAGAAGGCUUGUGUCCUUAAUGCACCGCUUGAUGACCCACAAGUUGUUGGGGAACAUCGCAUGGGAAACAAAAAAUUUCCUACGCGCACGAAGUCCUAUCAUGGUGAUGAUCAUCUACGAGUGGGAGAACGGAUCUACAUGCCCUUUGUAGAUGAACAGCGGGAAGCGUUUAGACAACGCGGUUGAUGUAGUGGUAUGUCUUCACGAUCCCAUGAACCGUCCAACGAUCCGUCCCGCGAACAGUCCCGCGAUCCAUCCCGAUCAAGUACCGAACGGACGACACCUCCGCGUUCAACACACGUACAGCUCGAUGACGAUCUCCACCUUCUUGAUCUAGCAAGAGAGAUGGGGAGGUAGAUGGGUUCACCGGCAGCCUAACGGCGCUUCGGUGGUGGUGGUGUUGCUGAUCCUGCAGGGCUUCGCAUAAGCUCCACAGAAAACUGAUCUAGAGGAGAAAAGAAGAAGUAGAGGUGUCUAGAUCUGAAUUUUCCCUUGGCAAAAGUUGUCUCAAAUCAGCCAUAGACCACCCGUAUAUAAAGGAGGAAGGGAGGGGAGGAGGCAGCCUCAAACCCUCAAGGUUUGGCCGAAAUUGGAGGUGGAGGAGUCCUACUCCAAUCCUACUUGGAGUAGGAUUCCUCCUUUCCACUUGGAAACUAUUUCCACCUUUUCCACCUUUGGGUUUUUGCCUCUCAAACCUCAUGUGCCUUAGUGGGAACUUAUUCCAGACCACCAGGAACUGGUUUUAUCUCUUCCCACGCCCAUGAGGCCCCUUGGGGCGUGACACCCCUCCCGAUGGUCCCCGGCACCCCUCCCGGCACUCCCGGUACACUACCGAUGAGCCUGAAACUUUUCUGGUGACCAAAACAGGACUUCCUAUAUAUCAAUCUUUGUUUCCGGACCAUUCCGGAACUCCUCGUGACAUCCGGGAUCUCAUCCGGGACUCCAAACAAACUUCGGUCACCAGCACCUAUAACUCCAGUAUACUGAAAUGUCACCGAACCUUAAGUGUGCAGACCUUGCGUGUUCGGGAACUAUGUAGACAUGACCUGAGACACCUCUCAGUCAAUAUCCAAUAGCGGGACCUGGAUGCCCAUAUUGGAUCCUACAUAUUCCACGAUAAUCUUAUCGGUCGAACCUCUAUGCCAAGGAUUCAUAUAAUCUCGUAUAACAUUCCCUUUGUCCUUCGGUAUCACUACUGGAAAACAGUUUUUUGCCAUCUGCCUAGUCUUUGCCGUCUGCUAGAUGACGGCAAAGACACUCUUUGCCAUCAGUUUCAGCAAAACUGACAGCAAAGAACUGGUUGAUGGCAAAGAAGGUCUUUGCCAGCAGUGAACUCUUUGUCGUCUGCCGCAGACGGCAAAGAAGGGGCCAGCAGACGGCAAAGAAGGGAGUAGUUUGACUUAAGGUUCCCCCGGCCAGAUGAGCUUCUUUGCCGUCUGCNNNNNNNNNNNNNNNNNNNNNNNNNNNNNNNNNNNNNNNNNNNNNNNNNNNNNNNNNNNNNNNNNNNNNNNNNNNNNNNNNNNNNNNNNNNNNNNNNNNNNNNNNNNNNNNNNNNNNNNNNNNNNNNNNNNNNNNNNNNNNNNNNNNNNNNNNNNNNNNNNNNNNNNNNNNNNNNNNNNNNNNNNNNNNNNNNNNNNNNNNNNNNNNNNNNNNNNNNNNNNNNNNNNNNNNNNNNNNNNNNNNNNNNNNNNNNNNNNNNNNNNNNNNNNNNNNNNNNNNNNNNNNNNNNNNNNNNNNNNNNNNNNNNNNNNNNNNNNNNNNNNNNNNNNNNNNNNNNNNNNNNNNNNNNNNNNNNNNNNNNNNNNNNNNNNNNNNNNNNNNNNNNNNNNNNNNNNNNNNNNNNNNNNNNNNNNNNNNNNNNNNNNNNNNNNNNNNNNNNNNNNNNNNNNNNNNNNNNNNNNNNNNNNNNNNNNNNNNNNNNNNNNNNNNNNNNNNNNNNNNNNNNNNNNNNNNNNNNNNNNNNNNNNNNNNNNNNNNNNNNNNNNNNNNNNNNNNNNNNNNNNNNNNNNNNNNNNNNNNNNNNNNNNNNNNNNNNNNNNNNNNNNNNNNNNNNNNNNNNNNNNNNNNNNNNNNNNNNNNNNNNNNNNNNNNNNNNNNNNNNNNNNNNNNNNNNNNNNNNNNNNNNNNNNNNNNNNNNNNNNNNNNNNNNNNNNNNNNNNNNNNNNNNNNNNNNNNNNNNNNNNNNNNNNNNNNNNNNNNNNNNNNNNNNNNNNNNNNNNNNNNNNNNNNNNNNNNNNNNNNNNNNNNNNNNNNNNNNNNNNNNNNNNNNNNNNNNNNNNNNNNNNNNNNNNNNNNNNNNNNNNNNNNNNNNNNNNNNNNNNNNNNNNNNNNNNNNNNNNNNNNNNNNNNNNNNNNNNNNNNNNNNNNNNNNNNNNNNNNNNNNNNNNNNNNNNNNNNNNNNNNNNNNNNNNNNNNNNNNNNNNNNNNNNNNNNNNNNNNNNNNNNNNNNNNNNNNNNNNNNNNNNNNNNNNNNNNNNNNNNNNNNNNNNNNNNNNNNNNNNNNNNNNNNNNNNNNNNNNNNNNNNNNNNNNNNNNNNNNNNNNNNNNNNNNNNNNNNNNNNNNNNNNNNNNNNNNNNNNNNNNNNNNNNNNNNNNNNNNNNNNNNNNNNNNNNNNNNNNNNNNNNNNNNNNNNNNNNNNNNNNNNNNNNNNNNNNNNNNNNNNNNNNNNNNNNNNNNNNNNNNNNNNNNNNNNNNNNNNNNNNNNNNNNNNNNNNNNNNNNNNNNNNNNNNNNNNNNNNNNNNNNNNNNNNNNNNNNNNNNNNNNNNNNNNNNNNNNNNNNNNNNNNNNNNNNNNNNNNNNNNNNNNNNNNNNNNNNNNNNNNNNNNNNNNNNNNNNNNNNNNNNNNNNNNNNNNNNNNNNNNNNNNNNNNNNNNNNNNNNNNNNNNNNNNNNNNNNNNNNNNNNNNNNNNNNNNNNNNNNNNNNNNNNNNNNNNNNNNNNNNNNNNNNNNNNNNNNNNNNNNNNNNNNNNNNNNNNNNNNNNNNNNNNNNNNNNNNNNNNNNNNNNNNNNNNNNNNNNNNNNNNNNNNNNNNNNNNNNNNNNNCAUUUAGCUCCAAAAUGCUAUAAUAAGCUCAAAAUGGCAUAAGAACCUUGGUUAGCUCAUUAAUACUAUAUACUUAGCUUGUUCUCCUCUAUAAUGACAUAAUUAGCGCAUCUAGCUCCAAAAAGACAUUGUUAGCUAAUUUAGCUCCAAGAAGAGGAGAAGAGGAGAAAUGUAAAGAAGGAAGAAGAAGAAGAAGAGAAAGAGAAGAAUAAGAGUAAGGAGAAGGAGAAGAAGAAGAAGGAGGAGCAGAAGAAGAGAAGAAGAAGGAGAAGGAGGAGGAGGAGAAGGAAGAGAAGAAGGAGGAGGAGGAGGAGAAGGAGCCCUCCUUCUUCUCCUUCUUCUCCUUCUUCUUCUCCUUCUUCUUUUUUCUUCUUCUCCUCCUCCUUCUCCUUCUCCUUCCCCUCCUCCUCAUCCUCCGUCUUGUUUUUCUUCUCCUUGUUCUCUUCUUGCUUAUUAAUUUCCCCAACAAUGACAUAAUUAGCUCAUUUAGCUCCAAAAUGCCAUAAUAAGCUCAAAAUGGCAUAAAACCUUGGUUAGCUCAUUAAUACUAUAUACUUAGCUUGUUUUCCUCUAUAAUGACAUAAUUAGCCCAUUUAGCUCCAAAAUGACAUAGUUAGCUAAUUUAGCUCCAAGAAGAGGAGAAGAGGAGAAAUGAAAAGAAGGAAGAAGAAAAAAAGAAAGAGAAGAAGAAGAGAAGGAGAAGGAGAAGAAGAAGGAGGAUGAGGAGAAGAAGAGAAGAAGAAGGAGAAGGAGGAGGAGGAGGAGCAAGAGAAGAAGGAGGAGGAGGAGAAGGAGCCCUCCUUCUUCUCCUUCUUCACUCCUCCUUCUUCUCCUUCUUCUUCUCCUUCUUCUUCCCUUCUUCUUUUUUCUUCUUCUCCUCCUCCUUCUCCUUCUCCUUCCCCUCCUCCUCCUCCUCCUCCUCCUUGUUUUUCUUAUCCUUGUUCUCUUCUUGCUUAUUAAUUUCCCCAACAAUGACAUAAUUAGCCCAUUUAGCUCCAAAAUACCAUAAUAAGCACAAAAUGGCAUAAGAACCUUGGUUAGCUCAUUAAUACUAUAUACUUAGCUUGUUUUCCUCUGUAAUGACAUAAUUAGCCCAUUUAGCUCCAAAAAGACAUAGUUAGCUAAUUUAGCUCCAAGAAUAGGAGAAGAGGAGAAAUGAAAAGAAGGAAGAAGAAGAAGUGAAAGAGAAUAAGAAGAGAAGGAGAAGGAGAAGAAGAAGGAGGAGGAGGAGAAGAAGAGAAGGAGAAGGAGAAGGAGGAGGAGGAGGAGGAAGAGAAGAAGAAGGAGGAGGAGGAGGGGGGAAGGAGCCCUCCUUCUUCUUCUCUCCUCCUUCUUCUCCUUCUUCUUUUGUUCUUCUUUUUUCUUCUUCUCCUCCUCCUUCUCCUUCUACUUACCCUCCUCCUCCUCCUUCUUGUUUUUCUUCUCCUUGUUCUCUUCUUGCUUCUUUUCUUUCUUCCUCAAUUUAGCUUAAUUGUCAUAUAUAUGUUGUUGUUGUUCUUUUUCUGACUUUCUUAUUCCCAUUUUGCAGAUUGGAUAUACUACAUGCAUGGAAGCUGACAUUGAUGGAGUGCUUUAGUUCUAGUUUUCAUUUGAGUUGAUGAACAAUGUGGAAUUAUAUGUAUAUGUAUAUAUGGAUGAACAGUAUAUGUGAAACUAUAUGUGAAACUUUGUAUGUGUUGCUUAUUUUGAUAUAUGGGAUGUAUGUUGAUGAACAAAUGGCAUUGAUGAGCUUUAUAUGUAUAUCAUAUAUGUGUUGUGACCUAAUUAUCAUACAUGUGCUAUGAAUUAUAUAUGUAUGUGCUGUGAAAUAGAAAAAAUAAACAAAAAUGUGACAAUAUAGGCUCUUUGUCGUCUGCCAGCUGAUGGCAAAGGCCUUUGCCAUCAGGCAGCAGACGGCAAAGGUGCCACGUGGUGCCCAGUUGUGCAACCUGGGCAGCAGCAGCUGGCCAUAUAUUAUCUUUGCCGUCUGCUUCCUGGGGGGCGGACGCCAAAGAAGAGGGCACAAAGGAGGGGGGAGGAGGUGGAGGNNNNNNNNNNNNNNNNNNNNNNNNNNNNNNNNNNNNNNNNNNNNNNNNNNNNNNNNNNNNNNNNNNNNNNNNNNNNNNNNNNNNNNNNNNNNNNNNNNNNNNNNNNNNNNNNNNNNNNNNNNNNNNNNNNNNNNNNNNNNNNNNNNNNNNNNNNNNNNNNNNNNNNNNNNNNNNNNNNNNNNNNNNNNNNNNNNNNNNNNNNNNNNNNNNNNNNNNNNNNNNNNNNNNNNNNNNNNNNNNNNNNNNNNNNNNNNNNNNNNNNNNNNNNNNNNNNNNNNNNNNNNNNNNNNNNNNNNNNNNNNNNNNNNNNNNNNNNNNNNNNNNNNNNNNNNNNNNNNNNNGCAGACGGCAAAGAAGAGGGGGGAGGCAGACGGCAAAGAAGGUAGGAGGCAAACGGCAAAGCCUCCGUUAGCCCGUAACGGAGGCAACGCCUGUCGGCUGCCGUCUCGACCUCUUUGCCGACAACUCUUAUGAAAAGCUGAUGGCAAAGAUCUUUGCCAUCCGCUUAGGUGAGGCAGACGGCAAAGAAGCUACAAUGACGUCGUAGGAUGACGCAGAAAUUUUGCCGACAGUGGGAUUCUUUGCCGUCUGGGAUAUACUCUUUGCCGUCCGGGAUAUACUCUUUGCCGUCCGUGAUGGCAGACGGCAAAGAAGGUAAUUCCUGUAGUUUAUGUUACUUGCCCGAGAUUCGAUCGUCGGUAUCCAAUACCUAUUUCAAUCUCGUUACCGGCAAGUCUCUUUACUCGUUCCGUAAUACAAGAUCCCGUGGCUAACAUCUUAGGCACAUUGCUUGCAAGGCUUGUUUGCGAUGUUGUAUUACCGAGUGGGCUCCGAGAUACCUCUCCGUCACACGGAGUGACAAAUCCCAGUAUUGAUCCAUGCUAACUCAACUGACAUCUUCGGAGAUACCUGUAGUGCACCUUUAUAAUCACCCAGUUAUGUUGUGACGUUUGAUAUACAAAAAGCAUUCCUCCGAUGUCAGUGAAUUACAUGAUCUCAUGGUCAUAGGGAUAUAUACUUGACAUGCAGAACACAGUAGCAACAAAAUGACACGAUCACAUGCUACGUUCAUAUAUUAGGCCUUCAUCCAUCACAUGAUUCUCACAAUGAUGUGAUCCCGUUAUCAAGUGACAACACUUGUCUAUGGCUAGGAAACCUUAGCCAUCCUUGACCAACGAGCUAGUCAACUAGAGGCUCACUAGGGACAGUGUUUUGUCUAUGUAUCCACACAUGUAUUUGAGUUUCCAAUCAAUACAAUUAUAGCAUGGAUAAUAAACGAUUAUCUUGAACAAGGAAAUAUAAUAAUAACUAAUUUAUUAUUGCCUCUAGGGCAUAUUUCCAACAGUCUCCCACUUGCACUAGAGUCAAUAAUCUAGUUACAUUGUGAUGUAUCGAACACCCAUAGAGUUCUGGUGUUGAUCAUGUUUUACUCGUGGAAGCGGUUUAGUCAACGGAUCUGCAACAUUCAGAUCCGUAUGUACUUUACAAAUAUCUAUGUAUCCUUCCUAAAUGUAAUCACGAAUGGAGUUGAAGCGGCGCUUGAUGUGCUUGGUCUUCCUGUGAAACCUGGGCUCCUUGGCUAUGGCAAUAGCUACAGUGUUGCCACAGAAAAGUGCCAUCGGACCUGAUGCACUUGGAAUCACUCCAAGGUCGGUGAUGAACUCCUUCAUCCGGAUCCCUUCUUGAGCUGCUUCCGAAGCAGCUAUGUACUCCGCUUCACAUGUAGAUGUCGCCACGACGCUUUGCUUGCAGCUGCACCAGCUCACUGCCCCACCAUUCAGAACGUACACGUAUCCGGUUUGCGACUUAGAGUCAUCCGGAUCUGUGUCGAAUCUAGCAUCAACGUAACCCUUUACGAUGAGAUCUUCAGCACCUCCAUACACGAGAAACAUAUCCUUGGUCCAUUUCAGGUAUUUAAGGAUAUUCUUGACCGUUAUCCAGUGCUCCAUACCUGGAUCACUUUGGUACCUCCCUACCAAGCUGACAGCAAGGUUUACAUCGGGUCUGGUACACAGCAUGGCAUACAUAAUAGAGCCUAUGGCUGAAGCAUAGGGGAUGGUACUCAUCUUUUCUCUAUCUUCUGCCGUGGUCGGUGAUUGAGUCUUACUCAAUCUCACACCUUGCAAUACAGGCAAGAACCCCUUCUUUGCAUUUUCCAUAUUGAACUUCUUCAAUAUCUUGUCAAGGUAUGUACUUUGUGAAAGACCUAUGAGGCGUCUCGAUCUAUCUCUAUAGAUCUUAAUGCCUAAUAUGUAUGCAGCUUCUCCAAGGUCCUUCAUUGAAAAACUCUUAUUCAAAUAGGCCUUUAUGCUUUCCAAGAGUUCUAUAUCAUUUCCCAUCAGCAAUAUGUCAUCCACAUACAGUAUGAGAAAUGCUACAGAGCUCCCACUCACUUUCUUGUAAAUACAGGCCUCUCCAUAGGUCUGUAUAAACCCAAACGCUUUAAUCACCUCAUUAAAGCGAGUGUUCCAACUCCGAGAUGCUUGCACCAACCCAUAGAUGGAGCGCUGGAGCUUGCAUACUUUGUUAGCACCUUUAGGAUCGACAAAACCCUCUGGUUGCAUCAUAUACAAUUCUUCCUUAAGGAAGCCAUUGAGGAAUGCCGUUUUGACGUCCAUUUGCCAGAUUUCAUAAUCAUAAAAUGCGGCAAUUGCUAACAUGAUUUGGAUAGACUUCAGCAUCGCUACGGGUGAAAAAGUCUCAUCGUAGUCAACCCCUUGAACUUGUCGAUAACCCUUAGCGACAAGUCGAGCUUUAUAGACGGUCACAUUACCGUCCGCGUCUGUCUUCUUCUUGAAGAUCCAUUUAUUUUCUAUGGCUCGCCGAUCGUCGGGCAAGUCCACCAAAGUCCAUACUUUGUUUUCAUACAUGGAUCCUAUCUCGGAUUUCAUGGCCUCAAGUCAUUUGUUGGAAUCCGAGCCCGCCAUCGCUUCUUCAUAGUUCGAAGGUUCACCGUUGUCUAACAACAUGAUUUCCAUGACAGGGUUGGUGUACCACUCAGGUGCAGAACGUACCCUUGUCGACCUUCGAGGUUCAAUAGCAACUUGAUCCGGAGCUUCAUGAUCAUCAUCAUGAACUUCUUCUCUAGUUGGCGCAGGCACUUCAGAAACGUUUUCUUGUGCUGCAUUACUCUCCAGUUCGAGAGGAGGCAUGAUUACCUCAUCAAGUUCUAUUUUCCUCCCACUCACUUCUUUCGAGAGAAACUCUUUCUCCAGAAAGGAUCCGUUCUUGGCAACAAAGAUUUUGCCUUUGGAUCUAUGGUAGAAGGUGUACCCAAUAGUUUCCUUUGGGUAUCCUAUGAAGACGCAUUUCUCCGCUUUGGGUUCGAGAUUCUCUGGUUGAAGUUUCUUCACAUAAGCAUCGCAGCCCCAAACUUUCAGAAACGACAGCUUAGGUUUCUUGCCAAACCAUAGUUCAUACGGUGUCGUUUCAAAGGAUUUAGACGGUGUCCUAUUUAAAGUGAAUGCGGCAGUUUCCAAUGCAUAUCCCCAAAAUGAUAGCGGCAAGUUGGUAAGAGACAUCAUGGAUCGCACCAUAUCUAAUAGAGUGCGAUUACGAUGUUCAGACACACCGUUACGCUGCGGUGUGCCAGGCGGCGUGAGUUGUGAAACGAUUCCACAUUUCCUUAAGUGUGUGCCAAAUUCAUGACUCAAAUAUUCUCCUCCACGAUCAGAUCGUAGACACUUUAUUUUCUUGUCACGUUGAUUCUCUACCUCACUCUGAAAUUCCUUGAACUUUUCAAAGGUUUCAGACUUGUGUUUCAUCAAGUAGACAUAUCCAUAUCUACUUAAGUCAUCAGUGAGGGUGAGAACAUAACGAUAGCCACCGUGAGCCUCAACGCUCAUUGGUCCGCAUACAUCAGUAUGUAUUAUUUCCAAUAAGCUGGUUGCUCUCUCCAUCGUUCCAGAGAACGGUGUCUUGGUCAUCUUGCCCAUGAGGCACGGUUCGCAUGUGUCAAAUGAUUCAAAAUCAAGAUACUCUAAAAGUCCAUCUGUAUGGAGUUUCUUCAUGCGCUUGACACCGAUAUGACCAAGGCGGCAGUGCCACAAGUAUGUGGGACUAUCAUUAUCAACUUUGCAUUUCUUGGCACAGACACUAUGUAUGUGUGUAUCACGAUCGAGAUUCAUUAGGAAUAAACCAUUAACCAGCAGAGCAUGACCGUAGAACAUUCCACUCAUAUAAAUAGAACAACCAUUAUUCUCAUAUUUAAAUGAGUAGCCAUCUUGCAUUAAGCGAGAUCCAGAUACAAUGUUCAUGCUCAAAGCUGGUACUAAAUAACAAUUAUUGAGGUUUAUAACUAAUCCCGAAGGUAGUUGUAGAGGUAGCUUGCCGAUGCCGAUCACAUCGACCUUGGAACCAUUCCCGACGCGCAUCGUCACCUCGUCCUUGGCCAGCCUACGCUUGUUCUGUAGUUCCUGCUUAGAGUCCCAAAUAUGAGCAACAACACCGGUAUCAAAUACCCAGGAGCUACUACGAGCGCUGGUGAGCUACACAUCAAUGACAAGUAUAUCAUAUAUACCUUGAAUUUUGCCGUCCUUCUUGUCUGCUAAGUACUUGGGGCAGUUGCGCUUCCAGUGACUCGUCCCCUUGCAGUAGUAGCACUCUGUCUCAGGCUUGGGUCCUUUCUUUGACUUCUUCCCGGCAACUCGCUUACCGGGCGCGGCAACAACUUUGCCGUCUUUCUUGAAGUUCUUCUUCUUUCCCUUGCCUUUCUUGUAACUGGUGGUCUUGUUGACCAUCAACACUUGAUGCUCUUUCUUGAUUUCUACCUCCGCAGAUUUCAGCAUUGAAUACAACUCGGGAAUGGAUUUCUCCAUCCCUUGCAUGUCGUAAUUCAUCACAAAGCCUUUAUAGCUAGGUGGGAGCGACUGGAGGAUUCUGUCAAUGACCGCAUCAUCCGGAGGUUUGACUCCCAGUUGAGUCAGACGACCGUGCAACCCAGACAUUCUGAGUAUGUGCUCACUAACAGAACUGUUUUCCUCCAUCUUGCAGCUAAAGAACUUGUCGGAGACUUCAUAUCUCUCGACCCGGGCAUGAGCUUGAAAAACAAGUCUCAGCUCCUGGAACAUCUCAUAUGGUCCAUGUUGCUCAAAACGCCUUUGGGGCCCCGGUUCUAAGUUGUAGAGCAUGCCGCACUGAACGAGGGAGUAGUCAUCACUCCGCGCCUGCCAGACGUUCCUAACGUACUCGGUUGCCGCGGGUACGGGAGGGUCACCUAGCGGUGCAUCAAGGACAUAUGCCUUCUCGGAAGCUAUUAGGAUAAGCUUCAAGUUACGGACCCAGUCCGCAUAGUUACUACCAUCGUCUUUCAACUUGGUUUUCUCUAGGAACGCGUUGAAGUUCAGUGGGACAUUAGCGUUGGCCAUUGGAUCUUCAAUAUUUGUAAAACAUCUUUAGACUAAGUUCAUGAUAAUCAAGUUCAUUUAAUCAAAUUACUAAUGAACUCCCACUUAGAUAGACAACCCUCUAGCCAUCCAAGUGUUACAUGAUCCACAUCAACUAGCCCGUGUCCGAUCAUCACGUGAGACGGACUAGUCAUCAAUGGUGAGCAUCUCCAUACUGAUCGUAUCAACCAUACGACUCAUGUUCGACCUUUCGGUCUCUUGUAUUCGAGGCCAUGUCUGUACAUGCUAGGCUCGUCGAGUCAACCUAAGUGUUCUGCAUGUGUAAACUGGCUUACACCUGUUGUAUGCGAACGUUAGAAUUUAUCACACCCGAUCAUCACGUGGUGCUUCGAGACAACGAUCAUUCACAAUGGUGCACACUUAGGGGAAUACAUUCUCGAAAUUUUAUGAGGGAUCAUCUUAUCUUUGCUACCGUCAUUCUAAGCAAUAAGAUGUAAAACAUGAUAAACAUCACAUGCAAUCAUAUAGUGACAUGAUAUGGCCAUAUCAUCUUGCUCCUUGGAUCUCCAUCUUUGGGGCGCCAUGAUCAUCAAUGUCACUGGCAUGACACCAUGAUCUCCAUCAUCGUGUCUCCGUGGAGCCGUCACGCCAAUCUAUUACUACUAUUAUAGCUAACGUUUAGCAAUGAAGUAAAGUAAUCACAUGGCGUUUUCAUCUCAUACAAUAAAUUAAGACAACUCCGUUGGCUCCUGCUGGUAGUCAUACUCAUAGACAUGCAAGUCGUGAAUCCUAUUACAAGAACAUGAUCAUCUCAUACAUCACACAUGCAUCAUCACAUUCUUUUGGCCAUAUCACAUCACAUGUCAUUCCCUGCAAAAACAAGUUAGACGUCCUCUAAUUGUUGUUGCAAGUUUUACGUGGCUGAUUUGGGUUUGUCGCAAGAACGCUCCUUACCUACGUGACAGCCACAACAUUGAUAUGCUAAUGCUAUUUACCCUUCAUAAGGACCCUUUUCAUCGAAUCCGAUCUGACUAAAGUGGGAGAGACAGACACCCGCUAGCCACCUUCUGCAACUAGUGCAUGUCAGGCGGUGGAACCAGUCUCGCGUAAGCGUACGCGUAAAGUCAGUCCGGGCCGCUUCAUCCCACGAUGCCGCCGAAUCAAGAUAAGACUAGUAGCGGCAAGCAAUUAACAUAACAGCGCCCACAACCUUUGUGUUCUACUCGUGCAUAGAAUCUACGCAUAGAAACCUUGGCUCUGAUGCCACUGUUGGUGAACGUAGUAAUUUCAAAAAACUUCCUACGCCAAUCAAGGAUCUAUCUAUGGAGAGACCAGCAACGAUAUAAGGAUUAGAGUAUCUUCGUACCCCAGAAGAUGGCUAGCGGAAGCGUUGCACAAUCGCGGUUGGUGGAGUCGUACUCGCAGCGAUCCCGAUCGCGGUCGAUUCCGAUCUAUGUGCCGAAACACGGCACCUCCGCGUUCAACACACGUGCAGCUCGGUGACGUCUCCUUCACCUUGAACCAGCAAGGAUGAGGGAGAGGUUAGGGAAGGGCUCCGGCAGCACGACGGAAUGGUGGCGAUGGAGCUAUGAGGUCUCCCGGCAGGGCUUCACCAAGCACCGACGGAGAGAAGGAGGAGGAAGAGUAGGGCUGCGCCGUGGGAGAGGGUUAUUCGUGUGUUCCGAAUGGCCAAAGUGCCCACUAUAUAUAGGAGGAGGGAGGGGCUGCGCCCCCCCCUUAGGGUUUCCCCCUUGUGGGAGGGGCGGUAGCCCUAGAUGGGGCUGGUUGGUGCGGCCAGGAGGGGAGGAGGGGGAGGCGCACCCUCUGGUGGGCCUUAGGCCCACCUGCGCUAGGGUUUGCCCCCUCUCCCCACUUAUUUCGCCUUGGGCCCCUUGGUGGUAGCGCACCAGCCCACUUUGGGCUGGUUGCCCACCACCUUUUGGCCCAUGCUACCUCUUGGGGUGGUGGCCCCCUUCCUGUGGACCCCCGGGACUAUUCCCGGUGGUUCCGGUACGUUACCGGUGACGCCCGAAACACUUCCGGUGUCCAAACCCAUCCAUCCUAUAUAUCAAUCUUCAUCUCCGGACCAAUCCGGAAUUCCUCAUGACGUGCGGGAUCUCAUCCGGGACNGAUGAUCUCAUCGGAUGAACCACGAUGUCAAGGAUUCAAUCAAUCACGUACAUGAUUCCCUUUGUCUAUCGGUAUGAUACUUGCCCGAGAUUCGAUCGUCGGUAUCCCCAUACCUUGUUCAAUCUCGUUACCGGCAAGUCUCUUUACUCUUUCCAUAUCACAUCAUCCCGUGGCUAACUCCUUAGUCACAUUGAUCUCAUGAUGAUGUUCUACCGAGUGGGCCCAGAGAUACCUCCCCACUGUGUGGAGUGACAAAUCCCGGUCUCGAUUCAUACCAACCCAACAGACACUUUCAGAGAUACCCAUAGUGCACCUUUAUAGUCACCCAGUUACGUUGUGACGUUUGGUACACCCAAAGCAUUCCUACGGUAUCCGGGAGUUGCACAAUCUCACGGUCUAAGGAAAAGAUACAUUGACAUUAUAAAAGCUUUAGCAUACGAACAACACGAUCUAGUGCUAUGCUUAGGAUUGGGUCUUGUCCAUCACAUCAUUCUCCAAUGAUGUGAUGCCGUUAUCAAUGACAUCCAAUGUCCAUGAUCAGGAAACCAUGAUCAUCUAUUGAUCAACGAGCUAGCCAACUAGAGGCACACUUAUAGCAUGAAUAAUAGACAAUUACCAUGAACUGGAAAUAUAAUAAUAACCACUUUAUUAUUGCCUCUAGGGCAUAUUUCCAACACUCACGAUCAUCAAGUAGUUCUUCCAAAGUCCAUACUUUGUUUUCACACAUGGAUCCUCUCUCGGAUUUCAUGGCCUCCAGCCAUUUGUCGGAAUCUGGGCCCACCAUCGCUUCUUCACAGCUCGUAGGUUCAUUGUUGUCCAGCAACAUGACCUCCAAGACAGGAUUGCUGUGCUACUGUCGAGCAGCGUGUAUCCUUGUCGACCUACGAGGUUUAGUAGUGACUUGAUCUGAAGCUACAUGAUCACCAUCAUUGGCUUCCACUCCAACUAGUGUAGGCGCCACAUGAACAACUUCAUGUGCCCUGCCACACUCUGGUUGAAGUGACGGUUCAAUAACCUCAUCAAGUUCCUCCACACUCCCACUCAAUUCUUUCGAGAGAAACUUUUCCUUGAGAAAGGACAUGUUUCCAGAAACAAACACUUUGCUUCCGGAUCUGAGAAAGGAGGUAUACCUAACUGAUUUGGGCGUCCUAUGAAGAUGGAUUUAUCCGCUUUGGGUUUGAGCUUAUCAUGCUGAAACUUUUUCACAUAAACGUCGCAGCCCCAAACUUUUAAGAAACGCAUCUUAGGUUUCUCCAAACCAUAGUCUAUAUUGUGUCAUCUCAACGAAAAUACGUGGUGACCUAUUUCAAGUGAAUGCGGUUGUCUCUAAUGCAUAACCCAUAAAUGAUUGUGGUAAUUCGAUAAGAGACAUCAUAGUAUGCACCAUAUAUAAUAGGAUGCACCUACGAUGUUCGGACACACCAUCACACCAUAGUGUUCCAGGCGGCAUUAUGUGUGAAACAAUUUUCACAUUGUCUUAAAUGUAUACCAAACUCGUAACUCAGAUAUUCAUCUCUAUGAUCAUAUCGUAGACAUGUUAUCCUCUUGUUACAACGAUCUUCAACUUCACUCUGAAACUUCUUGAACCUUUCAAUAAUUCAGACGUGUGUUUCAUCAAGCAAAUACACUAGUAUCCACCCAAAUCUGCUGUGAAAUAAGAACAUAACGAUAUCCACUGCGUGCCUUAGCACUCAUUGGACUGGAUACAUCAAAUGUAUUACUUCCAAUAAGUUACUCUCUUGUUCCAUCUCAAUGGAAAACGAGGCCUUAAGCCAUCUUACCCAUGUGGCAUGAUUUGCAUGUCUCAAGUGAUUCAAAAUCAAGUGAGUCCUAACGAUCCAUCUGCAUGGAGUUUCUUCAUGCGUUUAUACCAAUAGGUAUGGUUUGCAUGUCUCAAACGUUUCAAAAAUGAGUGAGUACAAAGAUCCAUCAGCAUGGAGCUUAUUCAUGCAUUUUAUACCAACAUGACUCAAGUGGCACUGCCACAAGUAAGUGGUACUAUCAUUACUACUUUGCAUCUUUUGGCAUCAAUAUUAUGAACAUGUGUAUCACUACGAUCAAGAUUCAAUGAACCAUUUACAUCGGUGUAUGACCAUUGAAGGUAUUAUUCAUGUAAACAGAAUAACUUUUAUUCUUGGAGUUAAAUGAAUAACCGUAUUGCAGUAAACAUGAUCUAACCAUGUUCAUGCUCAACGCAAACACCAAAUAACAAUUAUUUAGGUUCAACACUAAUCCCGAUGGUAGAAGGAGCGUGCGAUGUUGAUCAUAUCAACCUUGGAAACACUUUCAACACAUCGUCACCUCACCUUUAGCUAGUCUCCGUUUAUUCCGUAGCUUUUCAUUUCGAGUUACUAACACUUAGCAACCGAACCGGUAUCUAAUACCCUCAUGCUAUUAGGAGUACUAGUAAAGAACACAUCAAUAUCAUGUAUAUCCAAUAUACGUUUGUCGACUUUGCCAGCCUUCUCAUCUACCAAGUAUCUAGGGUAGUUCCGCUUCAGUGACUUUCCCCCUUACAACAGAAGCACUCAGUCUUGGGUUUGGGUUCAACCUUGGGUUUCUUCACUAGAGCAGCAACUGGUUUGCCGUUUCAUGAAGUAACUCCUUCUUGCCCUUGCCCUUCUUGAAACUAGUGGUUUUACUAACCAUCAACAAUUGAUGCUCCAAUAUGAUUUCUACUUUCGCGGUGUCGAACAUCACAAAUAGCUCAAGGAUCAUCAUAUCUAUCCUUGAUCUGUUAUAGUUCAUCACUAAGCUCUAGUAGCUUGGUGACAGUGACUUUGGAGAACUAUGUCAGUCACUAUCUUAUCUGGAAGAUCAACUCCCACUCGAUUCAAGUGAUUGUAGCACUCAAACAAUCUGAGCACAUGCUCAACGAUUGAGCUUUUCUCCCUUACUUUGUAGACAAAGAAUCUUGUCGAAGGUCUUAUAACUAUCAACGAGGGCACGAGCAUGAAAUCCCAAUUUCAUCUCUUGGAACAUCUCAUAUGUUCUGUGACGUUCAGAACGUCUUUGGCGCCAUAAUUCUAAGCCGUUUAAGCAUUAAGCACUGAACUAUCACGUAGUCAUCAAGAACGUGCAUGUCAGAUGUUCGCAACAUCCACACACGACACUCGAGGUUCAGCAUACCGAGCGGUGCAUUAAGGACAUAAGCUUUCUGCGCAGCAAUGAGGACAAUCCUUAGUUUACGGACCCAGUCCGCAUAAUUGCUACUAUCAUCUUUCAACUAAAAUUUCUCUAGGAACAUAUCAACAACAGUAGAGCUACAGCGCAAGCUACAACAUAAUUUGCAAAUACCUUUUGACUAUGUUCAUGAUAAUUUUAGUUAAUCAUAUUACUAAUAAACUCCCACUCAAAUAAACAUCUCUCUAGUUAUUCGAAUGUCGCAUGAGCCAAAUUCACUAACUCAAGUCCGAUCAUCACGUGAGUUGAGUUUAGCUUCAAUGGUGAACAUCUCCAUGUUGAUCAUAUCAACCAUAUGAUUCAUGCUCGACCUUUCAGUCUCCAGUGUUCCGAGGCCAUGUCUGUACAUGCUAGGCUCGUCAAGUUAAACCCGAGUGUUCCGCGUGUGCAACUGUUUUGCACCCGUUGUAUGUGAACGUUGAGUCUAUCACACCCGAUCAUCAUGUGGUGUCUCGAAACGACGAACUGUCGCAACGGUGCACAGUCGGGGAGAACACAAUUUAUCUUGAUAAUUUGUGAUAGAUCACCUUAUAAUGGUACCGCCGUUACUAAGCAAGAUAAGGUGCAUAAAAGGAUUAACAUCACAUGCAAAUCAUAAGUGACAUGAUAUGGCCAUGAACUUGUGCUUCUUGAUCUCCAUCAUCAAAGCACCGGCAUGAUCUCCAUCGUCACCGGCGCAUCACCAUGAUCUCCAUCAUCAUGAUCUCCAUCAUUGUGCCGCCAUCGUGGUUGUCAUGCUAUCUAUGCUAUUACUACUAAAGCUACUCCUAGCAAAAAAUAGUAACGCAUCUGCAAGCACAAACGUUAGUUUAAAGACAACCCUAUGGCUCCUGCCGGGUGCCGUAGCAUCGACGUGCAAGUCGAUAUUUAACUAUUACAACAUGAUCAUCUCAUACAUCACAUAUAUCACAUCAUGUCAUUGGCCAUAUCACAUCACAAGCAUACCCUGCAAAAACAAGUUAGACGUCCUCUAAUUUGUUGUUGCAUGUUUUACGUGGCUGCUAUGGGUAUCUAGUAAGAUCGCAUCUUAGCUACGCAAAAACCACAACGGUGAUGCAUAAAUUGCUAUUUAACCUUCUCCAAGGACCAUCUUGGUCAAACCCAAUCCAACUAAAGCUAAAGAAACAUGCACCCACCAGUCACCUUGAUGCAAUCUCAUUGCAUGUUAACGGUGAAACCAGUCUCACGUAAGCGUACGAGUAAUGUCAGUCUGGGCCGCUUCGAUUCAACAAUACCGCGGAACCAAGAGAAGACUAAGGAAGGCAGCAAAAUAAACAUCAACGCCCACAAACUCCUUUGUGUUCUACUCGAGAUAUCAUCUACGCAUGAACCUAGCUCAUGAUGCCACUGUUGGGGAACGUUGCAUGAGAAACAAAAAUUUUCCUACGCGCACGAAGUCCUAUCAUGGUGAUGAUCAUCUAAGAGUGGGAGAACGGAUCUACAUACCCUUUGUAGAUGCACAACGGAAAGCGUUUAGACAACGCGGUUGAUGUAGUGGUACGUCUUCACGAUCCGUCCUGCGAACAGUUCCACGAUCCAUCCCGAUCAAGUACCGAACGGACGGCACCUCCGCGUUCAGCACACGUACAACUCGAUGACGAUCUCCGCCUCCUUGAUCCAGCAAGAGAGACGGGGAGGUAGAUGAGUUCAUCGGCAGCCUAACGGCGCUUCGGUGGUGGUGGUGUUGCUGAUCCUGCAGGGCUUCGCAUAAGCUCCACAGAAAACCGAUCUAGAGGAGAAACGGAGAAGUAGAGGUGUCUAGAUCUGAAUUUGCCCUUGGCAAAAGUUAUCUCAAAUCAGCCCUAGACCACCCGUAUAUAAAGGAGGAAGGGAGGGGAGGAGGCAGCCUCAAACCCUCAAGGUUUGGCCGAAAUUGGAUUCCUCCUUUCCACUUGGAAACUCUUUCCACAUUUUCCACCUUUGGGUUUUUGCCUCUCAAACCUCAUGGGCCUUAGUGGGAACUUAUUCCAGCCCACGAGGGACUGGUUUUAUCUCUUCUCACGCCCAUGAGGCCCCUUGGGGCGUGUCACCCCUCCCGAUGGUCCCCGGCACCCCUUCCGGCACUCCUGGUACACUACCGAUGAGCCCGAAACUUUUCCGGUGACCAAAACAGGACUUCCUAUAUAUCAAUCUUCGUUUCCGAACCAUUCCGGAACUUCUCGUGACAUCCGGGAUCUCAUCCGGGACUCCGAACAAACUUCGGUACUUUUUUUGAAAAAUGCAGCCAUUUUUUGGUUAAAUGUUUUUCAAAUGAACAAAUAUUUUUCUAAAUCAAUGAACCCUUUUAAAAAAUUUAUAAAUUUUUAAGUAAAUUUCUAUGAAUUUUUUGAAUAUCAAACAAUUUUUUUCAAAUUUUGAUGAACUUUCUUGAGAGUUGAUGAAUUUUUUUUGAAAUGGAUGAACUCUUUACAAAAAUGAUAAAAAAAAAUUAAAAUUUGUGAACUUUUGUUCAGUUCAAUGAACAUUUUAAAAACUUUUUUUGAAAUUCUAUGAACAUUUUAUAAAUUUAUGAACUUCUGUAGAUCAUAGUGAAUUUUUUCAAAUUCGUGAAAUUUUUGUUUCAAAAUUUAUGAACCAUUUUUCACUUUUAUGAACCUUUUAUGUUCUUUUUUUUUCUUUUCUUUAUAAAACAUUUCGUCCUGAAAUUGGACCGACUCAUUAUGCAGAACGUGUGGGCGCUGGUUCUCCUAGCCGGCACUUAAGGCGCCGACUAACAGCUCCCCGCAAAACUUGCGGUCGGCCGGUAUAAAAGUUUCCUAAUUUGCAGCACACGUGAUACUAAAUAGAGAAGCAUUUUUUUUUGCGGAUGAAAUAGGAGAAGCAUUGCUCCGUCAAUACACACUAGAAGGCUGAGGCGCUGCGGCACGCCGCGCCCAUGAGAGAACCCGUGUGAGUUGUUCCUUUGUUUAGCUCUUGAAAUUCUGCUGUGCAUUUUGUGCGUCAUGUCUUUGUGACAAACUAACAAUGUGAGAAACGACUAUGCACUGGUUGUAUUUUGCCGAAUAAAAGAGAGCAAAACUGUAGGUUGAGAUAAACAACCACAGUUUCAUACAGAAGCCGAUACAGUUUCAGUCAAGUAUGUAUAUCUCGAGUCACACACACCACACACGCACAUUUCUUGUCUCUCCCAAGAAUGAACAUGCGCUUUUACAUGAAUUGGCCAGUUUAAAUCUUGUAGAUAUGAACUCGGAUGUACGUACAUGCAUUGGUGCAGUGCGUGGAAGACAUGUGUUCAAUGGCUAAAAAGUUAGAAGAAUGGAUAAAAGGGGUAAAGAAUGGUAUACAUGAAUUGGCCAGUUUAAAUUUUGUAGAUAUGAACUCGGAUGUACGUACAUGCAUUGGUGCAGUUGGUGGAAGACAUGUCUUCAGUGGCUAAAAAGUUAGAAGAAUGGAUAAAAGGGGUAAAGAAUGGUAUAAUACAACACAUAGAUCAACAACACCGGUAGUGAAAUAGGUCUCUACAUGUCCUAGGAAGCUACUCUAGCUUCCAGAUCCUCGAAUGAAAUCAGGCAAUAUCAGAAAAAGUUGGCGUACCCCCUCCACAAUUAGAGAGUAAUUCCUAUCUCUGAAAACAUUCUAUCACUUAGGAGAACAGAACAGAUUUAACUGUGCAAAAUAUAGAAGAGCACAUUUCUUCUCUAGCUAUUCAGAAUUUUAGAAAUCUGUCUGGCAUGUUCACCACCAGCUAUAUAUGUAGAGGUUUCUAAAGGACGAUUUCUUACUAUCAGCAAACAAUAAGAAUAUGAGAAACUAUUAAAUUUUCAGUAAGGGCACGCUAACUAAUCUGUACACUUGCUGCAAUGUGUUGAUUGUUAACUUUUGAUUCCCAAAACCUAGUAAAAGGAAAACUGAACUCAAAAUUUAUAUACGUAUACAUAGAUGAUGUUGGGUUGUUGCUGAUCAAUACCUAUGGUCCCAAUCUGUUUAACAUCAAGUAAUGGCCUAUUUAUCUUUUUCAGGCAAACGAAAAUAUAAACAAACUGUGCUUGCAAUAAGAUGUAAUCACUGCUCUCACCAAUUGCAUAAAAAAUGUGACCGACCUCCCCAUCUCAUGCAAUUGGAGCACUGAGUGGCCUGAAAGCAUACUUACAUGUGAUGUGUAUUUCAACAAAUCCGGACCAUGGGAGCAUUCACGGAAAACGCGGCCACAAUUCACACCUCGACCCAAAGAUCCUCACUGGACAACCCCCGAGUAAGGCAGCCGAUCGAGUGAGAUCUGAAAGAAUCUGAUCAGAUGUACUGUAGUACAAUACAAUAAUACUGUUAUCAAACUUGUACCAAUGAGUUAUCCAUGACCUUACCGAGACAACCGAACCAAACCUAAUGAGGCCAAGCAGAGGAGGGCAAUAGCAUGCAACAGUCAUGCCGUGGUCGCAGUUGCCGGAGACGAACUACCCCGCGCGUCGAGAGGAGGAGGAGGCAGUCGAGCUGGUUCAAUUAAUUGGUGACCAACACACAGUCAGGCACACUGGCAGGCUCAGCCAGUCCAGUUCCAGUAAAAAGGAAAGAAUACGUAAUAAGGAACAAAAAGGAAAGAAUACGUAAGGCAAUCCAUCGGUAGCACGUACUGCGGCCGGGUGAUUAAUGGACAAGUACAGGAAGAAGAGUACGAGACGGAAACUGAAGCCGAUCGAUCCACAAAGCUGUGGCUAAUUCGGACACGGUGAGGUAAGCUAGCUAUUCACCAAAUAUAUUAAUCCCUAUAUAUCCAACACCGACGGAAUCAACUUAUCAAAGCCUCCACCGGCAAGCAGCAAAACCAUAACCCUAACGACAUCGAUCGCCAUGGGUUUGUGGAAGCGAACCAGAAACACGUUGGCCAUACUCCCCGACAUUGUGCGCGUCGUCCAUGACAUGAGAGACGGUGGUUGCCUCAAGGAGUUUGAGAUGGCGUUGGAGCAGUGCGACAAGAAGCCCAAGGAAGACGUCUCGUGCGCUAAGGCGACCGCAGCGCUGCGUAAGUGCAUGGAGGGCAAGGACGUCUUGGCGAAGCACCUCGUCGCCAUGGAUGACGGCAUCAUGGAGGAAGAGUUUCGGCGGUGGGAUCCAUAUGUGCAGAAGAAGCUGAAGCAGGAGGCGAGGUAUAGGUGGUGGACCGGAAUGAAGAAGAGUCAAGAAGAGUAGAAGCCUGACUAGCUCAUCACUAGCCCCACCACAUGGAUUGAUAAGCUAUUUAGUUUUUCUUUUUAAUAUUGGGCAAGUCAGUCCCAAGACUUUAUUCCUAGCAAAAUAAUUUAUACAUCUAGUUAAUACAUGUAUAAGUGAUCGGGUAAUGGAUGCAGAAUUGUGAAGCUCUUGUUCUUCUUAGACCUGGGAUAUUGAUCCUCCAGCUGGGUUUGUCUCUGUAAUGUAGUGAUAGAGAGAUAUUGCAAAGAAAAAACAGAUAACUACAAUGUACUCCCUUUAAAGUAAUAUAUAAACGUUUUGAAUCAUUAAAGUAGUGAUCUAAAAGUCCUAUAUAAAGAGUAGUUUGCACAUGUUGUUACAAAGAGUUCCUUCAUUUGCUAAAAGUCCUAUAUAAAGAGUAGUGGGCUAGACAAGUUUGACCAGUAAAAAAAAUAACGACCAUAAACAACCCAGCCACGUGUCAUUUUUGUAGCAGCCGUAAAAAAACUCAGAAAAACCAGAAAAAUCAGACCCUUGCGGGCAUAGUAAUUGUUAUUAUUACAUCCUCCUAAGUAGUGGGCAAGACAAGUUUGACCAGUAAAAAAACAACGACCAGAAACAACUCAGCACACGCGUCAUUUUUUGUUGCAGCGUAAAAAAAACUCAAAAAACCCAGAAAAACCAGACCCUUGCGGGCAUAGUAGUUUUAGUAUGUGUCAAACUGUCAUCCGACUAGAUCAAAUCUAGUAAUUAACAGUUAUCUACUCCCUCCGUUCCUAAAUAUAAGUCCUUUUAAAGAUUUCACUAGUGAACUACAUACGGAUGUAUAUAGACAUAUUUUAAAAUGUAGAUUCACUCAUUUUGCUUCGUAUGUACUCCCUCUGUUCCUAAAUACUUGUUCUUGGGGAGAACUAAACUAGUUUUCUUCAACAACAAGUAUUGUGGUACGAAGGGAGUAGAUCAUUAGUGAAAUCUCUUAAAAGACUUAUAUUUAGGAACGAAGGAGGGAGUAGGUUAAUCAUGUCAAAUACUAAGUUAUUUGUAACCGUCAACUUUUCGCUUUCUUUAUGUUGUCAAUGGAAUCAAGUGUCAACUAUCACUGCUCUAGUAACGUUGAAUUAAUUGUUGCCUGAAAUUAAUUGGCCGAGUUAACUGGAUACCUCUGUCGAGGUGCCUACGGCAUGCUUGUACUCUUAGCUUGUCAACUAGCAAAAGGGUCGUACGUUGCAACGGGAUAAGAAAAACUAUAUAUUGAUCAUUUGUUAUUACAAUGAGUGUUGAGUACGUGAAGAUUUUGACCGUCCCAUAUCUAGUCGAUAUAUGAUUGUUAGAUAAACACGUUAACACUCUAUGAGUUAAUUUAUCAUUAACGAUUACAAUUCUAAUGCAUAGACUAAUUCUAGCGUUUUACGAUGGAAUAAAACUCUUCUUCUAUCGCAAAAAACAUUCUUUUAUGUGCACUGCUUGCCCCUUGACCACAACAUCGCUUCCUCCAUCUCCAUCUCCAUCUUCCUCCCUCUCCCUCUCUUAUCCGCUGCAGGCCAUGGCUGGUUGCCCGUGCGAGGCCCGCCGAGCCCAUCGCGCCGCGUCGCCUGCCCCUGCCCCGAGAGCUGCGCCGCACUCCUCCCGCUCGCCCAUAAUCCCUCCUCCCGAGCGUCGCCCCGCCGCAGCCCCUAGCAUGCCGCCCCGCCGCACGCCGCACGCCGCGCCGCCCGUUCCCCCGGCCAGAUCCGCCGAGCCAAAGCCCCUGCGCCCAGCCGUCGCACCGCCCGUCUCAGCUGCGUCGCAAGCCGUCGCCGAUUGGAUCUAGCGAGCGCGCCGUUUGCUGCCGCCAUGCCUCCUCGCCUCGGAACAUGUAGGGUCUUUUUCAGAAAAGUGAAACGUCUUUUUCACUUAAAUAGGGACUGCGGGAUUAAUUACCAUUAAACAGAAGGAAAUUUUUUGUAAAAGUGUCGUGACGAUGGACGACAGAAGUAGUCGGUGGUUUAGUAUUAGCUAAAAAUUUGACCAAGUUAAUUGGUCAAGUAGUACUUUUAGGUUGUCAAUUUGACGAAUCAAAUAUAUGUGUUAGGACGUCUAACUUGUUUUUGCAGGGUAUGCAUGUGAUGUGAUAUGGCCAACGACAUGAUAUGAUAUAUUGGAUGUAUGAGAUGAUCAUGUUGUAAUAGUUAAAUAUCGACUUGCACGUCGAUGCUAUGGCAAUCGGUAGGAGCCAUAGGGUUGGCUUUAAACUAACGUGUGUGCUUGCAGAUGCGUUUACUAUAUUGCUAGGUGGUAGCUUUAGUAGUAAUAGCAUAGAUAGCACGACAACCUCGAUGGCGGCACAAUGAUGGAGAUCAUGGUGCGGCACCGGUGACGAUGGAGAUCAUGCCGGUGUUUUGGUGAUGGAGAUCAAGAAGCACAAGUUCAUGGCCAUAUCAUGUCACUUAUGAUUUGCAUGUGAUGUUAAUCCUUUUAUGGACCUUACUGUGCUUAGAAUGACGGUAGCAUUAUAAGGUGAUCUCUCACUAAAAUUUCAAGAUAAAUUUUGUUCUCCCCGGUUGUGCACCGUUGCGACAGUUCGUCGUUUCGAGACACCACGUGAUGAUCGGGUGUGAUAGACUCAACGUUCACAUACAAUGAGUGCAAAACAGUUGCACACGCAGAACACUUGGGUUAAACUUGACGAGCUAGCAUGUACAAACAUGGACUCGGAACACAAAAGACCGAAAGAUCGAGCAUGAAUCAUAUAGUUGAUAUGAUCAACAUGGAGAUGUUCAGCACUGAAACUAUACUCAACUCACGUGAUGAUCGGACUUGAGUUAGUGAAUUUGGAUCAUGCGACACUCAGAUGACUAGAGAGAUGUCAAUUUGAGUGGGAGUUUAUUAGUAAUAUGAUUAGCAAAACUCUAUUAUCUUAAACAUAGUCUAAGUGACCUUUGCAAAAUUUUAUGUUAUAGAUCAAUAGCUCGAGCGAUAGCUACCCUGAAUUUUAAGACGUUCCUACAGAAGGCUAAUUUGAAAGAUGAUGGAAGCAACUUUGUUGACUGGGCUCGUAAUCUGAGGCUUAUCCUCUAUGUUGGCCAAAAGAAUUAUGUCCUUGAUGCAACGCUACGGCCGACCAAGACGUUUUGAAUGCUUGGCAGGAGCGUAAGGAUGGCUACUCACUAGUUCAAUGUGCAGUUUUGUAUGACUUAGAACCGGGACUUCAAAGAUGUUUUGAACGUCAUGGAGCAUAUGAGAUAUUCCAGGAUUAUAAGUUUAUCUUUGAGAAGAACGCCCGGAUCGAGAGGUAUGAGACCUCCGAUAAGUUCUAUGCUUGCAAGAUGGAGGCGAAUUUGUCUGUCAGUGAACAUGUGCUCAGAAUGUCUGGGUACUCAAACCGCCUAGUUGAGCUGGGGAUUGCUCUCCCGCAAGAAGCUAUCACUGACAGAAUUCUUCAAUUACUGCCCCCUAGCUAUAAAGGCUUCGUGUUGAACUAUAACAUGCAAGGGAUGAACAAGUCGCCCGGUGAGCUGUUUGCGAUGCUGAAAGUCGCAGAGUCAGAAAUCCAAAAAGAGCAUCAAGUGUUGAUGGUCAAUAAGACCACUAGUUUCAAGAAAAACGACAAAGGCAAGAAGGGUAACUCCAAGAAGAGCGGCAAAGCUGUUGCCCCUUCGAUGAAGAAACCCAAGGCUGGAUCUAAGCCGGAAACUGAGUGUUAUUAUUGCAAAGGGACUGGUCACUGGAAGCGCAACUGCCCCAAGUAUCUGGCCGAUAAGAAGGCGGCCAACAACAAACAAGGUAUAUUUAAUAUACAUAUUAUUGAUGUGUACCUUACCGGUUCUCGUAGUAGUGCCUGGGUAUUUGAUACCGGUUCUGUUGCUCACAUUUGCAACUCGAAACGGGAACUGCGGAAUAAACAAAGACUGGCAAAGAAUGAAGUGACGAUGCGCGUCGGGAAUGGUUCCAAGGUUGAUGCGAUCGCCGUCAGCACGGUCUCACUCCAGUUACCGUUGGGACUAGUGAUGAACUUAAAUAAGUGUUAUUUAGUGCGUGUGUUAAGCAUGAACAUUAUAUCUGGAUCUUGUUUAUUGAGAGACGGUUACUCAUUUAAAUCAAAGAAUAAUGAUUGUUCUAUUUUUAUGAGUAAUAUCUUUUAUGGUCAUACACCCAAUGUGAGGGGUUUGUUCAUAUUGAAUCUCGACAAUGAUGAAACUCACGUCCAUAACAUUGAGGCCAAAAGAUGUCGAGUUAAUGACGAUAGUGCCACUUUCUUGUGGCACUGCCGCUUAGGUCAUAUUGGUGUGAAACACAUUAAGAAACUCCAUGCUAAUGGACUUUUGGAGUCACUUGAUUUUUAAUAACUUGACACGUGCGAACCAUGCCUCAUGGGCAAGAUGACUAAGACUCCAUUCUCCGGAACAAUGGAGCGUGCAAGUGACUUGUUGGAGAUCAUAUAUACUAAUGUGUGCGGACCGAUGAGCAUAGAGGCGCUUGGUGGAUAUCGUUAUUUUCUCACCUUCAGUUAUGAUUUGAGUAGAUAUGGCUAUGUUUACUUGAUGAAGCACAAGUCUGAAACGUUUGAAAAGUUCAAGCAAUUUCGGACUGAAGUAGAAAAUCAUCGGAACAAGAAGAUCAAGUUCCUGCGAUCUGAUCAAGGAGGAGAAUACCUGAGUUUUGAGUUUGGUGCUCACUUAAGACAAUGUGGAAUUGUUUCACAGUUGACACCGCCUGGAACACCACAACGCAAUGGUGUGUCCGAACAUCGUAAUCGUACUUUAUUAGAUAUGGUGCGUUCUAUGAUGUCUCUUACCGAUUUGUCGUUAUCUUUUUGGGGCUAUGCAUUAGAGAAAGCCGCAUUCACUUUAAAUAGGGCACCAUCAAAAUCCAUUGAGACGACACCAUAUGAGCUGUGGUAUGGCAAGAUGCCAAAGUUGUCGUUUCUUAAAGUUUGGGGAUGUGAUGCUUAUGUCAAAAAGCUUCAGCCUGAAAAGCUGGAACCCAAAGCGGAAAAGUGCGUCUUCACAGGAUACCCAAAAGAGACAGUUGGAUAUACCUUCUAUCUCAAAUCUGAGGGCAAAGUUUUUGUUGCUAAGAACGGAGCUUUUCUUGAGAAAGAGUUUCUCUCGAAAGAAUUGAGUGGGAGGAAGAUAGAACUUGAUGAUGUUGAGGAACCUUUACUUCAACAUGCUGGUGGCGCAGGACAGAAAGAAGUUUCUGUUGAGGCUUCACCAGUUGAAGAGGAAGCUAAUGAUGGAGAUCAUGAGACUUCGGAUCAAGUUUCUAUCGAACCUCACAGGUUGACAAGAGUACGCUCUGCUCCAGAGUGGUAAAGAAAUCUUGUCUUGUCAAUCUUGUUGUUAGACAACAUUGAGCCUGCAAAUUAUGAAGAAGCAAUGGUGGGCCCGGAUUCCAACAAAUGGUUAGUGGCCAUGAAAUCCGAGAUACAAUCUAUGUAUGAAAACAAACUAUGGACUUUGGAAGUAUUACGUGAAGGCCGAAAGUCUAUUUAAAACAAAUGGAUCUUUAAGAAGAAGACGGACACGGAUAGUAAUGUGAUCGUCUAUAAAGCUUGACUUGUGGCAAAGGGGUUUUCACAAGUUCAAGGAGUUGACUAUGAUGAGACUUUCUCACCUGUAGCGAUGCUCAAGUCCAUCCGAAUCAUGUUAGUGAUGACCCACAAGUAUAGGGGAUCUAUAGUAGUUCUUUCGAUAAGUAAGAGUGUCGAACCCAAGGAGGAGCAGAAGAAGAUGACAAGUGGUUUUCAGCAAGGUAUUCUCUGCAAGCACUGAAAUUGUCGGUAACAGAUAGUUGUGUGAUAAGAUAAUUCGUAACCGGUAGCAAGUAACAAAAGUAACAAAGGUGCAGCAAUAUGGCCCAAUCCCUUUUGCAGCAAGGGACAAGCCUGGACAAACUCUUAUAUGAAGCAAAGUGCUCCCGAGGACACAUGGGAAUUUCUGUCAAGCGAACUUUCAUCAUGUUCAUAUGAUUCGCUUUCGCUACUUUGAUAGUUUGAUAUGUGGGCAGACCAGUGCUUGGGUGCUGCCCUUACUUGGACAAACAUCCCACUUAUGAUUAACCCCUCGCGCAAGCAUCCGCAACUACGAAAGAAGUAUUAAGACAAAGUCUAACCAUAGCAUUAAACUAGUGGAUCCAAAUCAGCCCCUUGCAAAGCAAUGCAUAAACUAGGGUUUAAGCUUCUGUCACUCUAGCAACCCAUCAUCUACUUAUUACUUCCCAAUGCCUUCCUCUAGUCCCAAAUAAUGGUGAAAUGUUAUGUAGUCGACGUUCACAUAACACCACUAGAGGAACGACAACAUAUAACAUAUCAAAAUAUCGAACGAAUACCAAAUUCACAUGACUAUUUAUAGCAAGACCUAUCCCAUGUCCUGAGGAACAAAAGUAACUACUCACAAAGCAUAAUUAUGUUCAUGAUCAGAGAGGUAUUGAAUAGCAUUAAGGAUCUGAACAUAAUAUAUUCCACCAAGUAAUCCAACUACCAUUAAGUACAAGGAGUAAUUAACACUACUAGCAACCUUACAAGUACCAAUCGGAGUCGCGAGACGAAGACUGAAUACAAGAGAUGAACUAGGGUUUGGAGAUGAGACGGUGCUGAUGAACAUGUUGAUGGAGACGAGUCCUCUCCGACGAGAGUAGUGUUGGUAAUGAUGAUGGCGACGAUUUCCCCUUCCGAGAGGAAAAUUUCCCCGGCACGACAGCCCUGCCGGAGCUCUAGAUUGGUUCUGCUCGAGUCCCGCCUCGUGGCGGCGGCGUCUCCUCCGAAAAGCCUCCUCCUGAUUUAUUUUUUCUGGAAUGAAACCCUUCAUAUAGAGGAAGAUGGGCGUCGGAGGGCCAACAGGGGGCCCACGAGCCACCACCCCGCGACCACGGGGGGCCCGCGGCCUGAAGGCUCGUGGCCUCCUAGCUGCCCCCAUCCGGUACUUCUUUUGCCCGGUAUUUUUUAUAUAUUCCAAAAUAAUUCUCCGUUGAUUUUCACGACUUUUGGAGUUGCGCAGAAUAGGUGUUCCAGACUUGCUCCUUCUCCAGUCCAGAAUCUCAGUUGUCGGUAUUCUCCCUCUUCAUGUAAACCUUGCAAAAUAAAAGAGAAAAGGCAUAAGAAUUGUACCAUAACGUGUAAUAACAGUCCAUAAAGCGAUAAAUAUCAACAUGAAAGCAUAAUGCAAAAUGGACGUAUCAACUCCCCCAAGCUUAGACCUCGCUUGUCCUCAAGCGAAAGCCGAGAUCAAUAAAUAUGCCCACAUGUUUAGAGAUAGAGGUGUCGAGAAAAUAGAAUACGGACAUGCAGGCAUCAUGAUCACCAAUAGAACAGCAAUAAAGUCAUAAAACUCUUAUGCUAAAGUGAUAAUUUCUUCACAAUGUAAAGCAUGGAUCAAGAACCUUAUUGAGAGUCAACAACCAAUAGUCCUUAGUCAUCGAAGCAAUUGCAAUUUAUCAUAACAUAGGAAAGAGUAAAAUAAGAGCUUGUAAAGCAAAUCCACAUACUCAAUCAUCUUUUAGUCUUCCACAAUUGUUGAAACUCACGUGGUACUCAUGGGAUCAAAGUUUCAGUUGGACAGAGAGAAAGAUAGGGGCUUAUAGUUUGGCCUCCCAACUAUUUACCUUAAAGGUAAUGUCAACAAUAAUAAUUCAUGAGUGCCUGUUUCCAAGUUGAAAUAUGAAGAUAAAUCUUUCCCUAACACAUGACGCUUGCCAAGAUAACGGCAAAAAGGAAUUGGUGUUGAUCACCAUGACUCUUUUAAAAAACAAAAGUAAAGGUGCAAGAAAGGCCCUUCGUAGAGGGAAGCAGAGGUUGCCAUGCACUUUUAAAGUUUGGAUGCAUGAUCUCUUAGUGUGAAGGAACGUUACUUUUUAUUGCCCCCUGUGAUAAAGAAAUUUAUUAUGCAGUCCGUCGCUUUUAUGUCUUCUUCAUCACAGGUUCGUACAAAGCUUAUUUUCCAAACACUAAUAGAGCAUACAUAUUUAGAGAGCAAUUUUUAUUGCUUGCACCGAUGACAACUUACUUGAAGGAUCUUCUUUAAUCCAUAGGUAGGUAUGGUGGACUCUCAUGGCAAAACUGGGUUGAAGGUUCAUGGAUGCACAAGUAGUAUCUCUACUUAGUGCGGGAGUUUUGACUAAUAUGAGGUGGAAGCAAGCGUCACAUGUUAAGGGAUCUCUAGUCAUAUAACAUUGUUCAGAACCAAGCAGGCAUAAUUCAUUAUAUUGUCUUCCUUGUCCAACAUCUACUUCUUAGCAUAUAAUAGUUCAAUGUGUGUUCACAAUCAUGGAUGGUGUCAAAGAUGAUAUAUUUAUAUGUGAACCUCUCUUUCUUUAUUACUUCCUAUUAAUUGCAACAAUGACCAAGAUCUACGUUUGCCUACUCACAACAAGUUCCAAUCAACAUUCUUCUUAUAUGUGAAGCUAACACUUCCCGUAAGAUCAUCAUAUGGUCUUUCAUGCUUUCGUUGUUUUACUAUUUUAUUAAGAUCAUGGCAUGAAGCAAAGCCCUUAACUAAGACACCUCUUAAUAUAUAAAUCACGGGCACGAAUACAAAGGGGAGUAAAACUCAGGCCUAGAUCAUACUAAGAACUUUAUCCUACUAGAAAAGAAAUGAAAACUAAAAAGGAGAUAAAACUGAAACAAAAAUAAAAAUAAAGACAAAAGGAAGUGAAGGUGAUACGAUAUCGGGACAACUCCCCCAAGCUUGGCACAAGCCAAGGGAGUGCCCAUACCCAAGUGUUUAGUUGCCGUCCUUCGGAGGUGAUGGUGGUGUGGUGAUGGUGGUGGAAUUGUUGGAAUCUGGGGCUGAUCCUCUGUCUUCCAAGGCAUAGGUUCUCCAUCAUAGAAAGAUGAUCGAGUCUCCGGAAUGCUCAAACCUGCAGCUGAUUUUAUUGCUUUAAAUCUAUAUUCAUACUCACAGUUUUGAUUCUACAGGUCGUAGAUCUGGGUUUGGAGAUGAUCGAUCCUAUCAUAAAGCUUGAAGAGGUGGUCCCCAAUGUCCUUGGUGUCGAGCUUGUGCUUGUCGGUGAACUCCGUGAUCAUCAUGUGAUUCGCGUUGAGUCCCCGUUUCACCAUGCUUUGGCACUUGAAAACUUGUUGCUCCAUUGCUUCGAGCCUUGCCUCUACGCUUCCGGUGUUCUUGGGCCCCUCAACAUCGCGGAUGUGCAGCACCCCCUCCUGCAUCUCAAUAGAUUGAGGGUGUUGCAGCACCUCCACGAGGUAGGGAUUGAUAACCUUCUCGAAGAACUUGUCCUUGGGAACUUUUGGGGAAGCCAUAGCGAUCUAGAUCUGCCUGCACAACAGCUCGAAACAAAAACAGAGGAUAAUUGCGUGAUACGAGAGUCAGAACUUUGGGAGAAUAUAUAAUGAAUUUUUGCCGACCCAAAGGGAAGUACCACUUGAAAACGGAGUCCGGGAGGCACACGAAGUGCCCACGAGUGCACAGGCCGCGGCCGAGGGGGGGGGCGCGGCAUGCGAGCUCGUGGCUCCCUCGUGCGCUCUCCGGACUACUUCAAAUUUUUCUAUUCCCUCCAUCCCGAAAUUAAUGUCGAGCAUGUAGUUCAUUGGUCAUUUUGCAAAAAAAACCUAGUAUUUACAAAACUCUCUUAAACAAGCACCUCCGUCCCUGUCUUCUUCACCCAGCCUCGCCUGCGCAUCGCCGGCCGGCACCACCCAGCGAUUUACCUCCCCGUCGCCUCCGCCGCCGGAUCUGUUGCCGCCGCCGCCACCGCUCCCGGAUCUGUUGCCGUCGCCACCGCCGUCAAUUACCUCCUCCGUCGCCACAGCCUAGAUUUGCGCCGCCGGAUCCCUUCCCGCUGCGGUUACCUGCCGGCGUCGUCCUCGAGCUCCUGCCGGCGUCGGAACCUUCCUCCACUUCCUCCUCCAGCUCCCGUGGUCAUCCUCGAGCUCCCGUGCAUCCUCCCCAAGCCGGAACCUGUGCUGCUCCUUCUCCCCUGUCGCCGGAACCUGUGUUGCUCCUUCCCUGUCGCCGGAACCUGUGCUGCUCCUUCUCCCCUGUUGCAGGAACCUGUGCCGACAUCUGUCUGAGCUGCUGCUAUUCCUCUGCUGGAGUUGCCGCUCCUCUGCUGGAGCUACUGCCGCUGUGCACCUGAAGAAGGUACCUGAAACUGCUGCUGCUGUUCACCAAAUUAACAGAUGAUAUCAAACGUGCUGUUGCUAUACACAUCCUAUCAGUCAGUUGUUUGCUUCUAUAGGCAGUCUUGCUCUCAACAUAAUGCUGAAGACGAGUUUCUGUUUGUUGAACCAGGAUUUCCCGGUAUCAAUGGCAGUAAAAUUCCUAGGGCUGUAUCGGCCAUUGCCAGUCAGGGUCUCUGUCAUUCUUGUACAGCAUUUGCAGUCGACAAGACUGCUCUGUUAUCAACUUAUAGGUCGAGGGAUGAUCCCGUGCCACCAGGGAGUAUGUGUUCCUUCGACCAUCAACUGCCAAAUAAGAGCACCACCGCCUGCCUGAAGCUUUCUCGCUGAAUCAUAGAUUUUGUCGUAAACAAUUCUUAGAAGAAUAUCUCUAUCAACUGUGCUGUUAGCAUCUACAUGCUGCAGAUAACCUACUUCUGAGAACAUAACGGGUUUUUUCAAGAUGUGUUCGCUGUCAUUAACGUGUGAAUCAACCCAAGCAGUCGACGUGGUCGUUCAGGCAGGAAGUCCCAGGACCAUCACUGACUUCCAGACGCAGAGCACGCCUGUAUUGCUCGCUGCACGGGAGCGAGCUGACCUAGCAACUGAAAAGUAACUACAGAACGUUUCUCAGACGAAUCUUAUGUUCAGUUACUUGAUUCUUGCUCGAGCUUAUUGCUAUUCCUGCGUGUAGAUAUAUUCCGCUGACACCAGUUCUGGAGGGCUUUGUGAUCCUGAGGAAGAACCCAGAGCAUCAUGAAGAUUGAGAGAUCGGUGUGGAUGGAGUGUCACGAAGAGGCUUGGUCAACAUCUAACUGCCACACAAGCAAGCGACAAUGACUAUUGUAAAGAGGCUGCAAGUAUUCCUUGAACAGAGUACACGGACAAUACAAAGUAUAGAAUAGCUCAGGGGCCAAUGUACAGAGGGAGGUUGGAACAUCGAAAGAGGAGAAGCGGCUUUGUCGAAACGGAAACAGUGGGGUGACUGAUGGCUGCAUAGCAUAGCCUCAAUCAAAUUUUGUGUUUCCACUCACUAGACUGUCCAUGUUCCUUAACAUGCGCAUAUUCUUUUGAGAUGCAUAUACUAGAUGCACUUUGUGUCCCCCUUUGUAAUCUUCUUCUCCUUCUUUUUUCAUUGAUUGUGGGAGUAUGGAUUUGAACAUGGUACCUCAAGAGAAAGAGGAUGAAGGUAUAGAUUUGAACAUGAUGCCUCAAGAGGAAGAUGAAGAAGCUAUGAAUUGGAUGCCUCAAGAAGAUGAAGAGGAAGAGGAUGAAGUUAUAAAUUGGAUACUUCAAGAAGAUGAAUAGUGAAUAUGAAUUGUGUAAUCCUUGUACUCCUUGUGUAUGUCUUGUGUAAUCUUGUGUAUUGGGAAAUUACUUGAAUUUAUCUGAAUUCAUUUUAAUUGUUUGGACUAGUUGAAUUUGUUGGAAUUAUUCAAAUUAAAAAUAAGUACUCCCUCCGUCUUGAAAAUAUUUGUUGCCGUUGGGAAAUUACUUGAGUUUAUCUGAAUUCAUUUUAAUUGUUUGGACUAGUUCAAUUUUUUGGAAUUAUUCGAAUUAAGCAGUACACUUUAUAUCCAGACAAGAUAAGCAAACACUUUAUGGGCAAUACUGAUUUCUGAAUUUAUGGACAAACUUAUUUGCAAUAAGCAGUACACUUUAUAUCUAGACAGGGUACAAUACUGAUUGUUUACAGACAUUUACACUUGCUCUACCAGUUUCACACAUCUUACAUCUACCAGUUUACAUCGAGUUACACAGGUCCAGCAACGUUUAGUUAAACAAAAAUGUACACCAGACUUGAUGUCUAAGGCUCUUGGCUCGGAAGGGCUACCAACGCCGCUUGCAAAAGAGAAAUCAAUUUCAGCCUUAGACUGCACCUAGUGAGUGACUGACCGACACACCAUCUCUGUCCACUCCAUGAAGCCGUUCAUUGACCUCUGCUGAUCUCUGAAUAUUUCCCCUGAUGCAGCGUCAACAUCGACUCGAGUGAGCAGUUCCUUAAGACAGGACCAAUGCCAGCAGCUCUUGGUCGUCGACAUUCGUUGAGGUGGACGCAGUGCAGGGCUUGGACAACAUGUACAUAUGAAUCAGCUACCAUGCCUGACAGUUUGGUGGACAUUGAAGAUAGAGAUGCACUGUCCAAUUUCAGCAAACCCGUACAUAUGAAUCACCUCUUCUAGUUUGUUGAGCCGGAGAAGCGCUUCAGACCUCAUGGCAAGGAGCUGCAGGAGAAACAUGGCUUGUUUGUGAGAGACUGAAUCCUAGUAACACUAACCCAAAAACGGAGUAUAUCUUCAGGAUGAAAAAUAUCACGAGCUACAAGGCCAGAGAGGUACACAUUCUGGUCCAAAUGCACAAUGCAGAUAAGCACUCCAUCUGAACCACAUUCUGCGAUUACAAACAAAUUAAGAACACAUUGAUUGACUACAAUAAACCCACUACAUAAACCUGAUUUGUGUUGUUCGAACAUGUCCCACAACACAAAAACAAGCUUUUGAUGGGUCCAUUUACUUCAAAUUCGCAGUUGCUAGUUAGGAAAAUCUAUGCAUAUGUAAGAAUUCAGAAUUAACAGGAAUAUGGUGGGUUCCAGAAUUCAGAUCCUAGUAGUCCAGAAUUCAGAUCCUAGAACUCCUAGUACUCCAAAAUCAUGUCUUUGGAUCCUGCAGAUCCUAGUACUUCUAUUGUGGGUCUUCGGAUACUAGUACUCCCCAUCUAGUCAGAAUUAACAGGAAUGAUGAUGCGCAGGGCCAGGCACUAACCAGAGAUGAGAGCAGAGCAAGCAAGGAAGAAGACGACGCCAGAAGUAGCGGCGCUCCCGCACGGGCUUGUCGACGGUCCUGCAGGCCCGAGGACGUACUUCUGCGUCUCGCGCCCGUGGACCCGCGGCCUGCUCGCCGACGUCCUUGUGGGCCGUGGCCGCUGGAUCCCACAACGGCUUCGUGCAUCACCACCACUCGCUGCCGCGCCGCCGCCAUCCAUGGGUGCAAAGAUUAAAAUUUUCUCCUCCUGCUCUGGCUUCUGGUCGCCAGGGUUUGUGGUGGGGGCUGCGAAUCGACGCCGUGGAAUCGGUAUAGGGAAAGGAGAGGGUGCCGGUAAAGGUUAGCAAGGCAUGGACUGGCCGGAUUUGGCCGGGAGUUGCCGUCGACGGAGUUGGCGGAGAGGGGAAUGGGGAAGCUCGCACGAGAGAAGACAAGUGGGAACAGCAAGGAGUGCGGGUUGUGUCGGGAUAAACUCAAGGGGGUUUUCAAAAAAUUGUCGUUGCGACAAUAAUUACGGGACGGAUGGAGUAUUUAUCUAAAAAUUUCAAAACGGAGAAAAUUUCCUAUUGGAAAAGUUUUAGAGUCGGUUUACUUACCGUAACGCAUACAUCUCUGUUUUCGGAGUCUGAAACAGGCUGGGGAACAUCUCUUAUGUACUCCUCCAAAGUUAUGAUAUUAAUAAUAUUGCUUUCAACAUUCACGGGAGUACGUGAGAUAUAAUGCUUGAUUCUUUGUCAAUUCACAAUUCUUGGAAAAUUACCCUAUGUGUUGUUAAUUUUGAGAUAUAAUGCUUUCAACAUUCACGGAUGUAAGGAAACAAUCCCAUUUGGAGAGAAGUUUGCCUGCAAAAAAUCUUAAACGAGAAUUGUAUAGCAAGACAUAAUCACCCACAUUAAACUCGCGUUUUUGUAUCCUCCUAUCAUGCCACCUCUUAACCUUCUCUUUAAGCAACUUGGCAUUUUCAUACGCCUGAGUUCUUCAUUCAUCUAGCGAGCUAAUAUCAAAUAACCUCUUCUCACCAGCAAGUUUGAAAUCAAAGUUGAGCUCUUUGAUCGCCCAAUAAGCUUUAUGCUCUAGCUCAAGAGGUAAAUGACAUGCUUUGCCGUAAACCAUUUUGUAUGGUGACAAGCCCAUGAGAUUCUUAUAAGCAGUCCUAUAAGCCCACAGUGCAUCAUCAAGUUUGCUAGACAAUUUCUUAGACCUAUUGACAGUCUUCUGCAAGAUAAACUUGAUCUCAUUAUUACUCAACUGCACCUGACCAUUAGACUGAGGAUGAUACGGAGAUGCAACUCUAUGGUUGACAUCAUACUUAGCAAGCAUCUUGCGGAAAACACCAUGGAUAAAGUGUGAACCACCAUCGGUCAUCAAAAAUCUAGGGACUCCAAAUCUCGGGAAUAUGACUUCUUUAAGCAUCUUAAUAGAAGUGUGGUGAUCAGCACUACUAGUGGGAAUAGCUUCUACCCACUUAGUAACGUAAUCCACAGCAACUAGAAUGUGAGUAUACCCGUUGGAUUUUGGAAAAGGUCCCAUAUAAUCAAAACCCCAUACGUCAAAUGGUUCAAUGACCAGUGAGUAGUUCAUAGGGAUUUCCUGACGUCUACUAAGAUUACCUAUUCUUUGGCAUUCAUCACAAGACAGGACAAACUUACGGGCAUCUUUGAAGAGAGUGGGCCAAUAAAAACCGGAUUGCAAUACCUUGUGUGCAGUUCUAUCUCUCGCAUGGUGUCCUCCGUAAGCCUCGGAGUGACACUUCUAUAGGAUCUAUCCCUGUUCAUGCUCAGGUACACAACGUCUAAUAAUGCAAUCUACUCCUUCUUUAUAAAGGUGAGGGUCAUAUCAAAAGUAAUGUCUCAAGUCAUAGAAGAACUUCUUCUUCUGUUGAUAUGUGAAACAAGGUGGUAUAAAUUUUGCCACAAUAUAGUUAGCAUAAUCAGCAUACCAAGGUGCACUACGUGAGGCAUUGAUGACAUUCAAUUGUUCAUCAAGAAAGCUAUCAUCAAUAGGUUGUGGGUCAUGAAGAACAUUCUCUAACCUAGACAGGUUAUCUGCUACUGGGUUCUCUGCACCCUUCCUAUCAACGAUAUGCAAGUCAAAUUCUUGCAACUAGAGAACCCAUCUAAUGGGUCUAGGCUUAGCAUCUUUCUUCUCCAUGAGAUACUUACAUUUACCACUCGGGCAGCACGCCUACAGGUUGGGUUCAGAUGAGAUAACUUGAUAACCCCCCAAAAAACUUGUAAAGAGAAGAUGUUCGUAUACAUACCAUGAGGUGUCCCCGGGUCUAGGAUCCACUUGCAUGCCGAGCUCCCUGCGCAGCCGGCUGAUAUUUUUGCCUGCCCUGCCAGGGAUAUUGUAGGUCCUUUCCGCGUGCGAAACCUUAUCGUACAGCUCCUCUUUCAUGUUAUGGAUCUCUGUCAGGAGUUUCUCCCGAUCUUCACAGCCCUGCUUUGCAGAUUGCGGUAGAGAGCAUAAGAUGAGUUCCUACAUAAAUGAUCAUGCAAUGGAAAAAACCGUAGUACUAGCUGGUCCAUGGAUUUUGCUACUCGGUCCUUGGUUUAUGCAUCUUCCUAGGUCGAAAAUAAUUUUUAUUUUAUUUCUUUUUUUGAGGAAUCACGAGAAGUGGAUUCAAUUUUGAGAUGCCCUGGCUGUUUGGCGAAACAUGGAGUUGGAUUAUCGAACUAGCUAUCAGCACAGAAUAUGUUAGUCGAGGUUGCAGAAACAAUUGCAAAAGAAGAUAUGAACUUGGGUGAGCCGACGCGCGUGAAGUACGUACCUUGCCCGCCACCACGUUGGAGUCUGCGGCAGCAGCAGCGGAGGAUGUGGUAGACCUAGUAGCCUAGUCGACCCGGAAGAGCCUCGGGAAGAGCCAGCGUUGCGCAUCUUCCACGGCCACCGUCGGCGUCUGCAGGCCACCGCCGACGAACCUCCGCGCCGCGACUCGAAGCGCCGCCAUCGAUAGUCGUCUGCUCUUGGGUUUCCAAUCGCCCGCGCACCAGUUCUUGGGUUCUUAGGGUUCCUCCGUCGCUCGCCUCCUUUUCUUUCUUCCCAUGGGAACCAAAACGCCGGGAAAGCGACGUAACGCGCACCCCAGCUGUAUUGGGCCGGCCCAAGUAAGCGUUGGACGCUCUGUUUUCUCUUCUUCUUUGUUCUUUCUGAUUCUUGUCUUUACUUCAAGAAAGGUCAUGAAUAUCAAAUCCGAAAAUACUUUUCAAUGUUUAAGAUAACUUCAAAAAAUGUCCAUGAUUUGAAUUUUUUUCCACGAAUUUAAAUAAUGCACGGGAUUUCAAAAAAUCUUCACGAAAUUGAAAAAGUAUUCGGCGAUAGAUUUUUUUUCACUAAUUUCUAAAAACGUUUCGUACUCUCUAAAAAUCUGAUCAAACUAUAAAAACAGUCGAAAAUUUCUGAAAAUAUUCAUUGAUUCGAAAAAUGAUUGUGAAUUCCUGAAAUUGCUCCUGGUUCUAAAAAACAUGUUCUAUUCUAAAACAUUGUUUACGAAUUUCAAAAAGUUGUUAACCAUUUCAGACAAAGUCCAGCGAUACUUAGGAAGUUCAUGAUUUUCAAAAACUGUUCAAAACUUUCAAAAUUUCUCAUGGCUUUGGAAAAAUUGUUUACUAAUUAAAAAAAAUUCAUGAAGUUUGAAAAUUGUUAUGAGUUUGGAAAAACUUCGUGGCUUUCAAGAAAAUGUAUCGAGUUUCAAAAAUAUGUUAGCAAAUUUAAAAAAUUGUACUCGAAUUUGAAAUUUGUUCCUAAAAUUCAAAAAUAAUCACGAAUUUUUCAAAUUUUCAUGUAUUAGUGAUUCUAAAAGUUAUACUACUGAAUUUUAAAAAACACGAAUUUGAAAAAGUUUCAUGAUUUUUGAAAGGCACUCGCGGUUUCGAUAAAUGUUCACAGUGUCUGAAACAAUGUUCUUGAUUCCAAGCGAUGUUGACGAAUAUGUGAAAAUUCCGCCAAACAAAAUUUAAAAUAAAAAGGAAAGGAACAAGUAAAAAAUAAUAAUAAAUAGGAACAAAAAAAAUAAAAAAGGAAAUAUAAAAUCAGGAUUCUAGAACCUUAACAAAAUCGGAUUAGGCCGUCUCACAUACAAAGUCUAAUUGGGCCGGACCAUUUAAGAGCGCAAUAACGUGGUUUCCUCUCUGGUUUUGGGAAUUUUCCACAAAGCUUCCCGGCCAGUUUCCGGAAGCUUUUGCAAGCUUCCAGACCAGAUUAUUUCCCCUUUUUUGUCUUCGCGUUUUCCUAUAAUCCUAUUUGUUCUAUUUUAUUUUGGUUUUUUAGUUUUUGUUUUCUUUAUAAUUUUCCUUUUUUCCUUCAUUUUUUCAUAUAUAUUUUUCAAAUGCAUGGACUUUUCUAAAAAUCUGAAAAGGAUUCAAAUUCAUGAAUUUUCCAACUACGUGAACUUUUGUAUAAAUCCGUGAAUUUUUUCAUUCUUUUCUUUUUAGUGAGCCUUUCAAAUUCCCACAAACUAUUUUUGAAUCCAUGAAUUAUUUGGUACAUAUUUUCACUAAUUUGUGGAAUUUUUCCAGGUUAGUGUUGUUUCUUCAAAUUAUUAUUUUUAAAUAAAAAUCGCAUGAACUCUUUUUCAUGACUGUUUUUUAUUUUUGCGAACUUUUCCAUGAUAACUCAAUGGUCAACGGGCAGCAAUGAACUGCAACAAUCAAUUGUGGACCAGUUGAUCGAUACUUCAUCAAGUGGUGGAAUAAACAACGAUCUUGACUGAGUGGUGGAAUGAAUCACCAUUUUGACUGAGCGGUCAAACGAACGACCGGUUUUUGCAGAAUUCCCUAUUUGACGCAUUCUGCAUCAAAUCGGUGGAGCUUUGGAGAGAUGAGUGAGAAGAACUGUUUGGUGGGCUGGCCCAUUACAAAAAUUCAACAUAGUUAUUUCGGACGUUUUCUACCGGUUUUUGCAACCUUCUAGAUUUUUUCAGCCGCUUUAUUCUGGUUUGGGGAGCUUUCUUUCUUCCUUUAUUUUCCUUUUUAUUCUUUUUUCCUUUUUAUUUUUCAAGGUUUAUUUAAUUUCUUUGAAACUAAGUUCAUGUUCGAUAAUUGUUCCUAAUUUUUUAACAAUAUUAUUGCUUUUAGAAAAUGUUCUAAAUUUUUAAAAAAUGUUGUUCUUCAAAAAUACUUUAUAAAUUCAACAAAUGUUACAACUUUUCAAUAAAUGUUCUUGUUUUUAGAAAAAUUCUGCAGGUGAUUUCUAUAAAUUCGAAAAUUGAAAAACAGUUUUUCCAAUUUUCCAAAUUUAUACACAAAUUGCAAAAAAUGUUCACUUUUUUCCUUUUUCCGGAGUUUCAAAUGAUGUCCAGUUUCAUAAAUUGUUCACAAGUUUCAAAAAAUGCCUGAGUAUUUAAUUUUAUGAAAACACAAAGUAUGCAUAUGAUGCAUAUCACAAAAAAUAUGGAAGUCUGUGUUUUUGGGGCUUGAAGUAUUGGGAACUACUCAGUUCGCCGUAUUCUCUUGAUAUGAUCCAUAUCACAAAAAAUAUUCGGGAGAGUUUGCUUGGCACACUGUUUGACAUGCCAAAAAAAGCAAUGAUGUUACGAGGGCGAGACAAGAUUUGAAGGAUAUAGGUAUUAGGGAAGAGCUUCAACCCGCAUCCCUUAAAAGAACCAAGGAGACGGCCAAAGGCAAAAAAAUCACCAUAACCGACGAGACAAAGAAGGGCAAAACCGUGUCAAAUACCAAAGAAGAUUAUUGUCCCCCAGCUUGCUUCACCCUCGACGAGGAUGAGCUUCAUCGACUUUUCAAGUGCCUUGACUGCAUCAAAGUUCCAUCUGGUUACUCGGGGCUCAUAGCAGAUAUCUAACACAAAAAAGCAAAGGUUUAGCAACAUGAAGUUCCAUGAUUGUCAUGUGAUGAUGACACAAUUACUUUCCAUAGCUCCGAGAGGAAUAAUGGAUGAUCACGUUCGCAAUACACUUCUUGACUUUUGCGACAUUUUUGAUGUUCUCUCUCGAAUGUCAAUUAGUGUGCGACGCCUCACGCGACUACAAGAGUAGAUCAUUGAUACGUCUCAAACAUAUCUAUAAUAUUUUAUUAUUUCAUGUUGUUAUAUUAUCAUUUUUGUAUGUUUUAUGAUCAUUUUUAGCAACUUUAUAUCAUUUUUUGGGACUAACCUAUUGACAUGGUGCCUAGUGCCAGUUGCAGUUUUUUGUUUUUUUCCUUCGCAGAAAAUCCAUAUCAGAUGAAGUCCAAAUACCACGAAACUUUACGGCGAUUUUUUGGACGAGAAGGAAACUUGGGAGCCAAGAAUGAGUAGCAGUCGAGGCCUAGGGGCGCCACUAGACACCAAGGCGCGCUAGAGGCCCCUGGCGCGGCCUCGUGUCUAGUACUAGAGCCCUCGGGCGCCUCCUCCACUGCCUCUCAGCUUUAUAAAUACCCCAAUAUUCGAAAAACCCUAGAGGAGUUGACAAAAAAUUGUUUCAGUUGUCGUAAGUUCCAGAGCCACGAAUUCCAAUCCAGAGCCCAUUCCGGAGAGGAACACGAUCACAGAGGGAUUCACCAUCCUCAUUGGUGCUCCUCCGAUGAUGCGGAAGUAGUUCAUAUAAGACCUACGGGUUCAUAGGAAGUAGCUAGAUGGCUUUCUCUCUCGUUUGUUUCUCAAUACAAUGGUCUCUUGGAGAUCCAUAUGAUGUGACUCUUUCUUUUGUGGUGUGUUAGUUGGGAUCCGAUGAAUUGUGAGUUUAUGAUCAGAUCUAUGGAAAUAUAUAUCAUGCUUGAUUAUUAUAGCCUCGUAUUUCUUCUCUGCUAUUUGGUUUUUGUUUGACCAACUUGAUCUUUUAUCUUGCAAUGGGAAGAGGUGGUUUGUGAUGGGUUCGAUCUUGCGGUGCUCAAUCUCAAUGACAGAAAGAGACAUGACACGCAUGUACCGUUACUAUCAAGGAUAAGACAAUGGGAUUUAUACCUACGUGAAUAGAUCUUGUCUACAUCAUGUCAUCGUUCUUAAGGCAUUACUCCGUUUUUCCAUGAACUCAAUACACUAGGGGCAUGAUGGAUAGCGGUCAAUGUGUGGAGUAAUAGAAGUAGAUGCAAGCAGAAGUCGGUCUACUUAUCUUGGAUGUGAUGCCUAUCUACUUAUCGUUAUAAUUAUUUGCUCUUCUUUGAAUUGCCCAACAGUAAUUUGUCUACCCACUGCUUGCUAUUUUCUCGAGAGAAGUUACUAGUGAAACCUACGGCCCCUGGGUCUACUUCACAUCAUCUAUUUACGAUCUCUACUCUGCUAUUUGCGUUUCUACUUUAUUUGCUCUUUUGUUUUCAGAUCUAUAUUAUCAAAAAACCCAAAAAUACCUUGUUGCAUUCUAUUUGCUAUCACUCUUAUUUGCACAUAUCAAUCUUUCCUUACUUUACCCACGAGGGAUUGACAACCCCUCCACACGUUGGGUUGCAAGGACUUGCUAUUUGUGUGGAGGUGUUGCUUACAUAGUCUUGUGGAUCUUCCUACUGGAUUUAUACCUUGGUUUAUUAACUGAGAGAAAUACUUAUCGUCGAUGUGCUACAUCACCCUUUAAGAAUAACUCUUAUCACUACAACAAGAACCCCCUUUCAGCAACGCAUUGAUGUGUUGUUGUAUGUCCAUAUAAGUGUUGCUAAGGCCUACACCAACGGAUUAAUAUGCGUUGCCGUAGGUGGCGUUGGAAGGGUCUACAACAACAUAUAUAAAUGCAUUGGUAAAUGGCAUGAAAAAACGUUGCAGGCUCGCAACAUAUAUAACUAGAUUCCAACAACACUUCGCAUGUGUUGCUCGCUUCAUUGUAGAACAGGAUUUCCAAAUGGACACAACACAUCAUUGCAACAUAUAUUGUUAUCAUAAUGAUAUGGUCAGUGGUGACAAUACAUGGAGCUAUAGUAUAACAAACAUAAAGGUCUAAUAUAUUAAUUUGACUUUGUUGCUUUACAAAGAACAUGAUCCGAAGGAUACAAUAAGUGAUACUAACAUAGCAGCUAAGUCUGGACGUUUCAAUCAACACCUCGAUCGACCAUUCUAAAAUAUAAUGUUUGAAUUAUCCACGCUAGAGAUGACAUCCUAAAACACUACAUAAGACAAUCAAAUAGAAGCCCCAUUCUCCACCUUGCAAUCAACAUCUGGGCCUUGCAUCAUCAAUUUACCUUAGCAAUCUACAACAAUAAAGAAAUGAUAUCAGCAAGUUAUUGUAGAUAAAACAAGGUUAAGAGCGGCAAAAUUAAAGGACGAGGAACAUACAAAGGUUGAAGGCCAUGCAAUAAUUAAUCCUGCCGCAUGACCAAUAAUGUUGACCUUUUUGAAAGGUCGUAUGAACUGAAUAUAGAUGUACACAUGAUGAAUCACAAUGUAUCGUAUACGCAGAGUAUUCUCUAACCCAUUGAGGCUUUUUGUUAAGUUGGAGGUCAAUUUAAUAGUGCAAGCAUAAUUAUUUAGUAAAUGAUGGCAUGUCAUGUCGUACACUAGAUUGUUGUGCAAGAAGGCCACAUGUAUAAUAAUAUUUGUCAAGUUCCUUUUUGUAGCUACUAUCUCUUACAAUGCCACUUAUCCUCUCUAUUAUGUUAAGAAUUACUGCUACUAGUAAUGUACUUCUUAGCAAAUCUACACAACAGUUUAGUAAUUAUUUUUUCAUGUAUGAAGUCUGCAACAUUAUGCAAACGAAAGACUAAAAUAGCAAUGUGAAAGGAUUUUCCUCUUCGUGAAAGUAGAUGCACUUUAUCUCUUAGGUUGUUAUCUCACAUAGUUUUACACAAUAUUGAAAUUGUUAUAGAUGUGAGACAUCAUUUCUAGCAUGCGUAUGCACUGGAAAUGUACACAAAAAAAUCUUGACACAUGAGAGCAGAGAUGAUUGUGAAAAUAAGCUUUGAAAGUUUAGAAGAUAUGGAGUGCACUAACCUUAUUUGCACUAGAGUUUUCCUUCUCUUGUUGCACAUAUUCAUCAUGGAUAGAAGUAUCUUUGUUCUGUGACAGAAGAUAUAUCGUAAGAUUUAAAAGAAUUGUAAUAAACAUUCCUACCAUGAGAUCAGUAAGUACCAAUUUAUUGUGGCUCAACCAUAUUGGACUCCAAACUAUACAUAAAUGAGCAUACCUUAUCCUUCGAAGGGCGUUUGUUUGAUGGUUGCAUCUCCAUGUCAUAUAUAAACUUUUCCUUACUCUAUAAUGAAUGGCUAGAGGUGAUUAAUUUCUAUACAAGCAAGCAUAAAUAUAUUAAUGCAUGCAUACAGAACCAUCACAUUCUUCUUGGUCCCAACAGUACCAAGCUGUUGACUAUGACCGUCACUAUAUACUCUAUGUCUGUUGAAACAAAAUAAGAAAAUGGUCAAAUUUAUCUAAAUGACUUGGCCUUUAUUAUUAUAAUAUUCUAGAGAUAAAUACUUUUUGUUUCAAAUUUGUAUUUCCAAUACAAAGAGCAUCUUGGUAUGUAGACUUCUGACCAAAAGAAUCCUCUAACGAGAACCUAACAAUUAGUACAUGUAUUGAAUAAUGAAGAGCAUUCUAAAGAUAAACAUUUUUCUUGUUUUGAAACAGAUUCAGAGUUGCGAAUAAAUAAGCAUACACAAGAUAAUCAUAUAAUGAAAAGAAGCAACAACAUCUACACAAUGAGUAUCUAGUAUUUUAGAUCUGAUUUCAUUGAUGUAUCAUCAUAAAAGUUUGUACGGUAAUCUUCUCAAAAUUUUGGACAUUGGUAAUGAGUUCAUAAAGGGAAGGAGUUACUAACCUUUAUCAGCACUAGUGUUUUCCCACUCUUGCAGCCCAUUUUCAUCAUGGUAGUCAUGUGUUUUUAGCCCAGAAAUUUUUCCUUCAGCAGACUUCACACAUUUAGAUAUAUUUCCACAAUAGCCAUCAGGAAUCAUUAUAGACUCAAGAACUUCAAGGAACAAUUUUAUCUCACUUCUGAAAAUAAAUCCAUCUGUACUCAAGCCAAACCGUAUAUUACGGCAAUUAGAUGCAAUUUUUGAGUACGUUUCAUCUAAAGCCUUCCAUACUGGGGAAUCAGCCUGAUGUCGUAGUGAUAGCUGUGAUAAUCCACAUCCCGACCAUAAAGGCUUCUUCGAAUCGUUGAUUAAUCUAUAAAAUUCCCCAACUUCUAAAUUUGGUCCAUGUUAAUUCGAUGGAUCUCGACUCUCACUCAUUGGCACAUCAUCAUACAUAUUCCUAAAAGCAUCAUUGAUCAACCCAUGCAUGAGCAAGAAUUUUCUAAAACUACUAGCUAAUGAAACCGAACAUGCAUGUUCUAAAAAGAUGGCGAGUAGAGAGUCUCCGACAUGUAGAUGGUAAACUUGAAGGUUUCAUCCACUUUGAACAAUAUUGCGAUGAUAAAUGUUUCAUCCCAACCUAGUCCCGUUGCCUCAAUUUUCAGGACCAUGGAUUUUAUAUAUUGUCUCUUCAACAUGUCUCAUUUUUUAAAACCGAGUUUAAGUACAUAUUUUCCCGAUCCCAUCAAAGAACCAUGUUCAUGUUCCAAUUUGACCUCAUACAUGCAGCACACACUAUGAACACACAAAAUCUAGAACUAGUCACAUAAGUUACUGCCAUACAAAAUACAUGUAUCAAAAAAUAUUUAUCAAAUUGGUACAACUACAACAUUCAAUACUGUCAUACAACAUACACAUAUCACAAACUAGUUUCACUAGAUCCAUCAAAAUUACUCAGUCCAUGGUCAAUCAAAUGAAAAUAAACAUUCAUAUGGAACACUGAUGAAUCUGAAGAAGAUGUGAUGUACCUUGGGAGAGUGGGGUGAUGCGGAUGGACAAGAAAGCAGGACAGCGAAGAGGAAGACAAGGCCGAUUAGUGUUGGUUACCCCUGGUGAAUCGGUGGCCGGCGGGGACCUUGGAAGAGGAGGCCGGGCUGAGGCGGCCGGCGUCCGUCGGCGGCGCACCAUCCGUCGCGCAACGGCGUGCUGGUGGGGAACAGCAAGACGGCGGUGGCGGAGGAGGCGCACCGUCAGUCACGCAACGGCGUGCUGGUGGCGAACACAGCAAGACGGCGGCGGCGGCGACGCACCGUUAGUCGCGCAAGGGCGUGCUGGUCGCGAACAGCAAGACAGUGGCGGCGACACACCGUCAUUCGCGCAAGGGCGUGCUGGUGGCGGACAGCAAGACGGCGGCGGCGCUGGCGAACCCUAGAAUCGCCAGAGAAGGGCGAGGAGGAAAGGGGCGAGCGGUUUGGACAGGCUCGUCUUGAUGCGCUGGUGAAUAAAAAAAAGACCUGGUCAAUGGCAAAGGUGGGUAGUUUCACGUAUAGGAUCAGGCAAUUAUAAGUAUUCAAUUCUUACAUUUCUAUACGAAUUAUUGGAAAGUAAAGAAUAUAACUAACAAAUAACGAAAACAAAAAAGUGUUAUUAUUAUUUUGGGGCCUAGGAGUCAGAAUUCUAGAUGGGAGGACGAUAUGUUCCUCCGUUCAUUAACACAUAGCAAGACAAAACUGUAACAUAUGGUAUUCGUUAUUAUCCAUACAACGACAACAGAUGUCCUCGCCAACGUAUAUAUGUGUUGUAACGAUGAUAUAUUGCAACACAUUUUCAAAGUGUUGCAAACCAUGCAUUGCUAUAUGGGGGUUCUUGUUGUAGUGUCUUGGGGAGGCCAAUCUCCAUCAACACCUUCACCAACACCAUCUCCUAUCAAAACCCUAGUUCAUCUCUUGUACUCAAUCUUGUAUCGGAACCUCGGAUUGGUACCUGGGGUGUGUCUAGUAGUGUUAGUUACAUCUUGUAGUUGAUGCUUCAUGGUUUAUUUGGUGGAAGAUCAUAUGUUCAGAUUCAUUAUGCUAUAUAAUACCUCUCUGAUCACGAAAAUGUUCAUCCCUUGUGAGUAGUUACUUUUGUUCUUGAGGCCAUGGGAUAAAUCAUGUUGCAAGUAGUCACGUGAAGUUGAUAUUCGUUCGAUAUUUUGAUGAUAUGAAUGUUGUGAUUUUCCGUAGUGGUGUUAUGUGAACGUCGACUACAUAAUACUUCACCAUAUUUUGGGCCUAAGGGAACGCAUUGUGUUGUAGUAAUUGGAGUGUGGGUAAGAGAGGAGCACCGCAACAUCGAUCCCCCCAAAGCUCCACAACCUGUGUGUGUUGCGUCACAAUAUCUUCGUCGCCGUCGGGUUGUGUCACAAUAUCCGCCAUCGUCGUCGCAUGAUUCAUCCCAGCACCCUGUCACCAUUGCAUUCCGCUGUAGUUAAGCUUUGCCGGUGCCCGUCGGGUGCUGCGGUGGAGCUUUGACGGGACAACCGGUGCUGCGAUGGAGCACGGUCGUGCGGUGGUGGAUACGCUGCAGGGAAGCGCCCGCCGCCGGCCACCGGGGUGCUACGAUGGAGCACCACCGUGUCGGUGUUGGCGUUGCAACCAAACGUCGUCGAGAUUGCGAUGAAGGGCCGCCGGAGCUGUAGUGAAAGCGCCAACGGUUGUUCGAGCUCCGACGAGGUUGCAGUGAAGCGUCGGGGCGGUCGUUGAAUCUCCAACGAGGUUGCAGUGAAGCUCCAGCGAGGUUGCAGUGAAGCGUCGCGGCGGUCGUCGGAAGCUCCGCCGAGGUUGCAAUAAAGGGCCCGCCGGUGCUGUCAUGGGAGACUGCUGCGUGGUGCGUCCCGAUCCUGCGGCUGGAAGCAUUUAAAUCGGAUGGCUGUGGAGGCGACUUAAUUUUUUUUUUUUUUAACAAAUCAAUCAACCGGUUGAUUUGUAGGAGUUCCCUUUUCAAAAUCCUUUUGAUGAGAGGUUGAUUGGCGGAGACACUUGCUAAACUGGCGCACCCACCACGGACGCUGAAAUACCGAAACCGCCCUCCGCGCGCGCACCAUUCCUCCGAUCAGCCACUCUUCCCCACGGAACCGCACCGCAACCCCUCCCAAAACCCCCACCCACACCGCCCCUCCCCUCCCCUCACCCCUCUCUCGUGCUUGUCCUCCGCAGCGCGGCGUCGCCUUCCCCUCCUCCGACCUCACCGCGGCGGCGGCGGCGGCGGCGGCGGACGGGAUGUUCUACUCGCACCAGCUCCUCGCGCGGAAGGCGCCGCUCGGCCAGAUAUGGUGCGUCCCCUCCCCUCCCCUCCCUCCUCGCCGGCGGCCGCCCCUCGGUCGCGGCCGCCGGCCGCCGAUUGCGCCUGUCCCGCGUAUUCCUGCUUGGUCCGGGGCGUCUCGGGACGCGCCCCCGUUCGAUCCGCUCCCAAUGCGGAUCCUCGUCGCCCUCGAUCCCUUCUGACGCUCCCCUGUUCCUCUGUCCUGUCCCCUCCGCAGGAUCGCCGCCACGUUCAAAUCCAAGAUAAAUCGGAGGCGGCUCGACAAGCUCGACAUCAUCAAGAUCUGGUGAUCUCCCCACCCGAUCCGACCGAUUUCUCUCUGCUUUCAGCUCGCGGUAGCGGUGGCCCGUCCUCGUGCGAUUCUAAUUCGCGUGUGCUGCCAUGUGUCUGACCGACGCUGCAGCGAGGAGAUCCUGAACCCGUCGGUGCCCAUGGCGCUCAGGCUCUCCGGGAUCCUCAUGGGUGAGCCGCCCCUCGGGGACUAUUAUUUCGCUGCUUUCCUCGCCGGAUUUGCUCUCCCUCGUAUGUAUGUGACGCGCGGUUGUUGCCUUUGCCUGUGUGUCUGGGUGGCGUCCGUGAUGAGCAGGUGGCGUGGUGAUCGUGUACAAGAAGAAGGUGAAGCUUCUCUACGGUCAGUCCAUCCCCUCGCUGCUUGCUGCACUUUCUUCUCUUGUUGUAAAAAAUUUCUUCAGAUUCUCAUCGUUUCCAAAUUUGUGGCCUCGCAGAUGAUGUGUCCCGUCUUCUGGUAAACCUCCAGCUCGAGUUUAUGCCCGGUUCCUCUGCAUCCUUCCUGUUUGGUAAUUUUUGUGGUUGGGUUUACGCCUGUGCUGAUUUCCUCCGCAGAUUGAGCUCAACGAGGCAUGGAAGAUCAGGCCGGUCGUGGACCACACCCUGCUCCCCAAGGGCAAGGCUCAAGCCAAGUGAGUGCUCUCUCCGUCUCCAUGCCCUUCCACAAGUUUCUGAAUGUGUUUGCUUGGGUGGUGAUAAUGUGGAGCCUGGAGAUGGGGCUUUCUUUGUGUGUUUAGACCGUCUGGUGUUAGCUUAUGUAAUGGAAGCUUUUGCGAGGUACCAGGUGGCUGUAUGUAUGGACAGCUUAAUUUUGUCUGUCUAUGAAAUAGCAAUGUCAGUCUCUGCCAGCUUGCUUGCUACCAAUUGGUGUGUUCUGCAUUCUACUGUAUUCAGUUUACAAUGACAUGUGAUUAUUUCAGAUGUUUCUACAAGUUUCUGAAUGUGUUUGUGUGGUGAUGAUGGAGAGUUGGUGUCCAUUUCUCCGUGGAAAUGGAUUUUUUUUCUGUGUUUAUAUACUGUGUGGUGUUAGUCUGAUGGUUUAGAUUAGAGGCUGUUGCAAGGUGCCAAAGUGGCCUUAUGAACAACUUAACUUUGUGUGUUUAUGAAAUUUCUUAAGAUGCCUAAUAACACUGUCACUCUGUCAGCUUGCUUGGUAACUUUCUUUCUGUGUUUAUAUACCGUGUGGUGUUAGUCUGAUGGUUUAGAUUGGAGGCUGUUGCAAGGUGACAAAGUGGCCGUAUCAACAACUUAACUUUGUGUGUUUAUGAAAUUUCUUAAGAUGCCUAAUAACACUGUCAGUCUGUCAGCUUGCUUGGUCACUAUUGGUGUGUGCUGCAUUGUGCAGUGCUGAUUUUGCAAUGAGCAACGGCACUACUUUUUCAGAUGUUUUCUAGAAUUUUAUUGAUGAGGCCAUAUCACUGAUUGUGUGCAAUGUAACUGGGAUGCACUGCCCUAGCCACGGGUCCAUGCUGUGAAAUGUAACUGGGACGCACAACCCUAGCCGUGGGUCCUUGCUGUGUGAUCCUGCUGUAACUUGACUCUGUUCUUGUGUUUCUGGAGCAGCAGCUAUUCAUAUAGAUCUUCAUAUGAUUUUGUGUCUCCUGUCUUGAUAUUCUGAAUGCUUGAUUAAAUUCAUGGGUUGCAACUUUGGCUAAGGGGGGUCGUUUGGGUGUUAUAGCUGUUCAUGCAAGGGUUCAUGCGGGUAUUUAUGUCUCUGUAUGUUGCCGAAUGUUAUGUCUGGGUUUGUCAAUUUUAAUCAGCUCCAGGUUGCAGGGUGUUUUUGCCGGCCAAUAUGUGUGUGUAUUAUAUGCAAGACCUUAUGCAUUUUGUAGUUUCUCAGCCUUUUUUAAUACAUAGUUUGUCCAUUUGUUGUCUUAACAAUUUUAAUAAUAUGGGGUGGCUGGCUGGGACAGUGAUAUAUCAGUUGGUUUUGGGCUGUUCAGUGCUGACUUAUUAUUUUGGUAUUGGUUUCUUAUUCGAUAUCAGUCAAUCUCUUGAGACUGGAUGAUCUAAUUAUAGCAGAUCUGGGGCUGUAUGGUACUUGAGAAAUAAUGCUAUGUUCAGAGGGUAUCUUUAUCACCUUGGAGAACUGUUAACAUAUCUUAACAUUCUGUCAUGUUCAGAGCGCGCACUCUUGUCGCUCGUCUUUGAAAGUUUGUUAGCACUCCAAAUGCGAUAUUUAACCUCUUGCUACUGUACCAUUGCCAUUGAGAUAUAUUUGAGAGUUUGGCUCUCUUUGUUAGAUCUUUCAUACCAGAACACCUUCUCUCUUGCAUAGACUGGGUGCAAAAGGGUUUUAUGGAGAACGACAUGUCUUAAGAUUAAGAAAGCAGUGUGUCAUCUUUACCUGAAAGUGCUGCUUCUUGCAGGUAUGAAGCAGUAACACUUCCAGAGAACAUGAUGGAUAUGGAGCUGGAGCGGCCCGUGCUUUUCACAAAUACUGAUACUGCCAGGUUCCGGGGAAUGGUAAUCAUUGUCAUCUGUGUAUUCUGGUAGUUGGAACUCUGAUUAAAUGCAUGGAUGGAAUUUCCUGUCUCCUAGCUUCUGUCUGAAUUGCCUGCACUCCUCUUGACUGAAAUCCAUGCUUGUGCAGCGCCUGGAGGAUUUGGAUGAACAGUAUGUCAAUGUCAACCUGGAUGAUGAUGACAUCUCUCGCGCCGAUCGUCAUCAUCAAGGUAUUUCUUUCUGCUCUUUUGUAUUGCUCUUUGCGGGUUCUUAAGGCCUACUGAUUAUUAACUCUUGGUUCUUUAUGAUCGUAUCUCAGCUGAGGCAGUCAACAUUACCCUGGUUGAUAAUUUUGAGUCUGGCUUUGCUGAAACUGACAUCUUCACUCGUUUUGAGAGGUAAGGGAGACUUAGGUUUCCCUAACUAGAAGAAAAGAAGAGUUAUUCUUAUUUUCGUGUACCAUUCUCAUAUCAUCAAUGUUGCGUCUUCUUUUAAUUUGGCGGUGAGUACCAACAUUCAUUGUGCAAUACUACCUUGUCACCAGAUUUGACAUAGCAGAUGAUGACACCAUCUUCAAUAUUACUCCCGAUGGACACCCAGAGGCUCCAAGUACACUAGUUCCCUCUCCACCAAGGCCGGAAGACCCUUUUCAGCAACAGCAACAGCGUGCUGCCCCAUCCCCCAUCCGUGAAGAACCUCAACAAGGUGAAACUAAGCACAUGAUUAGUAUAUUUGAUGAUGCUACAACGGGAAAUGGCUUAUCACAUUGUAAGAUUAGAAAUGAUCUCGGUUUAACGCUAAUGGACACCAAUUCUCAUCUCAUUUCGAGUCUUCAAGUCUGCAACACAUUUACCAUGCUAUUUUGAUUCAGGGAAACUCCCACCAAAACUUGUUUGAACGCAUUGACUUAUUCUUUGAGUUUCUUCUGGAACAGUACAAGUUUAUGGUUAUUUGUGUGAGCUUAAGAUUUGCACUGGUGCUUAGCAUAUUAUGUGCUAUGACUAGUCGGUCAAGAAGCGCUGGUUCUAGGCAUAUUAUCUUCACUCAUUAUCUCCCAUUGUUUUUGUAAAUGGCCAAUUGAAUGCUGCAGGACUAUAUUAUAUAUUAAGUGGAUAUCAGUAAGUGUAGUAUUGAUUGCAGCUGAAUUUACUACUUUUGGUAAGUUGAUAACACCAUUCACUCUAUUUUAUGACUGGCCAUGAGCACAACACUUACAGUAUUGGAUUUGCAAAUAAACUGAGGUGGAACCUUUCUAUUUGAAAUGAAUCUUGCGCGUAGCUUAUUGUCCUUUGGCUAGUUCACUGGUUGCAUGUUAUAUUAGAAGUUGUACCACUGGACCCAGUUCAGCUACUCAUAUACUAUAGGGCAAGUAUCUUCUGCAGGGGAUUCAUUGAAGGAGCAAGAGGAGCAGAAGACGAAGGUCUGUACCAUUUACCUGAUGAAUAGCUGGCUUUAGUUGAAACUCUUGUACGGAAAAGGAGUUUGAUGUUGUUUACAUGAGAAUGCUUUUCGCGAUACAGGAGAAACAACCAACUAAACGAGCAAAGAGAAAAGCACGCGGCAAGGGCCCCCAAGUUAUCAUGGAUAACCAGAUAAUGAUCCCAGGAAAUAUAUAUCAGUCAUGGUUGAAGGACCCAUCAAGUCUCACCUCUAAAAGGCGUCAAGUCAGGAGUGUAUGUCAACUGUGUUACUGAUUGGAACUACCUAUUCUCUGAUAAUUCUGAACUCAUGCAUUGCACUUACCGAAUUGCUGUUUUGCUGUUUACUAUUUGCAGAAAAUCAAUCCUAUUCAGGCAAUUAAGAUGGGCGAGCUCAUGGACUUGCCCCCGUCUACCCUAAUGUGUUGCUCGGAUGACUCACAAGAGAUAUAUUACCCUCAGCAGCUUAGGCAACUCUGGAAGGAAUGCACCAAAGUGAACCCCCCAAAGCCCUCAUCUUCUUCAGGUCACUAUAAAACUGGACUUUGUGUCACCCACCUUUGAACUCUCAAAAGUGCUAAUUCCAAGCUGCACACUAUUUCAUACAGGAGUUAAAUCAUCAUCAUCAUCACAAGAAACGCAGCCGAGAAACUCUUCGCCUCAGGUUGUUUCAGAACACAUUUCUCUAUUGAUUUAUUUUCAUCAACAUUUAUCUCAUAAUUGGUUCAACUGGCAGCCUCAAGGAGAUCAGAAUGAAAUGGGAGCUCAACCAAUGGACUUCACAGAUCUCAUUGAAGAGAUGAGAGCAAACAAGAGUGGAGGAUUUGAAGGUGUUUUUGAUGGUCCGCUUGGUGCCCAUAGUGUUACACCUGGAAGUCCUGGUAAGUUGGAAAUCUUUAUUUUUUAAGUUCCUCGUUCUUUAGCUGCUUCAUGACAUCAACUCUGCUGUAGGGCUAAGUCGCAGGUCAGCUUCAAGCUCUGGUGGCUCUGGAAGGGGGGGAUUUCUGCCAUUGGGUCCAGAAAUACCAUUGCAAUUUGGAGAUGGAAGGUGACUGUCCUUGUUCUCUAUAAGUUGCACAAAUAUUUGACUAUGUGAUCUUGUUGUUCUGAAAGAAGAAAAAACUCGGUGAUUAAGUUAGUUUUCUGUUUGUGCUGGGUUUUCCUUUUAUUUCUAUGCUCUGCCUAGAAACUGUUAGAGCUGUCUCCCUGGCGUUGCGUUGGACAUAAAGGAAAACGCCUGACCAUUGAUGCUAACCAUCAUAAGUGGCAGCUUCCUGUGGUUUUUCAUUGUCUUGCUUAGUUUCUUAGUGUUAACUGUCUGAGGACUAUUGAACAGGGCCAAGAGGAAGCAGCUUUCAUCUGGACGAAGCUUGGGGAACCUUGAUCCAAUUGAAGAGGAAUUCCCAAUGGAGCAAGAGGGGAGGGACUUCAAGCUGAGAAGGGUUUCAGAAUUUGGACCAACUCCUGGUUGGUUGCACUUCUGCCUUUCUGUCCUUACCUUAAACUGUUAUUUGUGGAUACGAGUAUUUCAUCCUGUUUCCUGGGGAACGUAUCUUGUUUCAGAUCUUAUGGAAGAAACAGAACCCACUCAAACCCCGUUCUCAAAGCAAUCCAGUCCUCCCGAUCACAUCACUGAAUCAAUUCACUCGUAAGUAUCUUGAGCACAUUGCUGAAUAUAAUUCCUGGGUGGCUUAUGUUUGACUCGCGGAGUGCAAGUGUGUACAUCGUGUGACGCUGGAAUUAAAUUCAUCGCAGGUACCUAAAGCUCCACUUCGAGAGCGCGGAUGCCCCGCUGUCUGAAUCGCUAAGCCAUCUAACUCAUGGGAUGAAUACAGCACAGGCUGCCCGCCUAUUCUAUCAAACAUGUGGUAUGGAAUAGUUCCUACAUUGUGAAUACAUCGUGCAAUCACUAGAGUAAAUAAGAAAUCAAAGAUCUCACUGCACGAUUUCAUAUAGUUGCUUUGCUGUUGAUUGAUUGUUCAUAAUUUCCAUGGACACUGACUAUAAUUACACAUUUUGCAUGACAUGCUUGCUUUCUCUAAUUAUGCUGGGUUGUAUAGGAUCCUGACAAGUUAACUUAGCUGCGGUGCUAAAAGCAGGUCAUAUAUAAUAUAGCUUGAAAACUGGGGAAGAAACAGAGAGUUUCCUUGAUAGCAUUGGCUAGAAGGAUAACCCCUAGAAUACUGAGUGCGACUCUUUUAACCAUUUUGUUUGGUCAUGUCACUGGAUGUAAACUGUUGUUCACUGAGGGUUUUAUUUAUGCUGUGCAGUCUUAGCAACGCGCGAUCACAUCAAGGUCACGCAGGAUGAAGCAUACGGGCCCAUCCAUAUCUCAAAGGGGGCCAACAUGUGAUCGUCUCCCUGUUAAUCUGAAACGCCCGGAAGUCCCGGAGCCUCUCGCACAUCUCGUGUUUAUAUAUCUAUCUGUAGUGUUUUAAGUCUGCACAGGAAGAAGUCUUGUAGGAAGUUGCUGCUUAGUUAUGUCUCUGCUUGUGUGGUGGGAAGCAAGUGAGCGAUGGUGCUGUGUUAUCACGGUAGUUUUGGUCAGAGCACGGGGCAAUUCUGUAAGAUAUGCUACGCUGAAAGAAUUGACAGGCGGUGUCGGUGUAGGUUAGCUGCUUAAACUAUGUUCAUCAGGGGGAUGUUUAUGGUACCGGAGAUUUGCUGGUUAGUUGCUUGUAGUUCAUUAUCAGGGGUGAUAUUUAUUGUACCGGAGAUUGGCUGGUUAAGUAUGUUUAACAUGAAGUGGCUGCUUUUCCGUAUCGCAAAAAUUUCGCCUGUCUUUGCAUCUUUUGAUUGGAAUAAUGUUCUUGGACUGGUGAUUCUUCUACGUUCUUCAACUAGGUGCCUGGAUGUCUGAAGCUGUAAGUGUACUGGAUACUUACUGCUUUUUGAAACAGUUUGCAGUUGCCCGACGAUGGUUCGACCUACAGCGCUUGUUUUUUUGAUGCAGAUCCGUUGAGACAAUAUGUGCAUCAAUGAUUGCUCAAUAAUCAAACCGAACCGAACGCAAUCUGGAGCUUCAAUUCAAAGUGCAGUAUAAGUCUCAUUUCAGACCUGAUCAGGUGGUCUCUCUUUUCAGCCCGCCGGCUAGGCCCGUGACUUGGACGUUGCUGCUAACAUUUAGCCAUUACCCUAGAAAGGUAGGAUCUGAACACGUAUUACAUUACAAUGCUUUUUCAGUUGAAGCAAUGAUGUUCCUUUGAAGAUGGAGCUUAGGCUUUGGAGAUGCUUUCUCCAACUUGGUAGUCAUGAUGCCGAUGCCCAUUUUCUCUUGCGGUUGCCAUCGCUUUGUCAUCCGGUUUUGCCCAUCGGGAAAAAAACGGUGUGUGUUUCGCCCCUCUUUACGUCAUUUGAUUUGAAUAUAUGUUAUUGGACUAGUGAUUCUUCUGCGUUUCUGAAGAACUAGGCGCUCGGAUGUCCGAAGCUGAAAGCAUGGUACGCUUGUUGCUGCUUCAGUUCAUGCUUAAUGUUACAAUGCCUAUGCAGUGACGCGUCUUUGCCUUGAUACUUUUGCUGCUGUGCUCAUGUACCGAUUCAGUAGUUUUUGGGUACACUAACGCGGCUUUGAUGAUCUAUGUACGCUCUUGAUAAGAUGGGCCAUUGCCUGCAGGCUGCAGCAUGCAGUAUCUUUUAGGUGCCCCAAGGUAGCAGAGCUGCGUUUACCAACAACCAGAGCAAUCAAAGUCCCCACACAGGGCAGUUUUUCAUACUCUAAUGGGUGAAAUCUGUCGAGUUAAUAUGUCCGUCAGGAUUGCAUCAGAGAAGAUCACUCCUUGCUCCAUCAACUAAUGAAGUUGGUAGCAUCCCGUGGUGGAUUUAAGCAGACAUGAAUGUCAUGAGACGUGUGAUGUUGCGGUGAAGCGCUUGCCCCGACCCUUUCUUCUCAAGGGAGCCGAACCACGGUCGAGAAUUCGGCAUUCUUCCUGGCAACAUUGCCACACGCUGUUGGGUAGCACCCGAAUUUGCAUUCAUAUGUACUAUAUGACAUACAAAUUGGCUAGCAUCUUGACUGGUGAUGAUUCUUGUAAAGGUCGGUUUUGUCAAUCUUUACACCAUAGUAGACUUACUAUGCCCUAGUCUUCCACCCAACUCAUAGGAUAUUCUGCUCAUUGUUGACAAAGGCCAUAAUAAUGUAUUUAUGUAAUCAGUGGUGAAUCAAGUAACUUUUGACAUUUCUUGUGUCCGCUGGAUACUUACAGCCUUUUCAAACAAAUUUGCAAUCGCCCGACGACGAUUCGACCUACAUGCUCGCUUGUUUUUCCGUGCAUCAAUGAUUGCCCAAUAAUCAAGUGGAACGAGAUGCAAAUCAGAAACUCCAAUUCAAAGUGUAGUGCAAGUCUCAUUUCAGACCUGAUCAGUCAGUCUCUCUUUUCAGCCUGCCGGAACCGGAAGGAAGCCGGUGAGGCCCAUGAGUUUGACAUUGCCGCUAACAUUUCAGCCAUAACCAUGUGCAUGAACAAGCCCUAGCCCUAGCAAAGCUAGUAUCCCGACCCACAUUGCAUUAUACUAACACAAAGAAAUGAAAACCACCAUUAGUGACGGUGAGCAGAGUUGAAGCAAUGAUGCUCCUUUGGUGAUGGAGCUUAGGCUUUAACCAACUUGCUAGUCAUGAUGCCGCCCAUUUUCUCGUGCAGUUGCCGUCGCUUUGUCAUCCGGUGCUGACUUCAAGGCGCCAAACCAGCAAGCAGGGGGCCCCUUGCCCUGAAAAACAUGUGUAAUCAACAUGUCUAAAAAGAGCCUAAACCAUCAUCAUCGCCUCUAAUCUCCGCAAUGAUGGGGUGGCGAUGGAUCAACUCCUCCAAAGAUGCACUAGCUCACUAGUUGCAGUAAGAAUAGGAAAUACUAUCACUAAUCAGUUUGGUGUGGUAUAUGGCAUGGCAUGGCAUGGAUGACCAGGGCUAAAGCAAAGGGUAUUUUACAAAUCAGUAGCUCCCCUCCUGGCCCCUUUCCUAACCUUCUAGAGAAAAGCACCUUUAAAUCUCCUCUACUCAUGGUACUACUACUAGUGGUAGAUCGUAGUCCUAAGCUGCAAUGCUAGUGAAAAAGGCAAUUUUAUACCGAUGACGUGUUGAGACCAGGAUGCACGAACGCCUCUGAAGAAAAUUGGCUAUGGUUGGCACCUAAAAAAAGAAACACAUGGAUAUUACAAUAUGUCUGGGAAAUUAUUUUUCCCGUGUCGUACACUAAGACCUGGUCUGAUUAACGCUUUUUUCUUCCAAUUAACCGCUUAACUCUGUUUUAUGUAAAAAAUACUUUUUGCAAAAAAAAAGUUUGUUUUCAGUUCUUCUAAUCAAAAGGCGUUGUUCCUUCAGUUUCUCUAAAUUAAAAACAUGACGUAUGUCUCACUGUCGACGGUGAUCAGACAAGCAAUGGCGACAUCUCAGAAACAUGGAAUCCUCACACCCAACUAAAAGUUGCCAUAAAAAACGUUUGAUUUGUCAUACUUUAAAUUUGACGUCGGAUUUUAUCAUUAAGGAAAAAAAUAAUGAACAAAAUUAUUUGCCUUCCAACUGAAAAGGAUGGUGCUCAUGCUGAUUCCUCGAAGAAAAAAAGGGUCUUAGUCACACCCUAGUCGCUCUCGACGGUGUUCGGACACGCAAUGGCGGCAUCUCAGGAACAUGGAAUCCUUCGCUCCGGAUUUCCGUGGAGGCGACGACAGGGCGGCAUCACAUGAACCGGAAGGAAUUUUUUGGUUCGACGGGAGCGAAGGAUUUCCAUGGAGGCGACAACCAGGCGGCAGCAUCACAUGAACCGGAAGGAAUUUUUUCGGGUUCGGAUGCGAAUUAUGGCGAUAAGAUCGGGGGCAUUAUUCAGAGAAAGGAGCUUUGUUGGGGGGCAAGUGGGGUUGAGUAAAGGUGGUGGGAGAAUUAGUGAGGCUCUUUGGCAACGGCAUCGGAUUCUAUUCGGGAACAAGGGGCACAUAUCCAUUUCUUAACACGGUUUCUCGGUUGAAUUUCUUGGCAGGCAGAGGCAGCAGCCAGGGACAGACAGGUGCAUAAUUGGAUGUGAGUUGCAGAGUGUUACGGAUCCGGCUGCUGUGCUUUAAUAAAGGUUAAAAAAAAA